AAAAAGAAAGGGUAUAAUUAAUCAAACUGAUUUGGACAAUACCACACGAUUUUUUUUUUAUUGACAAACCAACAUAAACAAUAUAUUAACGUAAAUAACGCAUUCACAUAUAAUUGUUUUAUUUAAUUAUUAAGAAAGACGAAGUACAUGGACGGUGGACACUAAGAAAUAUAAUCUCUUGUAUAUCAAGAGAUUUUAGAGGUUGAAAUGAACUAAACUGACCCUCACACAAUUAAUUGACAGGUAAUAACAGUACCCAUCCUUUUAUUAACCAUAAUGGAAAAGAGUAAUACUGCGUGCGUGCGUGAGCUUAUUAACCAGUGUGGUCGGGAUUUCUUCCAUAUUGAGGGACAGCAAUAAGAUCAAGAUUGUCAACUGUCCCGUCCUUAUCAUCAGCAAUACCAUAUACAGGUACUGGAGUACCCUCCAACCAUUCAUUCUUACCUGAAAGUUUAACAUUAGAAAAUGGAUUCAUAAAUGCUUAUAUUAAUAUAUGAAUUGUAAAUGAUAUCCAUUCAGCUGAAAUUGGCUAAAAAACCUGCGCAAGGAAAAGGAGUUUCCAUAUUCUUCAAAUCAGAAAAGAUCUCCAGGUGAAGCGUAAUCAAAACUCAAAAAUAAGUAGAGCUUGAGCGUGUUCUUAGUUCUGGUUUGAUCUGAUAUAUAUAGAUUCAAGAAGCCGAUGUUGCCGAGGUGUGGGUGAUUGUGACGUAGCAAAACAUAUAAUAGUUAUUUAAGAUUAACGGCCAUGGCUAAACUGCACGUCGAAACGUGUUAGCAUGGGUCCAUAAAAUAAAUAAUUUUAUCUAAUUAGGAGAGAAAUCGAUUCAGUAACAAGCUGCUGCUUGCACUUCCUAGAAAUUUUAAAUUUAUGAAUUGAAAUUACUCACGCCUUUUCUUGUGUAGUUAAUUAUGCAUACAGUUCAAGCUGAGGGAUACUGAUGUGAAGUGUAGGGACAUGGAUAUAUACUAUCGUUUACAUUAUUUUACAGCCUUGAUGUAUUAUUUUAUUUGGCAAUCAUAUAGUCACUGUCUGCACUACACUUUGUCUUCCCUACACUUGUCUCCACUUGAGUAUUCUUGAGUGGUAGCUGAGUCACAAGUCACCUUCUCAUGUCUGCUGGGCUUGCCUGUCGUGCUUGAUUUACUUUGUUCUAACACCCCGGCUCAAUCUCAGUUUUCUUAGCAUACUCUCAGGUCAUGUUUGGUUUGUAAAAAAUGGAGAAGAGGAAAAGUGUGGAAUGGAGAGGAAGAGAAAAGAAAGGAAUGGAGAAAAGUAGUAGUGAAAUCACAUUUUGUUGAUUGGUUUGAUAUAAAAUUUAAUAAGGAAAUGAAUUAUAAUUUUUUUCUUUAGACUAAUUUACAAUUUACCUCAAAUAUUUAAUUAUUUAUACUAGUAAUAAAAUAUAUAUAUAUAAAAAUAAAAUGACGGUCCGGUGGCCGGCGGUGAAGGUCCGGUUACUUUUCGGCGAACGUCUGGCAUCUUUUCGGCGAAUGUCCGGCAUGAUUCCGGCGAAGUUCGGUGGGAUUCCAGCGAAGUCCGGCAGCUUUCCGGCAACAUCAGGCGACUUUCUGGCGGUGAUCCAUUUAUGAUAUUAAAUCAAUAAAAUAAAAUUAUAAAUACUAAUUAUUAAUGAUAUUAAACAAAUUAAAAAGUUGAAAGGUAAUUUUAGAAACUUUAGUUUCUAACUUAAGAGGAAUUUAAAUUUUCACUACUUGGUGUGGAAUUCAAAUUCUACAUUAUGAUGGAUAUUAAAUUUUAAUGGAAAUUAAAUUCUUAUAUAUUUUGUCAAACCAAACAAUGGAAAUGAAAAGAGAAUUUAAAUUACUUUCCUCUUCUCCAUUCUCUCCUCCCAACCAAACACCACCUUAAUUUAUUUGUAUGGAAUUCAAAUAGCUCAUGUCCCAAUGCCUUUGUCAUAAUGUCCGCCACUUGCCUUUUACUCAGCACAUAUUUAAGAAUUAUUUCUCUUUUCCCGAUUUUUCAGUGUAAAUAAAUUAAGCCAAUAUCUUGAGAAUCCAAGCGAUACAUACAGUAGAAUUUGAAAUGGUGCAAGACCUAAUCAAGUUUGAUAUUUACUAAGUUACAGAGGCCAUUGAUGACAUACAUAGGAAAUUAUCUGUAAUUGUUGCUUGACUCCCACGUAUGUGUGUACAUAUAGUUCUUUUCAAGUGAGGGCAUCCUCAUUUUGUUAAAGUGAGGAUGCCCUCACUAGAAAAUUCCAGUAGUGAUAUCGCUGUUGGAUUUUUUAAUCUAGUAUUGUUGGAUCCUUAAUCCAAUACUGGGUUUAUAUGUGAAAAUUUUAUAUAUUGCAGACUGUCAUAUAAGAUUAAGUACAAUUAAAAGUGAACUAUUUAGGUUUUCGGUGCUAUGGACUUUAAUGUGUCUAAUAGGGUGUGAGCUUUAAUGUGUAGAGAUUCAAUGAUAUUUUAAUUUUAUGAUGGACAUAAUUAGAAAUAUCCAGUGACAAUAAGAAAAUGUUGUCUAUAUAAGUGGUUAUGGUUCCCAAAUCACAAGUAUGUUUCUAUUCUAUAUUGACAUCUCAUCAUCAGAGAGAGAGAGCGCAGAGAGAAUUAAAGGACUUUCUAUUCUCUUUUUAAGUGAGGAUACGCUCACUAGAAAAUUACAAUAGUGAUAUCGCUAAAAAACCUAUUUUAGAGUUUGAUUAUUUGAACAAGUAAUUUUAAUUCUGCUUGGCUAGAAUGAGAGUAGUAUGUUAUUAGUCUUUCUAUUUAUAUUUAGGUAGAAUUCUAUUUCUAUGUUUGAGUGUACAUUGCCUGGUAGAUUUACUCAAUUACAAAUCACGUGGUUACAUAAUAUGUUUGAAAACCUCUAAUUAACAAAAUUCUUAUUUUAUUUUCUUUCGUAAUAUGAUUUACCUAAGUCUCUCUUAUAAAAUCAUUUGCAUUAAAGCAUCAAUUAAUCUCAUUACUAUGAUGUAUUAUUUGUCUUGGACUUCUUAUUUUGGUCUAUCACUAUAUUACUUACCUUGGGCUGUCUCACUAUUUUCGCAUAAUAUUAUCUGCCUUGAGUCAUUCAUUUUUGUAUAGAGUGGUUAUAUUAUCUCAUCAGUUUUUAUAUUAAUUUCUAUUUUGCCGCUGUAUGAAAUUACUUGUUUUGGUGAAUUACUAUAUUAUUUCCCUUGGGCCGCCUCACCAUUUUGUUGCAUAAUCUGCCCUGGGUCAUUCAUUUUUGUAUAGAGUGGAGAUAUGAUCUCAUCAGCUUUUAUAUUAAUUUAUGUUUUGCCAUUGUAUGAAAUUAUGAAAAAUGGAUAUUGAAGAGUUUCUUGCCACAAAUUGAACCUGCAUCUCUGGUAAGCAUUACUCAUGCACUUUCGCGGAAAAGGCAGUAAGUGAAUGACCUAAACUCAUGGUUCAUUUCAUAUUAUGGAGUUUCUUAAUUUCUUCAGGAUUAUUUCGCCUGGAAUUCUCCAAAAAUCCACUGCUGAUAGGGUUGGUGCUUGCCACAUUGCCUUUGCGGCUGGUAGUGGCUUGUAUGCUUGUUGGAUUAGUCAGAAAAUUCAAUUGGCAUUGGUCACAAAUUUUUUUAUUCAAAUUUUUAUUCGAGCUGAGGGAUACAUAUAGUAGUAGACUUCAUAUACUAUGGGUGCGUUUUUGGGAUUGAGGUUGGGUAGCUGUGACUUUUAAGUUAGAGCACUAAAGUGUUUGGUAAACACUAGCUGUUGUACCUUUUAAGCUAUAUUAAUAUGAUUUUUUAUUUGUAUAAUGAAAAAUUUAUUAUAUCUUUAAUUAUUAUUUAAAAUUUAUAUUUACUAUAUAUUAUUAACUUUUGUUUGAUAGUUACUAUUUUUUUUUUAUAACAAUUGUAGUUUUUAAGUUACAGCACCUCAAUUCCAAACAAGACCUAUAUUGUCUUUCUCAUAUAUAUAAAAUAUAGUAAGAGAUAUAUAUUGCUUUCAUAUAAUUCUCAAUAUCAUAGGCGGUUAACCUGGACUCUUGGCCUAAAGACAAUAUGAGCAUGAAACCAUUUCGCGUGGGUGAUCAGUUAAGCCACCAAUGGGCUAUAAACAGAGCUUCAUUCAAGAGAGUUAAAGGUAUCCCAAGUUCUGAAAAUUGAGAGCAAGUACAAGUGAGCUUUUGCAGAGAAUUUUGAGAGUGUUUUCUUAACUAUUCUAGCGGGUAUUAUAUUGGGUGUAUUUAGGUUAUCGAGUUUUGAGAAUUAUUCCCGUUCAAAGCCCAACCCCAAUUUCAUGAACCUAAAUAAUAAACCAAACAAAAGAGAAUAUUCUCUCAAUUUAUCUAGAAUUAUCUUGGGUAAUAAUAUCCUGAAUAAUUGGCGCUGUGGCAGUUUUAAAAAUUUGGUGAUUGUUAAGAAAUUAAUGACAAUAAGUUUAGGAUGUCGUUACUUGUUAGGACCUGCAUUUAAAAUCUUAAAUAUUCGUAAUUAAUUAUAAAGAUCUUGGUUCACAUGCAAGCUACAACAAUUAGCCAACAAAUAUAUGGUAUUUUUGACAAAACUGUGCAAAAAGAAAGAGAAUAUAAUCAAUGAAACUGAUUUGGACAAUACCACACGAUUUUAUUUUUAUUGACAAACCAACCUAAAUAAUAUAUUAACGUAAAUAACGCAUCCACAUAUAAUUGUUUUAUUUAAUUAUUAAGAAAGAUGAAGUACAUGGACAUUGGACACUAAAAAAUAUAAUCUCUUAUAUAUCAAGAGAUUUUAGAGAUUAAACUGAACCAAACUAGCACUCGCAUGAUUAGUUGACAGAUAAUAACAAUACCCAUCCUUUUAUUAACUAUAAUAUAAAAAAGUAAUAUUGUGGGUAUGUAUGUAUUUAUUAACCAGUGUGGUCGGGAUUUCUUCUAUAUUGAGAGACAACAAUAAGAUUAAGAUUGUCAAAUGUCACUUCCAUAUCAUCAGCAAUACCAUAUACAGGUACUGGAGUACUCUAUGACCGUUCACUCUUACAUGAAAGUUUAAUAUUAGAAAAUGAAUUCAUAAAUGCAUAUAUUAAAAUAUGAAUUGUAAAUGAUAUCUAUUCAGCUGAAAUUGGCUUGAAACCUGCGCAAGGAGGAGUUUCUAUGUUCUUAUUUCUGCUUUGAUCUGAUACAUAUAGAUUCAAGAAGCCGACGUUGCCAACGUGUGGGCGAUUGUGACCUAGCAAAACAUCUAAUAGUUAGUUAAAUUCCACCUGCGACACGUGGGAGCAUGGGUCCACAAAACAAAUAAUUGGAACUAAUUAGAACAGAAAUCGAUUCGGUAACCCGCCGCCGCAUGCACUUUCUAAAAGUUUUAAAUUUAUGAAUUGAAACUACUGACGCCUUUUUAUGUUUGGUUAAUUAUUCAUAUAGUUCGAGCUGAGGGAUACAUACAGUAGUAGACGCCGUGUACCAUGUUCUCUUUCUCAUAUAUAUAAAUAUAGUAAGAGAUAUAUAUGGCUUUUAUUUAAUUCUCAAUAUCAUAGGCGGUAAACACGGACACUUGGCUUAAAGACAAUAUGAACAUGAAACCAUUUCACGUGGGUGCUCAAUUAUAUAACUUUCAUCCUUCUUAUGGAAGUCAGAAGAGGUGUGUACCUACCACAUCAACCGUGUCAAGCGAAGAUAUUGGACAUUUAAUAAUGAAAAAAUUAGGAAUUUUCAUGGACACACCAGUAGGUUCCGUAAAUAUAUAGAAUCAAUUGAUUCUAGGUACCUUACAAUGUGACUUAUUAUUUUUUUUUUUUUGUCCCUAAAGAUCCGGACUAUUUUUGAGGAUACUGGCCGUUGAGGCUUUGUUUAUAAUUGUGCAAGAAAAUGGAAAAGAAUGGGCUAAAGCGCAAAAAGUAAAGCUAACAGUUGUUUAAUUUAUUUUUUUAAGAUUGUUUUGAUGUGGAAUUUGAUUUGGGAACUUUUUUGUAAUUACAAGAAACAGCCACACAGGGUGACAAUUAUGGCAUUCUUUCGUCAAUUGGAUAUUAAUAGUACAAUGAGGAUGGCUAAAUGCAUAAUCACCCUAUUAAUCUUGCAGUCCAAAGCAAAAGCAAUAGCAUUACAAACAGUAGAACUCUCAGAUUGAUUCACUGUAUCUAAACGAUAGGUCAUCUGAUUACUAAACUAUCUGACGUAACUGAUUCAGAAAUUUAAUUUAGAGAGGAUUUGGUACAAAUAAAAUGAUUCACGAGGCGCGUUCGAUGGUGCAAGUGAUCGGCGGCAACAACAAGCAAGUAAGGUAAUGAUGAUGUAUAUGUUGGAAAUAUGACUUAAUAUUGUUUAUUAAAAGUUCAAAACAUGAAUAAUAGUUGUUGGUACUGUUCACUUAGCAACAAUUGUAAAUUUGUCAAGGCGUGUUCGAACUGUCCUUAAAACAAAUUUAAGCUCUUCUAGAAAGAUUUCUCGAUGCAAAAAGGAUAUAAAUAAAAUGGAUUGAGCUCCAUGAUACAAUGAUAUUGUUGCCAGGUUGCACUCCAAGUACAAUAGUUUAGAAAAGAAAAAUUAAUGAAGAAACUAUGAGAUAGAAGGAGAGGAUAUAGUGGCUGUGCCUUGAAGACUUUGUAUUUUAAAAUACCAAUAAAACUCGAAGAAUAAACUUAAAUAAUUUUGAUCAAGAUUGCACUUUAAGAUGAAACACUAAUUAGAGGCCUUUAUGUAUAACUUAAUAAUUUGAUAAAUAACUUCGCACUAGCAAAGCCAAGAGUUUCAUUUAAACCCCUAAGAUUCAAAUAUUCUUUCACCCUUUACUACUGGCAAAAUUUGGCAAUCGAUAUUUCGGAAGACAUCACACAUGUAAAAAAAAAAAAGGAAAAAAAAAUAGCUAGUCCCAUCAAAAUCACCAAAUGCAAUCCAAUAACAUGCUCCACUUAAGUAUAGACUUUCAUGAGAAUCGACAGAAAAAAUAAAUAAUAAUAAGUUCAUUUAGUUAAGCAAAUAACAGUUUGUGAUUGUUCUUUAACCUUAUUAAUAAUCUAAUUCUUAGUUUCUUACUAUUGUUCUUUUACUUGAUUAUGUUAUCCCCUAAAUCUUCAUAACAUCCAGAUUAAAUUAUUGAGAAAUACGAAAGCGGAAGCGUACCUGAAUCCAUGGUGAUUCGUAGUGGUUCUUGAGUGUAGGAGAUGGACUUCCAAUCUUCUCUUUCUCUUGAGUUUAGAAUUCUCUUUGAGAGGAUUAGAGAAUUGCAAAGGAUUAGAGAGAUUGGGGACCAUAACCCCUUUUAUAUAAAUACCGUGACUAUUGGUUUUCUUUUAGAAAACCCAACAGUCACGUUAUUUAUGAUAAUAAUUAUCACUUCAGCCCCUCAUUAAAGUGAUGAUUAAAUUCUGGUAUCUAUGCAUUUAAUCCACAACAAUUAUACCCUUAGCCAUUUAAUUAACUUCAAAUAGAUCACUUAAUUCUUGGCUUAUUAAAUAAUAGCACACACAUUUUAUUUAUUUCAUGUGUGGCCCCAAAUAUAUUAGAUUAAUAUAAAAUUGAUCUAACAAUCUCCCACUGGGCCAUAAAUGAAAACUGAAAUGUGUUUAACUUAAUGAGCUCAUAAAAUUGCUAUUAUGUCCUUAGAGUAUAUCUGAACAAUCUAGUUCAAUAACCACAUCGGUAUAUGAUCAUAUCGGCCUUUGUUACAUUAAUCGUAACUCAACCAUCCAUGGUCACAUAUAUCAAUAUAGUUACAUGACAUAGAUCAAUUGUGGAUGCAUAGCAUGGAAAUUACAUGCAAUGUGAUCUAAACAUGUCUAUUCCCAACUGGUCCUAAUUUACUUUAUUGAGAUCUAAACUUAAGUUAGUCUAACAGAGUGUAAGGAACUGAAAUACUUUAUUUCUGCAGAAAAUAAUCCGAAUAAUAUAAUCAAAAUAUAAAAGUCACACUUAGUAAUUAUACAAACUCCCACUAAAUCUGAAUAUCCUCAAGUAAAAUCACACCCAUACGAGCAGUGUGCUCAUGAAAGACUUUAGGUGGUAAUCCUUUAGUGAGCGGAUCCGCUAUCAUGGAGUUUGUCUCAAUGUGCUCUAUAGAUAUUUGUCCACUCUGCACUCUUUCCUUCACAACAAGGAACUUGAUGUCAAUGUGUUUUGACUUUGUAGAGCUCCUGUUGUUGUUGGAAUAUAAAACUGCUGACUUAUUGUCACAAAAUAUCUUGAGCGGUCUUUCUACACCCUCUAGAAUGCGCAGCCUAGUGACAAAAUUACGCAGCCAUAUUCCUUGAUUGGAUGCCUCAUAACAUGCUACAAACUUUGCUGCCAUAGUCGAUGAAGCUACAAGUGUCUGCUUGGCAGAUCUCCAAGAAAUUGCUCCACCAGCCAACAUGUAAAUAUAGCCUGAUGUGGAUCUUCUGCUAUCUUGGCAUCUAGCAAAAUCAGAGUCAGAAUACCCAAUGAUCUCUAACUGAUCUGACCUCCUAUAUGUGAGCAUGUACUCCUUUGUUUUCUGUAAGUACCUCAUAACCCGUUUGGUUGCUUUCCAAUGAUCCAUCCCGGGAUUGCUCAAAUAUCUGCCCAACAUGCCAACUAUGCACGCAAUAUCUGGACGCGUACGUACUUAAGCAUAUAUAAGACUCCCUAUAGCUGAAGAAUAAGGAUUCUUCUCCAUUUCCUGGAUUUUAAGAUUGGUCUUAGGGCAUUGACUAAGGCUGAAUUUAUCUCCUUUGGCGACAGGGGUGUUACCUGGUUUACUGUUUUGCAUGCCAAACCUCUUCAAAACUUUAUCGAUAUAGUUCCUUUGUGACAAUCCCAGAAUACCCCGAGAACGAUCCUAAUGUAUCUCGAUUCCUAAAACAAAGGAGGCAUCACCAAGAUCUUUCAUCUCAAAAUGUUUUGAUAGAAAACUCUUGGUGUCGUGCAGUAUGCCUAUAUCAUUUGUGGCAAGCAAUAUGUCAUCAACAUAUAAAACCAGGAAUAUAUGUUUACUCCCACUAAACUUGUGAUACACACAUUCAUCAAUAACAUUUGCCUCAAAACCAUAUGAGAUAAUUAUUUGAUGAAACUUAAAGUACCAUUGACGAGAAGCUUGUUUGAGCCCAUAGAUGGAUUUGGUUAGCUUACAAACCAUUUUCUUUGGGUCUCCCAACACAGUUUUUUGGUUGUACCAUAUAAAUUGUUUCCUCAAUGUCACCAUUAAAGAAAGCAGUCUUAACAUCCAUCUGAUGUAACUCAAGAUCAAAAUGUGCAACAAGUGCCAUAAUUGUCCUAAAAGAGUCUUUCGUAGAAACCGGAGAGAAAGUCUCUUUAUAGUCAAUUCCUUCCUUUUGAGUAAAGCCUUUAGCUACAAGACGUGCUUUAUACCUUUCCACAUUACCAUUUGAAUCCCUUUUGGUUUUAAAUAUCCAUUUACAACCAAUGGGCUUCGCACCGGAAGGUAAUGAGAUGAGUUCCCAAACUUUAUUGUCUUGCAUUGACUUGUACUCUUCAUUCAUGGCUUCGAUCCAUUUAUGAGAAUUGGAGCUUUGCAUGGCUUGAUGAAAGUUAAUUGGGUCAUCUUCCAUCACUCCAGUUUCAUCCUCAUGUUCCUGAAGAAAUACUAUAUAAUCAUCCGGAAUAGCAUUUCUCCUUUCUCUUGUGGAUCGUCUUAAUUGCGCAGGCUCUUGAGGUUGUUGAGUUUGUUCCUUAGGAACAAUCAUCUCAUGUUGAUUCUGGGGUUGAACAACAUUGUCAGAUGGUUGAGGAUCUGAAUUUACUUCAUGAUCAAUGACAAGUAUUAAAACUUGUACAUUGUCAAAAGCAACAGUGGAUCCCUCUUCCUCUUCAAAGACAAUGUUUCUUACUGGAUUUCUCCCCCCAAACUCAACAUCCUCAAAGAAUGUAGCAGUUCCCGUCUCAAAAAUUGACCUUGUACUGGGAUCAUAAAACUUAAAACCCCUUGAUCGCUCUGCAUAGCCAAAAAAGUAGCUGCUUACAGUUUUGGAAUCCAAUUUCCUUUCAUGAGGUCUAUAAGGUCUCGCUUCAGCUGGACAUCCCUAACUAUGUAAAUGGUUGAGACUAGGCUUUCGACCCGUCCAAUGCUCAUAAGGUAUUUUAGCAGCCGCUUGAGUUGGCAUUCGAUUUAGGAUAUAAGCUGCUGUUUUUAGUGCUUCACCCCAGAGUGAUUCUGGUAAAGUAGAAUGACUGAUCGUACUCCUUACCAUAUCCUUAAGAGUGCGGUUUCGUCUCUCAGAUACACCAUUCAUGCUAGGCGAUCCUGGCAUAGUAUAUUGAGGGACAAUUCCACAUUCCUCUAGGUAUUUAGCAAACGGUCCUGGACGUUGUUCUCCUGAACCAUUAUAUCUACCGUAGUAUUCACCACCACGGUCAGACCUGACAUUUUUAAUCCUUUUGUUGAGUUGUAACUCAACUUCGGCUUUAAACGUUUUGAACACAUCCAAAGACUGUGAUUUUUCAUGAAUCAGGAAUAUAUAGCCAUAUCUUGAAUAGUCGUCUAUGAAUGUAAUGAAAUAUUGUUGACCAUUCCAAGUAGCUGUAUGGAAUGGUCCACAAAUAUCUAUAUGAAUUAAUUCUAAGACGGCUGAUGUUCUGUAGGCUCCUAAUUUCUUACUUUUGGUUUGUUUUCCCUUGAUACACUCAAUACAAACAUCAAGGUCUGUAAAAUCAAGAGAUCUUAAAAUCUCAUCAGACACUAAUCGCUCAAGUCUAGCUUUAGAGAUAUGACCUAAACGUUUGUGCCAUAAUGAGGCCGAAUUUUCUUUCUCUAAUUUACGUUUUAUACCUCUGGAACUAAAAUGCAGGUUUUCAUUAUAACUUGAAACAGUGUGUAGCAAAUAUAGAUUGUCAUAAGCAUUAAGCAAACCGGUUCCAAUAACAUUAGAAUUGAUAGAUAAACUAAAUUGUCUGUUUACAAAUGAACAAGAAUAACCAGAUUUGUCCAAAACAGAAACUGAAAUCAAAUUUCAUCUAAAAGACGGAACAACAAAAGUAUCUAACAAAUCCAAAUAACAACCAGUUUUCAUAAGUAAUCUAAAAUGCCCAAUUGCUUCAACUUCUACCGUCUUACCAUCUCCUACAUAAAUGCAUCUUUCAGCAUCACUUGGCGGCCGGUAGCUCAGGCAACCCUGCAGUGAAACACAAAUGUGAGUAGUAGCACCCGAAUUUAUCCACCAUGUGUUUCUUGGUACUGAAGCGAAAUUAGUUUCAGAACAAACCAAAGUAAGAAAUGUACCUCUCUUUACGCGCCAUGCGUGAUAUUUUUGACAUUCCUUCUUCACAUGUCCAGGCUUGCCGCAGAAGAAACAACCAUGCUCGGCCUUUGGUUUCUUUGGCUCUGGACCCUUACAAGCAGCAGCUUCACCCUUUUUCUUUCUUUUGCCCUUAUCUUUAAAAGUGCUUACGAUAUGUGCAUAUUCGGAUUUCUCUUGCUUCAGUCUCUCUUCUUCUUGCACACAAAAGGAAAUCAGUUCAUUAAGAUUCCACUUCUCUUUCUGACAGUUGUAACUAACUUUGAACUGAUUAAAUUGUGUUGGGAGAGAGAUAAGGACCAAAUGCACAACCAAAUCAUCAGAUAGGUCGAGCCCUAAUGCCUUAAGCUUAGAAGCAAGAUGAGACAUCUCCAUGAUGUACUCUCGAACGUUUCCCUUGCCUUUAUACUUCAUUGAAAUCAAGCUUGCUAAAUGCAUACUUGUUUCAGCCUUAUCGUUUUUUGUAAAACGUUUAUGAAUUUCGGUAAGAAACUCACUAGCACUUGUAACCUCAUCAGUUAUAGCACUCCUAAAUACUUCUGGAACACCGCGCUUCAUGAUCAUAAGACUCAUCAUGUUAGAUCGAUCCCACUUCUCAUAGUACAACACAUCCUCAGAUGUACUAUCAUCAGUGAGUUCGUCUGGCUUAGGGUGUCUGAAUGAUAAGUCUAGAUCCAUGCAGCCUAAGAGAAUCAUCAUAUUCUCUUUCCAGUCAAUAAAAUUAGUCCCAUUUAGAACCGGGACACUAUUCAUAUUUGCAGAUAUAGAAGUCGCAGAUAGAAAAGCUAAAUAGAGAACAAAAAAAUAAAAUAUAAAUAAUGCUCACAUUAAACAACUCAAUUAAUAAUCUUUAAAAAUUUAAAAACAAAUUAUAACAUUUCAAGAUACCUAGCACAACAUUAGUAACAAGUCUUUGGACUAUAAUACUAACUGUAAAUGGUACUCUUGUUGCAAUGAUCAAAUUUUGACAAUAAAUUAUGUCAAGUAAUGAACCAAUCUUUGGAUUAGUACAUUACUCACAUUAAGUUAUCUUAAUAAUCGUCACAAAUUUACCAUCACAAGUGUGUGUGCAAUUAGGCCAAAUAUUAACCUUCCUUUGGGUCGAUUAACAUCCGCAGGAAUUACACAAACACAAACAUCUAACACCCCAAAUAAACUAAUCUACACAGGAGAUAUCACUUUGGUGACUUCCUGCUUUAAUUAGCAUAUCAUCAGUGUUAGACCAAUAAUCAUUUUAAUUUAAAGAUUAUAAAACCAUAACCGAAAUAAUUAAUAAAACCGAAACCGAAACGUGGUCUAACCAUAACAAUUACAAAAUUCCAAGCAAAAUGAUAUUAAUAACUCAAUAAUCUAAUCAUGGAUGGGGCUCUGAUACCACUUGUUAUCCCCUAAAUCUUCAUAACAUCCAGAUUAAAUUACUGAGAAAUACGAAAGCGGAAGCGUACCUGAAUCCAUGGUAAUUCGUAGUGGUUCUUGAGUGUAGGAGAUGGACUUCCAAUCUUCUAUUUCUCUUGAGUUUAGAAUUCUCUUUGAGAGGAUUAGAGAAUUGCAAAGGAUUAGAGAGAUUGGGGACCAUAACCCCUUUUAUAUAAAUAUCGUGACUAUUGGUUUUCUUUUAGAAAACCCAACAGUCACGUUAUUUAUGAUAAUAAUUAUCACUUUAGCCCCUCAUUAAAGUGAUGAUUAAAUUCUGGUAUCUAUGCAUUUAAUCCACAACAAUGAUACCCUUAGCCAUUUAAUUAACUUCAAAUAGAUCACUUAAUUCUUGGCUUAUUAAAUAAUAGCACGCACAUUUUAUUUAUUUCAUGUGUGGCCCCAAAUAUAUUAGAUUAAUAUAAAAUUGAUCUAACAGAUUAUAUUGUCGAAUCUUUCUGAAAAAGAUUGUUUUUGUAAUUGAACUGUUUAAAGUUUAAACAAAAAAAAAAAGCACUAAAUCCAAAUCAAAUAUAAAUACAAAUCCAGGUUCUAAAAAAAUCAAGUACAAAUACAGAAUCUAAAUUCUAAAACUUAAAGUUUCCAAGCGAACAUCAAGGAAUCAACAUCCCACGAAGCAACACGAACGGCGAAGGCGAGCUAGUUCAACCUGUAUCGGGGCUGGUUACUGGUCGCGAUAGCAGCUAGUGAUGAUGAACAUUGAACACAGCCACAAUCACGAUUAGCGAAGGUGGCGUUCAACUCGUAUCACAACUUGUUACUCGUUGUGACAUAGAAGAAGAAAUGAUGGCUAAUGAUGAUGAUGAGAUUAACACAACCGCAAAGAUAGUGAAGUGAUGACGACGAUGAUUUAAUUUGAUGAAAAAAACACCUGAAAAGAGACAGACAGGAAAUGUUUGGCCUUGGCAGCCGCAGUUAUGAAUGCAAGUAGGGCACUUGGGCUUUUUUUGUGUUUUUCUAUUUGUAUUAUAUAAUCUAAAAAAAUUAAUAUUAAAAUAAAAGCUUCCGGGUCUAGAUUCUGUAUCUAUGGGUUCAGAUAAACCCAGACACGGACUUGGAUACGUCUGGGUUCAUUAAAUUGCAUCCGAAUUCCAUAUAAAAUUUGCUCCAGUAUGGGUUGAAGCCAGCCUAUUCUCUGGGUUCAUCUAGGUUUGGGCGGGGAUCAGAUUGAAUUGGCAUCGCUUUUAUGUCCAAAUUAUCAAUAAGAUCCUUUGCUGUUAGUAAAUUCCUUUAUCAAAUGGUUUCAAUUUUGAACAUAUUAGUCCUAUUCCAAUUUUCAACCGUUCCCAAUUUUAUAACUCCAUUUAUUAGUAACAUUGUCUUAAAAGUUCAUCAUUGCACGGCACUAGAAUGAUUAUAAGGUUUAAUAUUUUUGAAUUAUGAAGCUCGUUCUCAGUAAGACAAGGCUAUUUGCACUCUAAAACUUAGUCUAAACAAUCUAUCACCUUGGAUACUCAUGUACUAAAUUUAAAAAGAUUAAGUUUUAUUUUCUUCACACUUUAAAAUACCUAAAAAGACCUUACUGAAACUCGCUAAAUUAAUUUACUCAAAACACCAAUCAAACUAUUUAGCACAUCCAAAAUGAAUUAGUAAUAAUUUAGAAUACACUGCAAUGGAAUCAAAGUAUGUUCUAAAGAAAUUUUUUUAACAUAAGUUUUAUUUAUUAGCUUUUGUUUAUUAAAGAAUAUGUUCAGCAUUGGUUUUUAAACCCCAAACUUUUAACCCAACAAUUGGAAAAAAUGGUUAUUUGGCCCAAAAAGGGAAAAAAAGAAAGAAAGAAAGAAAGAAAGAAAGCAAGCAAGAAAGAAGAAAAGAACACAAAGAAGAAGGAGAAGACUGCAAAAAAUAUUUUUAAAAAACUAAAAGGCAUAAAUAUGUUCAAAAUAUAUUAAAAGUAUUCAUUUGCUCCUAGCUCCUAGUUUAACUAAAUAUUGUUUAAGAGAUUGGAAAUAAAAUUUCUAGGGCUUAUGCCAAAAGAAUUAUAUAUUCAAUAAUGAGUGUGCUAUAUGAGUAUUUAGAGUAAUUAUAUAAUGUUAAUUUAUAAGAAAGAGUCCUUAUUAGUAAUUCAUAUGAUGUGUAUUUUUGUGAUAGAAUAAUUUAUUAAAAUAAAAAUGUGCAGAAUAUUUUUUGUAUUGUAAAUAUGUAAAAAUUCUCACCCUUCUCAAUAUAUUGACUUGAGUGAUAAUUUUAAAUUGCAUCAGAAUGAGCUAAAAGAAGAGGAAUUGUCGAAAUUCAGCUUAUGGCAAUUGAACAAUUAAUGGUUAAGAAAUACAGUAAAUCAAUAAUACUAAAACAUAAACAUAAUAAGAGAUCUGGGAUCUAACUAAUAUAUUGAUUCAAGAGUGACUAAUUAAAUAAAACUUCUUGAAAACCACACCUGCACAAGUCCAUGUGGGUUCUCAAGUUCUAUGUUAACUAUUAUUCUUCUCGGCAAGUAUCAUUCUUCUAUUGGAGAUGCCAUUGUUGCAGAAUAGAAGUCAGUUGAAGCUGUUAAUAUUAUGAUUGAAGUUUAUGCAAGUGCAGAUUGCAGACAGUAGAUAUCGACUUGAAGCCUCAUGUAAGGAAAUAAAGGUUGGUUUUCAACCAAAUAUGACGACUGGGACAAUGUCGGGUGGUUAAGGAAGAUGCAAUGGUCGUCUCAAAAAAUUGGGUUUCAUUGGCCAGAUAAGACUAAGAUGUCAACUUUUUUUUUUUCGUUAAUAUGAUUAACAAUGAAAGAGUAAUUUUGAAACAUUGACUUGGACUUGUGAUUGUUAAUAAAUUUAUUACUUCUUUUCAUUAAUUUGACCUGCAUAACAAUUAAUUGAGUGAUUUUUAUUUUUCAAGAUACUGCUACUUGAAGAAAUUGUAUGAAUCAAUAAUUUAUCAAUGAGUAACGUUACAAUUUAUACAAGUUAGACAUACUUGGCUGAUAAGCCAAACACUAUAAGAUAAGUCAUAGCCUAUAAGAUAAAUACAAGCUAAGGUAAAGAGCUAUAAGAUAAGAUUACAAGUUAUUGAAACAGAGAGUAGUUAUCUAUGUACAUGUUUGGUUAAUACGCCCCUGCAAGAUAUGUGUUCCAUCUAGAACUCCUAGCUUGGAACGUGCAGCAAUAUAACGACUGCGAGACAGUGGUUUGGUCAAGGUAUCAGCCAACUUAUUUUCUGAAGGAAUAUGAGAAACACAAAGAAGACCUGCUGCAAUUUUAUCACGAACAAAAUAAAAAUCAAUUUCUAGGUGUUUCAUCUUUGAGUGAUAAAUCGGAUUUGAACAUAAGUAUGUCGCUCCAAGAUUAUCACAAUGUAGAACAGGCAUAGAAAAUUUUAUACCAAGUUCAUCCAACAAGUUCCUGAUCCAACAUAUUUUUGAAACAACAGCAGUUAUUGCUCAAAAUUCUGCCUCUGUAGAUGAGCGAGCAACAGAACGUUGCUUUUUGGAUGACCAUGAAAUUGGAUUGCCUCCAAAAUAAAUAACAUAGGCACUAGUAGAACUGCGAUCAUCAAGAUUUCCUCCCCAAUCAGAAUCAGAGUAAGCUAUCAAGGAAUGCGACUGAGAUGAGCGUAGAUGUAAACCAUGAAAAAUUGUCCCUUUCAAAUAUCUAAGUAUUCGCUUAGCAGCUUGCCAAUGAAUUUGUGAAGAUUGUUACAUGAACUGAGAUAAUUUGUUGACAACAAAUCUAAUAUCCGGCCGAGUUAAUGUUAGAUACUGUAAGGCUCCAAUAAGUUGACGAUAUAGAGUGGAAUCGGCUGGUGGUGCCCCAUCAUUUAAUUGAAGUGUAACUGAGGAGGAAAGAGGAGUACCAACUGCUUUAGCAUCAUACAUGCCAAAACGCUGCAGGAGGUCACGAAUGUAAGAGUGUUGUGACAAGAGAAUUCCAGUGGUUUGUUGAACAAGCUCAACACCUAAAAAAUAGUUUAAAGCCCCAAAUCUUUGAGAGAGAAUUUAACUGAAAGAGCAUCAAUGAAAUGAGAAAUAAAUGCAUUAUGGCUGCCCGUUAUAAUUAUGUCAUCAACGUAGGCAAGAAAGUAGACUCGUACACCAUUUGUGUUAUAAAUAAACAAUGAUGCAUCAGAUCGACAUUGAUGAAAACCAUAAGCAAGCAGGAAAUGAUGUAAAGCUGUAAACCAUGCACGUGGAGCCUGUUUUAAGCCAUAAAUUAAUUUAUUCAACCUGCAGACAAAAUUAGGUUUGUUAGAAUCAACAAAACCACUGGGUUGUUUCAUGAACACUUCCUCUUGAAGAUGACCAUGGAGAAAAGCAUUAUUAAUAUCUAGUUGCCAUAAGGACCAGCCACAUGCCAAGGCUAGGCAAAUAACCAAUCAAACUAUAGUAGGCUUAAUAACUGGAUUGAAAGUUUCAUGAAAAUCAAUCCCAAGACGCCGAUGGAAACCUUUAGCUACUAGAUGAGCUUGAAAUCGAUCAAUACUACCAUUGGGUUUCCUUUUAAUCCAAAACACUCACUUACUGCCGACAAGGUUCUGAUUAGGUGAUGGAGGUAUAAGGUCCUAUGUGUUAUUGGAGAUAAGGGCACGAUAUUCAGUAGUCAUGGCAGCAAGCCAUUGAGGAUCUUUAAGUGCCUGUGUAAUGGAGGUGGGUUCACAAGAAGUUGGCAAUGGAUGACUGAAGUGCACCUGUAGAUGGUCUAACGUGGAAGAAAUUUUUUUUUUGGUUUAUGGAUGUUAUUUUGGGAGCGGGUUGUCAUUGGAUGUGUUCGAACAAGUGGAUUUGAUGAAGAAUGAGGUUUAGAUAAGGUUGAAUAAGGAUUAUUGGGUUCUGGAAUGGUGGGUGGAAUUUCAAUGGAAUUAGGAGAUGAUAAGGACGUGAGGAUCUGGGAACUUAUGGUGGUGGGGCUAGUAUUUGGUGGGUAUGAUGUGUGGGGUCAAGAGAGUUCUCCUGGAAUGAACUUGGAGGUUGUAUAUUUGAAUUAGAAUUUUCUGCAGACAAAGAACAUGAGCCCAAGUGCAAUGUCAUUUUAUUAUCAGAUGAGGCAAGUGACUGAGUGGCAUUAGAAUUGGAAGUUGAAACGGUGGGACUAGAUACAUGAAACACAGGAGGAAGCCAAGACGCUAUAGGUAAAGUAGAGAAAGAAGACAAAGUAGAAGUAAUAGAGUUAUAGGGAAAUACAUACUCAACAAAUUGCACAUCUCGUGAAAUAAAAAUUUUCCCAAACUUUGGCUCCAAGCAUUUAUAGGCACUUUGUUGAAAGCAAUAUCCUAGAAAAACACAUGGAAGUGAACGUGGUUCUAAUUUGUUGUGAGUGUAUGGCCGAAGCCAUGGAUAACAAAGACACCCAAAUAUUUUUAGUUUAUUGUAAUUAGGAGUUUCUUUAAACAGUAAUUGGAAAGGACAUUGCAUGCCAGUGGCACGAGAAGGUAGCCUAUUAAUUAAAUAGACAGCUGUCUGGAAGGCAAAUGACCAAAAUUUUGGUGGUAAUGAUGCUUGGUGCAAUAGUGUUAUCCCGGUUUCAACAAUGUGUCAGUGUCUACGUUUAGUUGUUCCAUUAUGUUGUGGGGUAUAAGGUGGUGUAGAUAAAUGAGAAAUGCCACACUUAAGAAAAAAAAUCUUUGAGUUUAAUAAAUUCCCCACCUCUAUCAGUGUAAACAGAAACAAUAUUGGUCUUAAAAUAAUUUUCAACAUUGUUCUUGAAUUGAACAAAAGUACCAAAGACAUCAUAUUUGAAUCGCAAUGGAUAAAGCCAAAUAUACUUGGUAAAGUGAUCAACAAAAAUCACAUAAUAUUUGUAACCAUCCAACGAUGUAACAGGAGCAGGACCCCACACAUCCGAAUAAACAAGUUCAAGAGGACUACUACUUUUCAAUGUAGACUCUCCAAAAGGGAGGCGAUGACUUUUAUUACAUAAACAAGACUCACAUGAUGGAGGAACUAAAGACCCAGAAAUAGAUAAAUGAAGAAAACACAAAAGAUGAUUUAAAACUUCUGUUGACGGAUGACCAACACGCUGAUGCCAAAUGGAAGAUGAAGGUUUAAUAGUGACACAGGAAAGCGGUGAAGAUGAUUUGCUAAAGAAUAAAUUUGGCCACUCAUACACUCCAUCCUUAUUCUGGCCUUGCAAUAAAAUUGCCCCCGUGGUCAUGUCCUUCACCUGAAAAAAAUCAGGAAAGAAUUCAAUAGAGGUAUUAUUUGAAGCACAAAAUUGAGAUACGAAGAUUAGAUUUUUAUUCAUAGAGGGGACAUAAAGAACAUCAUGCAAAGAAAAUUUGGUAUGAGGGGAAGAUAAAGAUAAAGAUCUAGUGUGAGAAAUACUCAAACCUGUACCAUUUCCAACUAAAACUGAAUCAGAACCUUGGUAGGGAGAAGCAGUAGUUAGAUUUUUAAAAUCCCCUGUGACAUAAUGUGAGGCAGCACUAUCAACAAGCCAAUUUGGGGAAACCAUAUUGGAUGUAAUGGUGUGGUUUAACAUCAGAGUAUUUUUGCGAGAGGAGAAAACUGGACAGUCUUUGGCUGUGUGACGUUUUUGCUCACAAAGCUGACAAAAUCCCUUAUAGCCAGAUCAUUUCUUACGAAAUUGAGCAUUAUUAUUGGUGAAAUUUUGAUAGUUGGAGGCAUUAUGGGGUUGGGAAGAAAAUUGACCAUUAUUAAAUUGGCCAUUUUGAUGUGGCAUAGAAGAGCCACGGUUGCCUUGCUUGUGAUUUGCACCAUGCUUAUUAUAUUGUCGUUGUGUAGCAUUAGUCGUAAUAGGAGAAAUUGCCAUUGGAUCUGCUCGUUUCAAAGUUGCUUCAAAAUCAACCAACUUGUCAUAUAACUCGUCAAAGGAAAUAACAGUUUCACGUGUUCUUACCCCAACAAUUAUUUCUUUGAAUUCUGCGCCAACUCCAUUAGCAAUAUGAACCGCAAUAUGAACCACAAUAUCGUCAUCAAUGAUGGGUAUAUCAAUCAAUGAUAAUUCAUCAGUAGUAGAUCUUAGGGAAUUGAGAUAAUCUGCCACAGAUUGUGAUCCACGAUGGGGGCGAGCUAGACGCUCUUUUAGCGAAAACACACGGCUACGGCUAGGAUUGGAAUAAAGUCUUGCUAACUUAUCCCACACUUAUUUGGACGUUGUGGAACAAGCAAUCAGUGGAGCAACUCUUUCUGAAGAGGAGGCAAUGAUGGAAUGAAAGAUCAAUUGAUCUUGACGUUUCCAAUAAAGGUAUGCUGGGUUUGGGGUGGAUACAGUUUCACUGCUAGAGGCUAAUGUUGGGUCUGGACAUGGAAAGGAUCCAUUUAUGUAUUUGAUAAGAUCAUAACCAAAAGCAAGGGAUAAAAACUGAGCUCGCCAAGUAAAAUAGUUUUCUGGUGUAAGUUUCAAAGGAAGUUGUGCAACAACAUUAAUAGAGAUAUACCCAGUAGAUUGUUGGGUUGAUUGGGUAGGGGAAAUGGCUGUAGAAGUAGGUGUUGUUUGAUCAGCCAUUAUAAAAAAGAAAAAUGUGCUCUUUAGAGACUAGAGCUCUGAUACCAUGAAGAAAUUAUAUGAAUCAAUAAUUUAUCAAUGAGUAACGUUACAAUUUAUACAAGUCAGGCAUACUUGGCUGAUAAGCCAAAUACUAUAAGAUAAGUCAUAGCCUAUAAGAUAAAUACAAGCUAAGGUAAAGAGCUAUAAGAUAAGAUUACAAGUUAUUGAAACAGAGAAUAGUUAUCUAUGUACAUGUUUGGCUAAUACUACCCUCCCAAGUUCGAAUCUUCGGUUGAAAAUUUUGAUUUAAACUUAGUCUUCAUCCCUCAUUUAUAAAUAAUAAAUAAAUUAAUUAAUACAUAAAUAAAUAAAACCUACGUGAAUGUAGAAAUGAAUCAGAUGAAAAGUAAAUAUUGUAUAAAUACCCGCACAAUGUGGUUCAGCUGCAUUGAAUAUUAUGCCAAGAAUAUGCAAAUCUGUUGGUUAGUGUUGACUUUGAACUACCUGAAGUACACAAGGGACUUUAACAUAGACUUAAUAACCAGUGGAAUUUCUGGCAAUUUAAGAAAAAAAGGGAACUAAGAUUCAUUUUAUUAUUCUUCCUUCCUGAACCUUAACAAAGAAAUUAAUCACAAAAAUAGUUUUUUGAAGUCUUUAAAAGUAAACCUUUUAGGAUCUCUUCAGAGAGCCGAAGAAAUGAAACAUGAGAAAACUUUGAAGUGAAAAGUAAUUUGGAGCUUACACAUCUUGGCACUCUUAAUCGGUGAAGCAACUGUGAUGUAACCUAACAGAAUGAUUAGAAUUUUCUGAGUAUAUAUGUUAACCCAUCCAUCAUAUUAUCUAUAUGUGUAUUCAGCACAAACCUUUUAAUCUUGUAUAAACUUAAAAUAGAGAACUGUUAUUCGUUCAAUACUUGCAGCCUUUAGAAGCUCAUCAAGUCCUUCACAAGUCCCAUUGUCCACUGUCGCAAGAGUUUGUUAAAAUCAUGAAUCAGUAUUGUGAAUUGGUUUAGUUAUAUUCUAUUAAGUUCGUUGCUAUUUUUCAAAAAAAAAAAAGUUCGUUGCUGAGGUGGCUUGAUGAGCUGGCGUUUGUGGGAACCUUAGUGGUUAAGUUGUUACAACAGUCCUACAAGUUUUUGGAAUUAAAUAUAAAAGAAAGCAAUGCUGGCCGGUGCAGCACCUAAAGACAAGAUCUUGACUAACUUUGAGAUAAAUUUUGUUAAUUCUUCAUUGAAGGGAUUUAUUCUCUGUGAUCUCAAGAAUUGUAGUAAUCAAUAUCUUAAUAAAAGUUUAUUAUCAGCCAUGGAUACAGGUACUAUGGUACCAAACCACGUAAUAUUACAAUGUUCUUUUUCUCUACUUUUUUAGUUUCUUUGUCAUAUAUGUUCUUUGUUCUUUGAUCUAGUGUCAUUAAUUCUUUGUGCCAUUAAUUGGACUGGUUAAUUGGCUAGUUUGAUUAAGAGCCGAAAGAGAAGAAAAGGCCUUGAUUUAUAGAAAAUUGGUAUCAGAGCCUUGGAGCUCUUUGCUCUUGAUCUUCAAAUGGAAAAGUAUCAGAUUUGAUCUCAAAAAAUUCAAUGGUGAAAAUAAUUUCUACUUGUGGAGUCUCAAAAUGCGUGCAAUUCUAUUUCAAGAAGGGUUUGAUAGUGCUCUUGAUGAUGAUGAAUAUCCAAAGGAUAAGAAAGAGAUUGAAGAAGGUUCAUCAAGUUCUGGAGGAGACAUGGGGUCCAUUAACAAUAAGGCUCACAACAGCAUUAUUUUACAUCUUUCAAGUGAAGUGUUGAGAGAAGUGGGAAAAGAAGAGACUACUUCUGGUCUAUGAGCAAAACUUGAAGAGUUAUUCUUGAAGAAAUCUUUGGCCAAGAGGCUCUGUAUAAAGAGGAAGUUGUACACAUUUUCAAUAAAGGAGAGGACAACUAUGAAAGAUCAUUCGGAUGAAUUUAACAAGCUGAUAUUGGAUCUUAAGAAUGUUAACAUUAUUCUUGAAAAUGAGGAUAAAAUUCUUAUCUUACUAAGCUCACUCCUAGAUUCAUAUAAGCAUUUUGUGGGUACUUUGUUGUAUGGAAGACAAUCACUCACUUUGAAGAAUGUGAAAAAUGCAUUAGAAUCUAAAGAUUUAAAAAAAAGAACAGAAAUAAGGGAUCAAAAUCUUGGAGAGGGCCAUAGUUGUCAGAUUCAUAUUAGAGAAGAAAGCCAAUAAAGACAAAAAGAAUAAUAAUAAGAGGGAUAAAGUUGAUAACAAGAAGAAACAAAAUGCUACUUAUGUCAUAAAGAAAGACAUUAUAUUAAGGAUUGCUUUGAGAAGAAAAAGCUUAAGAGGCUGUAAAAGGAACCAAAUGGGAAGGUUGCCAUUGUAUUUGAAGAUAAGGGAGAUUCAGAAGGAGCAGAUGUCCUUAUUACACUGAAAAAUAACUUACUGGUGAGUGGAUACUGGACACUGUAUGUUUUUUUUUUCAUAUGUGCCUAAAUAGAGAUUUGUUCAAGACCUUUGAAAGCAUUGAUGGGGGCAAAGUCUUGCUUGGAAACAAUCUUACUUAUAAGGUUAUUGGAAUUAGAACCAUUAGUAUCAAGAUGUUUGAUGGGGUAACUAAAGAUCUAAAAUCAGUGAGAUUGAAAACUUUUUGUAUUUCUCUAUAUCGUAAAAGGUUACACAGAUUCCUCUUAUAGAGAAGAAUACAUAAAAUCAGGAAACUGACAAUAAAUUAGCUAUCUAGUUGUACUAGCUAUUUCCUAAUUUACACCAUUGACUUAUUCUUAUUUACAGCUAACAAUCCUCUCUAACUACAAAUAUUUUUUUCCUUUUCUACACUCCCCCUGAAGUUGGUUUGAAGAUAUCCUCCAUAGCCAGCUUGCCAAUUAGCUCGUUGAAUUGCCGAGUAGGAAGCCCCUUAGUAAGUACAUCUGCAACUUACUGAGUAGUGGGAAUGUUAGGCAUACAGAUUAACCCUUUCUCAAGUAUUUCCUUGAUGAAAUGUCAUCUUUAUUGUCAUAAGUAGUUGAUCUAAACUAAGUUUCUAUGCUGCUUCUUGCCACCACAUUUUGCUUUUUACUUCGCCAUGUAAAACGAUUGCCACCAAUAAACGUGCAAUAGCCAGAAGUUAAUCGUUUAUCAACAGCACUUCUAACCCAAUCCGCAUCAGUGUAGGCUUCAACUUGUAAGCGCCCACGAUUCUUGAAUAACAAACCUCUUCCAGAAGUCCCCUUCAAAUACCUGAGAAUUCUAUAGACUGCAUUGAAGUGUUCUUGUCCAGGGGAAGGCAUAAACUGGCUAACUAUGCUCACUGCAAACGCUAUAUCUAGACGAGUAUGCAAUAAGUAAAUCAAUCUUCCAACAAGUCUCUGGUAUUGUUCUCUGUCCAGGACUUCUUCAGGUUUAAGAGGCUAUAAUUUGAGGUUGAGCUCAAUAGGUGUUUGUGCUGGUUUACACUCUAGCAAGCCCGUUUCAUUAAGCAAAUCAAGGACAUAUUUACGUUGAUUCACAAAUACACCUUUUUUGGAUCUAGCAAACUUCAUUCUAAGAAAGUAUUUCAAUGUCCCUAAAUCCUUGAUCUCGAAGUCAGCUGCAAGUCUCUUUUUCAAAUUUUCUAGUUCUUCACUGUUAUGAUAUGUCAUGACUAUAUCAUCCAUAUAAACAAUUAGUGUAGCAAUUCUGCCUUCUCUACUAUGUUUAUAGAACAUAGUAUGAUUAGCUAGGCUUUGACAAUACCCACAAUUCUUUACAGAUUUCCUAAAUCUCUCAAACCAAGUUCCAAGGGAUCACUUGAGGCCAUACAACAACUUCUUUAGUCUACAGACUUUCUUUGAUCCCAAAUUCUUCUCAAAACCGGGUGGUAGACUCAUAAAAACCUCUUCCUUAAGAUCACCAUUCAAAAGGCAUUUUUUACAUCCAAUUGGUAUAAUGGCCAGUUCAGAUUUACAACCAAAGAUAAUAGAAUUCUAAUUGAGUUUAUCUUCGCUAUCGGAGAAAAGGUCUCCUGAUAAUCAAUCUCAUAGGUUUAAGUGAAUCUCUUAGCUACUAAUCUUGCCUUAAAGAUUUCUAUGCUACCAUUUGCUUUAUACUUCACAGUAAAGACCUACUUGCAACCUACAAUCUUCUUCUCUUUAGGCAAGUCAACUAUCUCCCAAGUACCAUUUCUCCUAAGAGCAUUCAUCUCUUAUAUCACUGCCAAUUUCUAAUUUGGAUCACCAAGAGCUUCUUGAAUGUUUCUUGGGAUAAAAACAGUGUGAGAUUUUUUAAGUAAAUGCCCUAUAAGUGUGAGAAAGUUUGUCAUAAGAAAGAUAUUGAGCAAUGGGAUAUCUAGGAUUCUUAGUGAGAUUUCGAAUUCCUUUUCUAAUAGCAACGAGAAUAUUAAGGGCUGAUGAUUCUUUGCUAGGGAAAAUGAUGGGAAUUGAAGAUGAGUUAGGAUUGAAAAUACCUGUGAUAUUUGCAGGUCCAAUCCCCGAGGGUUGUGAUUGCUCGUUACCAAGAGUAACUGGUUGCCUUUGACUUUUUUUAUGAUGUUUUCUCCAAGUAUAAACCAAAAGCUCAAUGUUAGAAUCAUUUUGAUCUGGCAGUAGUAGUGAUUCUCCCCAUGUUUCAGAUACAAUAAUGUUUGGCAUUAUAUUGCCAGAACUUCCCUCAUUAUUCUCAGUGUUUUUAUCAUCACAUUGUUCCUGACUUUGAAGGUCGGGAAUGGUAGGAUGAGAGGAAUGAGGUAUAGUAGUAAAAAAUACUUUUGGUAAAGAGUUAGGAGAUAUAUCCCAAAAAGUUUAUUCCAUUACCUCAUACUCCCCCUGAAGAGAAUUUUUGUGAAAGUAGGAUUUAUUUUCAAAACACGAGAUAUCCAUACUCGCAUAAAUUUUCCUUGUUUGGGGAUUAUAGCACUCAUAUCCCUUUUAUUGGAGGCAUGCCCUUGGAUCAAGUUUGGACUGAGUGUUAUUAGGUAUACGAACAAAGACAGUACAACAAAAAACUUUAGAGGUAAAUCUUAAUACAUUCUAGAUAGGGGAAAGCAUUUUUUAAAACAUUCUAGAGGUAUAUUAUAUUUUAAAACACAUGUAGGCAUCUUAUUAAUUAAAUAAGUUGCUAUUAAAAUAACUUCUCCCCAAAGAUAUUUUGGAACAUUCAUCGAAAGCAUUAUAACACUUGUUACUUCAAAUAAAUGUUUAUUUUUUCUUUUAGCAAUCCUAUUUUGCUGAGGAGUAUCUACACAAGUGGACUGGUGAUAAAUACCUUUUUCUUUCAAUUUUUUUUUCAAAAUACCUUUAUAGUACUCGGUUCCAUUAUCAUUGUGAAGAACUCUAAUUUUCUUUUGAAAUUGAGUUUCAACUAUUGUGUAAAAGUCUUUAAAAAAAUUUCCAACUUCAGAUUUUUUACUCAUUAAGUAAACCCAAUAUAGACGGGUGUGAUCAUUUAUGAAUGUGACAAAUCAUUUUUUCUUUGAAAUAGUAGUAACUCUUGAAGGUCCCCAAACAUCACUACAUAUUAAAUAAAAUGGUUUUGAAGGAAUAUAAGGUUUUGGCAGAUAAGUAGUACAAUGAAUCUUUGACAUACAACAACUUUCACAGUAAAAUGAUGAAAAAUCCAAACCCUUAAAUAAAGUAGGAAACAAAUGUUUAAGAUAUGGAAAGCUAGAAUGUCCUAAUCUUAAAUGCCAAAGCAUUAUUUGUUCAUAAAUAGAGUUAGAACUAACACUACUAAGGCCCUGAGCCUUUUUAUUCCUAGAGAAAUCAUCAUCAAAGUAGUAAAGGCCACCAAUCAAUUUAGCACUGCCAAUCUUCUUCCCCGAGGUUUGGUUCUAAAAUUCAAAGUAAGAAUCACAAAAAAUCACUCGGCAAUUAGAAUCUUUAGUUAUUUUACUCACGGUUAAAAGAUUACAAGCUAACUUGGGAACAUGAAGAAUAGAAUUAAGGUUUAAUUUUUUGGAUAAUUUAAUCAAACAUUUCCCUACUAUUGGUGAGAAAGUACUAUCUGCAAUUCUUAUUUUGUCAAGACCAUAACAUGGUGAGUAGGUGCAAAACAAAUUUGAAAGGUUGGUCAUAUGAUCAAAAGCUCUUGAAUUUAUGAUCUAAUGAGCAUAAUUUGAACAUAAAGAAAGAGCAUUGGGUGUGCUAUCUGUUUAUGCAAGAAAAACAGUAGGAAUACUACUUGGUGAGUAAUUGGGUUUUAUCAACUGCAGACGGUAAUCCAUCUGCUCCUUGGCGAAAGGGCCUGUCUCGGCUUCAUUUGCAGUACAAAUCAACCAGGUAUUUUUAUCACCAGGCUUGCUGCUCUUUCAAUUUACUGGUUUUUCAUGGAUUUUCCAGCAUGUUUCUCAGGUAUGACAUUGUUUGUUGCAAUAGUCACACUAUACCCGUAGCUUCUCUACAGUUUUAUGUUGAAAUCUGGCUAUUUUGUUAAAAACAACCAAUGCACUAAAAAGGGCAGAACUUUCAGUAGGCCCGUCAGUUGUCUUCUUUCGUAGCAUUAUAUGUAUACGGCUUUCUUCUCUUCGAACCUCAAUAAACACCUCGCCAAUUGGAGCAACUGGCUUUCUGCCAAUGAUCUGCCCCCGAACCUCAUCAAACUCAACGUUGACUCCUACAAGAAACUUGUAAAUACGAGAAGCCUCAACAAUAUUGUUGUAAUAUUUGGCAUCUUCUGUGGAUUUCAUUUCAUAAUCAUUGAACAGAUCUAAAUCUUGCUGAAUGGAUUGAAACUACCUUAAACAAUUAUCACCAUUAAGGUAAAUAAUGGUAAUUUGAAUUAGAUGAGUAUCAGUAUUGGGAGUUUGGGUUUGUGUUAGAGAGUUGGUUGAAGCAGAUAUAAUCAGUUGAUUAUGAUGGCUCUAAUACCAUGAAAACUUUUUUGUAUUUCUCUAUAUUGUAAAAUGUUACACAGAUUCCUCUUAUAGAGGAGAAUACAUAAAAUUAGGAAACUGAAAGAAAAAUUAGCUAUCUAACUGUACUAAUUAUUUCCUAAUUUACACCAUUGACUUAUUCUUAUUUACAGCUAACAAUCCUCUCUAAUUGCAAAUAUUUCUUCCAUUUUCUACAGAGAUAUAUGCCAGACCUUACAAGAAAUCGCAUGUAUCUAUGGAUGAUUGAUCAAUUGGGCUGUAGCAUUAAGGUAGAAUAUGGUCAAAUACAGGUUAUAGAUAAGGGUAUGAAGGGAAUUAGAAGGAAUGGUUUGUGUGUUUUGGUUGGGUUAUUACCUCAGCUAGGGAUAAAUGCUAGUGUAAGUAGUGACAAAACCAAACUUUGGCAUAAUAAGAUAGAAUAUAUAAGUGAAAAAGGUUUGAAAGAACUAAGAAAGCAAGAGUUAUUUGGUCAUAAUCAAAUUUCCUCACUAGAGACAGAAGUUCAGGACAGGAAGACAUGAAACAAAGAGACAUUGGAUUAUGUUCAUUCAGGUUCCAUCUCAUGGUAGAGCUAGGUACUUUAUUACCUUAAUGGAUGACUUCUCAAGGAAUCUUUGGGUUUAUGUGUUGAAACAUAAAAGUGAAGCCCUAAAGAAAUUCAAGGAAUGGACAGCCCUAAUGAAGAACCAAAUUGGAAGAAAAGUGAAGAGAUAAAGAACAGACAAUGGCCUGGAGUACUGCAACAGCGAGUUUGAUGAGUUUUGUAAAAAGCAUGGCGUUAUAAGGCAUAAGACAGUAAGGCAUACACCACAACAAAAUGGCCUUGUUGAAAGAAUGAACAGAACCUUAAUUGAGAAGGUCAGAUAAUAUUAUUUCUCUAACCAUUUUUGGGCUGAAGCAAUCUCUAUUGCUGCAUACCUUAUCAAUAAAAAUCCCUCAUCAACUUUGGACUUUAAAACUCCACAAGAAGUCUCGUCUAGCAAACCACUUGAUCUAAGUAACCUAAGAAUCUUUUGUUGCCCAGCUUAUGCACAUAUAAGUUUGGGAAAGCUAAAACCAAGGGUUGUUAAAGGUUAUUUUAUAGGAUAUUCUGAAUGAAUUAAAGGAUAUAAGAUUUAAAGUAUUGAUGGGAAGCCCAUUAGAACCUUUAUCAGUAUAGAUGUUGUGUUUAAUGAGGAGGCAUUGAUACAAACAAAAGUUGAAACAUAGAUCUUUACUAAUUUUAAAGGAGAUUCACAUCUGAUGGUGGAGUCAGAUGUGCACAAACAUUCAGAAUUAGAAGGGUAUCAUCUUGUAAGAAAUAGAGAAAGAAGAGUUGCUGCAAGGCCUAAAAGAUAUGGUAUUGUUGUUUUAAUUUCAUAUGCAUGUAUGGUUAUUGAUUAUGUAAGUGGUUGAGAACUUAUCAGCUACAAAAAGGCCAUGAGUAGUAGGGAGAAGUCAAAAUGGCUUGUAGCAAUGAAAGAAAAAUUGCCUUUUUCUAGAAAAAUAAUACGUAGAUCCUAGUUGACAAGCCUUUAAACAAGAAAUUGGCUAGCUAUAAAUGGGAUUUCAAGCUCAGAAAGUGAUCAUGGGCAACCUAGAUAUAAGGCUAGACUUGUAGCAAAAAGGUUUACACAAAGGGGAGGAAGCAUUUUCACCAAUAGUUAAACAUAGCUCUAUAAGGGUUUUGUUGGCUAUCACUGCAUUCUUAUAUCUAGAAUUAGAUCAAAUGGAUGUCAAAAUAGCCUUUUUGCAUCGUAACUUAGAUGAAGAAAUUCUAAUGGACUAACCAGAAGGAUUCAUUAAAGAAGGAACUAAAGAUAUGGUUUGCUUAUUACAUGGCUCGAAGCAAUCCCUAAGACUAUAGUAUUUAAGGUUCAAUGAAUUUAUGAUCACUCAUGGAUACUUCAGAAGUCAAUAUGACAGUUAUGUGUAUUGUAAACUCUGCCUUUUAAAGAUACUAUCUAUCUUCUUUUAUAUGUUGAUGACAUACUUAUUGCAUAUAAACAAAGAGAAUAAAUAUAGAGGCUUAAAGAUGAACUAAGUUCUGAGUUUAAUAUAAAGAUCUUAGGCCCUACAACAACGAUUUUAGGAAUGCAGAUCAUAAGAGAAUGAGGUGAAAAAACUUUGUUCCUUUUUCACAAGCUAAUUAUGUCAGAAAGGUGCUUAACAUAUUUGGUAUGCUUAGUUCUAAACUUGUUACUAUACCUUGUUGCACAUUUGAAACUGUCUAAACAACAAGAACCAACUGAAGGAGCAAAUGUUGAACACAUGAUGAAAAUACCUUAUUCUAGUGUAAUGGGGAGCAUCGUGUAUGAUAUGGUUGUUUUAGACCCGAUGUUUGCAUAUGGAAUAGGAGUUUUCAGCAGGUUUAUAAGAAAUCCAGGGAAAGAACAUUGAGAUGCUAUUAAGUGGAUACUUAGAUACCUUAAUGGUACAACAAAUAAUGGUAUUUUAUUUGGAGGAAUUAAUAAUACACAAGUAAAAUCUUAGGCUAUGUGGACUCAGAUUUUGCUGGCAAUUUGGACAAAAGAAGGUCAGUUACUGGAUUUGUCUUCACAUUGUAUGGAGGUGCAAUGAGUUGGAAAGAAUCAUUGUAAUUAGUUGUUGCUUUAUCUAGAACUGAAGUUGAAUAUGUUGCACUCAUAGAGGCUACAAAGGAAACAAAAUGGCUCAUAGGCUUGGCAUCAGAAUUAGGAUUGAGGCGAGAGUCGAUUUCCAUUAGUUGUGAUAGUUCUAAUGCAAUACAAUUGAGCAAAAACCCAAAAGAACAUGAAAGAACAAAGCAUAUUGAUGUUAGGCUACAUUUUAUCAUAGAAGAAAUUGGUUCUGGUGUGGUGAAUAUUAUCAAAAUCCCCUUAGUAAUCAAUCCUACUGAUAUUCUAACAAAACCUUUGCCUAUAGUCAAGUUCAUGGGCUCUUUGAACUUGAUUAGGGUUGUUAGCUUGUAAAUCAAGCUAUGUGUUGCUGCUACAGAGUUCGGGUGAAGCUUGAAAAUAAUAUAAAUGAAGAGGAGAUUUGUGAAUUCGGUUAGUUAUAUUCUAUUAAGUUAGUUGCUGAGGUGGCUUGAUGAGCUGCUGUGUGGGACCCUUGUAGUUAAGUUGUUACACGGUCCAACAAGCUUCUGGAAUUAAAUACAGAAGAAAGCAACGCUGGCUGGUGCAACACCCGGAGAAAAGAUCUUGACUAGCUUUGAGAUAGAUUUUGUUAAUUCUUCAUUGAAGGGAUUUGUUCUCUGUGAUCUCAAGAAUUGUUCUAAUCAAUAUCUUAAUAAAAACUUCAAGUCCAAAGGGGUAUUAUCAGCCGUGGAUGUAAAUACUUUUGUAGCAAACCACGUAAUAUUGCAGUGUUCUUUUUCUCUGCUUUCUUAGUUUCAUUGCCGUCUUUAUUCUUUGUUCUUUGAUCUAGUGUCAUUAAUUCUUUGUGCCAUUAAUUAGAUUGGCUAAUUGGCUAGUCUGAUAAAGAAUCGAAAGAGAAGAAAAGGCCUUGAUUUCAUAACAAGUAUUCUGUCCAUUAAGGCUUCAAGUCAAUUAUUUUCUUAAACAAUUUAAGAGAAACUUUAAUUGCUUCAGUCUUCACUCUUCAACGUGUAUGAGUCUCUAUGAUAAGAGUUUUCUCCAAAUUCAAAUCCAACUUUAGCACCCAAAUUUUUGGCCUAAAUGGAAAAAAAAAAAAUUAAAGGCUUUACGUACUGGAUACUGAGGUACACACUUCACAUAUUAAUGUAAAAACUAAAAAGUUAACAUAUAUAUCGAAGGCUUUAUGAACUGGAUAAGAGUCUUGACAUUUUUAUGUAAAAAUUAACAUAUCAAAGGCCUUAUGAACUGGAUGAGAGUCGAUCAUUUACCCCCAUUGGGGACUGAUACAAAGUUAUUCCAGUUGGCGCACAAUGUCUUGCAAAGCAAGCAAACGUUCCCCUCACUAGAUGUAAUUGAACAAACAAUAAUCACAAUAUUUUUUUUUUUGGAAAAGUAAUUAAUUCAUUGAUUAGUACCAAAAAAAUCAUUGAAAUUUAAUCAAAUUAUACGGAGUUGCAUACCAUUUUUGCUCUUUGUUAAGAAUUGAUGGUUUCUUAAUAAGAUUAUAAUUGAAAGAAUUAGAAAUGGAAUGAGGAAGAUCUUUUGGGGGUAAAUUGAUUGAAGAAUGAAUGGAGAAUUUGUUUCAGCCGGAAAGAAAUCAGAAAGUAUUUGAGAUGGAAUUAAGAAGAUUUUUGUGGGUAAAUUGAUUAGAGAAUGAAUGAAGAGUAAAAACGCAAAAUUUGGAAACUCGGAUACUUGGAAAUCAAGUAAGGUCUGUGAAGUCGGAUAUUAGGAGAAUUAUACAGGCCGUUUGAUAUCUAAUUUGAACGGUUUAGGAAAUUGGGUGGAUAUUCUCUUGUGUGCAUAUUAAUUUUAUUAAUGAAGAGUGAUUCGUUCAAUUGACGAGUAGAAUUUUAAGCACUGUUAUAUGAUGGUGUUACGCAUUGUUUAGUACAAGUUUAACUAAUUGCAACUUAAAAAUUAUAGCACUAAAUUAUUUGUUAAACACUAGCCGCGCUGCUGUCACUUAAAAUUGAAAUUGAAUUGAUUCAACACUUUUAUGAAAAAAAAAAUUGAAUUUUUUUUUUAAUUUUUAUCAUAUUAUUAUUAAAAACAAUCAUGUUCGUCAUAUACUAUUAACUUUUAUUUUUAAUAAUAGCUUCUUUUACCACAAUAUGAGACUUAAAUAUUAUAGCACCUCAAUACUAAUCAAAUGCUUAGCGUAAAAUUUUUAAUAAAUAAAAAUAUAAUUUAAAUAGUUUAAUUUUUCUAAUAGACUAAUAAUAUUAGAAUAUUUUUAAUAUAAAAAUAAUUUUAAAACUAUAAAUGAUUAUAUUUAUUUUAAUAAUGUAUUUAUAUUUAUUCUAGAAUUUUUUAAUAAAUAUCUAGGUUAAAUAAAUUUUUCUAACAGACUAAUAACACAAUGCUCGCAAAAUGGUAAGCUUACCGAUUUGAGCCCUGGAGGCAAUUUUCGCUCAGAGAGAAUUUUCAAAUCUUGUUUUGACAAAUGACCGAGUUCGAGAUGCCACAUCAUCGUUGAUUCUUCUCCAUUUGACGUGACACACGCAUCAGCUUCUUGUGGUGUUUCCCCUUCAAGUACGAACAAAUUAGGACUGAUCUUUUCUGCCUUCAUCAAUACAAGCGCACCUUUAACAAUCUUCAUAAUCCCAUUUUCAACAUGGGUUUUACACCCAUGACAAUCUAUUGUCCCAAAGAUAAUAGAUUUUUCUUCAAGCCUUUGACAUGUUGUACCUCCUCAAUUGUACGAACCGUACCAUCAAACAUUUUUAUUUUGAUAGUACCAGUACCAACGAUUUCCAAGGCAUGAUCAUCUCCCAUGUAUAUAAAUCCUCCUGAGAUAGGUUCAUAUGUGUGGAACCAUUCUCUUUGAGAGGUCAUAUGCCAGGUAGCUCCUGAGUCUAUGAGCCACACAUCAGAUAACCAUUUUCUGCCUUCUGAAACAGUUGUUGUCUCCACUCUGCUUGUUUUUCCAACACUCUUUCUUGAAAUGCCCUUUCUUGCCACAAUUGUAGCAUUUGACAUUUUUCUUACUUUUUAAUUUUGAUCUACCAUGAUUGUGACUCCUAUUGGGGCCACGAUCUGUUGAUCUUCCUCUCGUCAUCGAUAGUGCUUUUACUUGCUGCGAACUUACUUGUUUGUCUUCCUUAUUUUUCCACCUAUUCUCCUCAUUUAAUACAGAGGCUGCAACAUCAUCGAAGACUAGACUGUCCGCUGGGUUGUUGUUUGUCAGGUUGAUGAUGACUUAGUCGUAUGAAUCUGGUAGACUUUGAAGUAGAAGCUCUACACGUUCAUUUUCCUCUAUUUUAUGACCCAACGUUGAAAGUUGUGAAAAUAGAGUCUUUAAGGUGUUGAUGUGGUCGGUCACAUAUUUUAAGAAGAUCUUGUUGUGCAGUGAUUUGGCCUUGUACAAUUUUGUGAGAGUAUCACAUAUUUCCUUUGCUGUCUUUUUCUUUGCCACAUUGGAUAAUACUCCAUCCACAAGCACCAAGUAUAGAUUAGAAAUGGUGUUGCCGUCUAUCUCGUUCCACUUGUCAUCAAUUAACUCCAUGGGCUUUUCUCCAAUUGCUAUCAAGCAUACAACUUUUAUCUUCAUUUUCCACAACGAAAAAUUAUUUCCGUUGAAUUUCUCAAUUUCGUAUUUUACCGCCAUCGCUUUUCACCAAAAACUAACUUUGCUAGGAUCGACUCUCAUCAUUUUCAAGUGAACAAUAAUUGUAUACGUGAACAAUAAUCAUAUACGUAAAUAGUGCCGUAUACGUUAACAGUACCCCGACUCCAAAAGAAAUACAACAAGUAGCUCUGAUACCAUUGUUAGGAAAUUGAUGGGUGAAACACGGCCACAGCUAAAAUGAAAUUGAAAGAAAAUUUACAAGUAUUGUAAUAUUUUGUCUCACUACCCAAAACCCUCUCACUCAAUAGACUCACAAGAGCUUUGUAAUUUUAAGCUCUUAAAAUCACUCAAAAUCUUUGUUUUUUCUCUCACCAAAAUUAGAUGCCUAAAAUCAAAUAAAGAGCUCCCUUUAUAUAGCCAAAAUUGGCUAUUAAAAUAUUAUUAUUAUUCUGUAACCGCCUUUAAUUUCUUCUUCUUCUAUUUUCUUCUUUCUUCUUUCUACUUCGGCGGUGCCAAACCCUUCAACAUUUGCUACUUCCAAAUUCUAUUUUUCUUUCCUUGGGUGGCACCUCCUUGGACUUCAAUUUGGGCAGCUUAUACAGCUUCUAGAUCUUCAAAAUAGGCUACUUCUGGAAGCCUUUUCGUGACACAUUACCUAGUAGAUUUACUCAAUCACAAAUUGGGUGGUUACAAACUAUGUUUGAAAACCUUUAAUUAAUAAAAUUCUUAUUUAUUUUCUUUCGUAAUACGAUUUACCUAUUAUGAAAUCAUUUGCAUUAGAUCGUGAAUAAUCUCAUUACUUUGGGGUAUUAUUUGCCUUGGACUUCUUUUUUUGGUCUAUCACUAUAUUACUUACCUUGGGCUGUCUCACUAUUCUCGUGUAAUAUUAUCUGCCUUGAGUCAUUCAUUUUUGUAUUGAGUGGUGAUAUUAUCUCAUCAGUUUUUAUAUUAAUUUCUAUUUUGCCGUUGUAUGAAAUUACUUAUUUUGGUGAAUUACUAUAUUAUUUCCCUUGGGCCGCCUCACCAUUUUGUUGCAUAAUCUGCCUUGGGUCAUUCAUUUUUGUAUAGAGUGGAGAUACGAUCUCAUCAGCUUUUAUAUUAAUUUCUGUUUUGCCAUUGUAUGAAAUUAUGAAAAAUGGAUAUUGAAGAGUUUCUUGCCACAAAUUGAACCUGCAUCUCUGGUAAGCAUUACUCUUUCAUUUUCGCGGAAAAGGCAGUAAGUGAAUGGCCUAAAUUCAUGGUUCAUUUCAUAUUAUGGAGUUUCUUUCUUCAGGAUGAUUUCGGCUGGAAUUCUCAUAAUUUGCUUCCAAAAAUCCACUACUGAUAGGCUUGGUGCUUGCCAUUUUUGCCUUUGCAGCUGGUAGUGGCUUGUAUGCUUGUUGGAUUAGUCAGAAAAAUCAAUUGGCAUUGGUCACAAAUUUUUUAUUCGAGCUGAGGGAUACAUACAGUAGUAGACGUCGUGUACUAUGUUCUCUUUCUCAUAUGUAUAAAUAUAGUAAGAGAUAUAUAUGGCUUUUAUAUAAUUCUCAAUAUCAUAAGCAGUAAACAUGGACUCUUGGCUUAAAGACAAUAUGAACAUGAAACCAUUUCACGUGGGUGAUCAAAUAAUAACUUUCAUUUGUUUAACUUCUUAUAGAAGUCAGAAGAGAGUGUACCUGCAACCAGUGGCGGUGCCAGAAAUUAUUUUUAGCGGGGCUAAGUUCACAUAAUAGUUUAAUUCAAGAAAGUAAUCAACAAAUAACAUAUAUCAAAAUAAAAAUUCAUUAAAGUAUUUAAUGCAACACACUUAUAAUUGUUCUCGACAAGGUUUCAUAUAUUGAAAACGUUGAAGAAUAACCUCAUUGUCAAGACUACAAAAUACAUCAUUUUUUUUAUGAAUACAACAAGGCUAUCAUUCAACCAUUGAUCUCCCAUCCGAUUUCGCAGAUGGUUUUUCACAAAAUUCAUAGCUGAAAAUGCCCUUUCUACUGUAACUGCGGCAACCGGUAAAAUCAAUGCCAAUGUCACCAAUAAAUAGACCAAUGAAUAUAAUUGAUCCUUUUUAGUCUCAACCAAUUUUCUUACUAGCUCACCAAUCCCUUUCAAUCCUGAAAAUUUGUUGUCAGAACCCACAUCCAUAAUAUAAACAUCAAAUUGAGUUUCAAGUGCCACAAGAUUCAUUAGAGAAAAAUCAUUCGGAUAAAACUCAGCAAGGUGAAGUAGUUUCUGUUUAUCAAAAGCUGCAAAUGAGUCAUUGGGGCAUAGACAUGCCACACAAAGAAGCAACUCAGUAUUCAUCUCAUUGAAACGAUUGCUUAAUUCUUUAAGUUGCAUGUCCAAAAUUGCAUAAAAUAAUUCAACUCGAAAAUAAUGCAAAUUCGUGAUCUUUUGAGCCUUGCGUUGUGAUCUUGCUUGUGAUAACUCAUAUGCAAAUCCAAGAAUAUUUUUCAUUAACAGCAGGCUAAACACAAAAGCAAAUGAUUGCAUUGACUUCGAUAACAUUGUAGCUUGAAAUCUUUGUUCAGAAUUUCCCUCAUUUGAAAUUAUCUCAAGCAUGUCAAUAAUAGAUGGAAACAUGGUGAUUAUACUCAAUAACGUACCAUAAUGUGGGCCCCAACGUGUAUCAGCAUAUCGCUUUAAAGUAACCUCUUGAUUUAAACCUCGUCCACUUGAAAGUUCACCAUCAUUGAGUGCUUUAAUAACUGCUUGAGCAUGUUUCUCUUGAAGAAUAUCACGACGUUUUGCUGAAGCACCAACAACAUUGAUAUCACGACGUUUGCCCGCGGGGAGUCGUGAUAUCAAUGAUUGCAUUCACCGUCCACAAGUUUAUCUUAUACACUUCAAUUAAUUUCAUAGCAUUCACAAUGUCUUGAUCCUUUUUUUUGUAAUGCUUGUGAUAACUCAUGUGCAAAUCCAAGAAUAAUAUUUUUCAUUAACAGCAGGCUAAACACAAAAUCAAAUGAUUGCAUUGACUUCGAUAACAUUGUAGCUUGAAAUCUUUGUUCAGAAUUUCCCUCAUUUGAAAUUGUCUCAAGCAUGUCAAUAAUAGAUGGAAACAUGGUGAUUAUACUCAAUAACGUACCAUAAUGUGAGCCCCAACGUGUAUCAGUAGAUCGCUUUAAAGUAACCUCUUGAUUUAAACCUUGUCCACUUGAAAGUUCACCAUCAUUGAGUGCUUUAAUAACUGCUUGAGCAUGUUUCUCUUGAAGAAUAUCACGAUGUUUUGCUGAAGCACCAACAACAUUGAUAUCACGACGUUUUGCUGACGCACCAACAACAUUGACUAACAUUGUGACUAAAUUGAAAAGAGAAGUAAUUAUAAGAAUUUAAAGAGAAACUGAAAACAAUUUCCAUGUCAAAAUGUAAAAAAAUACAAAAAUACAAAAUAUUAAUUUAAUAAACUAACUACCCAAUUAAAUCCCCAACCACUAAAUUACUAAUCCAUCAUAGCAUCACGCCAUGACCAAUGGCAUUGUUAUUCUAUUGUUUAUAAUAAGUAAAGUUAAAAGCAUUGCCACUUUGUCAAGAAGCAUCGCCACUUUAUCAAGAAACAUGCCACAAUCAUUCUAUUCAAAAAGCAUAAAAAAAUUCAAGAAUUAUAAUAUUAAAUUAUAAAGUGACAAAGAUGUUUAAUUAUCAAAAUAAUUUAAUCAAUUCUUAAUAAUUAAUCUAAAAGCUGCAAAGGUAUGACGGUAGUACCUGAAAAAAUGCAAAAAUGCAGACCAUGCGGUGGUGCAGGGCUCCAAGUGCGAGCUGCAAGUUGUAGCAUUUAUGGCAUGAAAACAAAGAGCUAUGAUGGCAUGAGAGUUUGAUAGAGAUAGAUGACAGGCUGAUCACUGAUGGUAGCCGAUGGAGUUUUUCUUUGGCAAAGGAUCGAUGGUGGUGGUUAGGGAUUUGAUUUUGAGUUUUUUUUUUUAAUUUCUAAUCGUUGUUUUAAAUUUUGGUCUUUUAGUUAUUUCAAAAAUAUUUCAGGGAUUUUAUUGUAAAUUCAAUAAAAAAAGAUAAAUUUAAUUUUUUUUUAAAUUCUAGGGGGCAUCAGCCCUAGCUCUCAAGUGGCGCCGCCUCUGCCUGCGACAUCAACCGUAUCAAGCGAAGAUAUUGGACAUUUAAUAAUGAAAAAAUUAGGAAUUUUCAUGGACACAUCAGUAGGUUUCGUAAAUAUGUAGAAUCAACUGAUUCUAGGUACCUUACAAUGUGACUUUUUUUUUUUCCCCUGAAGAUAAGGACUAUUUUUUAGGAUACUGGCCGUUGAGGCUUUGUUUGUAUUUUUGCAAGAAAAUGGAAAAGGGUGGGCUAAAGCGCAAAAAAUAAAGCUAACAACUGCUAAAUUUAAUUUUUUUAAGAGUGUUUUAAUGUGGCAUUUGAUUUGGGAACUUUUUUGUAGUUAUUGAAAUAGCCACACAGGGUAACAAUUGGGGCAUUCUUUCAUAAAUUGGACAUUAAUAGUACCGAGUACGAAUGAGGAUGGUUAAAUGCCUAAUCACCCUAUUAAUCUUGCAGUCCAAAAAAGCAAAAGCAAUAGCAUUACAAAUAGUAUAACUAUCAAAUUGAUUCACUCUGUCUAAACGACAAGUCAUCUGAUUACUAAAUUAUUUGACGCAACGACUGAUUUAGAAUUUUAAUGUAGAGGGAGCUUGGUACAAAUACUAUGAUUCACAGUAGCGUGUUCGAUGGUGCGAGUGAUCAACAACAGCAACAGACAAGUGAGGCAAUGAUGAUGUAUAUGUUGGAAAUAUAAAUUCAUAUUGUUUUUUGAAAGUACACAAUAUGAAUAGUAGCUGUUGGUACUGUUCACUUCACUAUUUACUAAUACUAUUGAUCUUACUGUUCACUCAACAACAAUUGUAAAUUCGUCAAGGCGUGUUCGAACUGUCCUUAAGACCAAUUUCUGCUUCUCCAGAAAGAUUUCCCGACACAAAAAAAAGAUAUAAAUAAAAUGGAUUGAUCCCUAGGAUAUAAUGACGUUAUUGUGAGCUUGUACUCCAAACACAACAGUUUAGAAUAACAAAAGAAAAAUUAAUGAAAAGAUAGAAGGAUAGGUUAUAAUGGCUGUGCCUUGAAGAUUUUGUAUUUUGAAAUAUCAAUAAAACUACAAGAAUAAGCUUAAAUAAUUUUAUCAAGAUUGCACUUUAAGAUGAAACACUAAUUAAUGGCCUUUCAAGACUUGAAUUGGGUUAAAUAGUUUAUGUACGAAAAUUGAAUUAUUGACAUCCAAAUGCACUUAAAUAAAUAUUUUCCCUAUCUCCUUUUAUAUAUUGUUGGUAAUAAAUCUAAUAACUUUAUGUUGUUGUGAUUCUUAAUGUAGUUUUUUUUUAAUCGGUAGCUGUGUACGUGUCAUUAUUAGCAAUGUGUCAUUUUCAUUACUGUGUUAUUGUUUGCAAUGUGUCAUUUUCAUUACUGUGUCAUUGGCCAAUAAUUUUGUAACAAAACCAACAUAUAGCGGUAAAUGAAAAAUUCACAAGUGGGGGACAUACACCCGUUUAAAAUAUUGUAAAUACAUUUUCUUCAUUCUAAGUGUGGACAUGCCAAUUUUGCAUAAUAGUCAUAUCCCAGAACAAAAGUCGCAUUAAAAUUUUAUUCAUUUAUUCAGGUUUUUUCCUGCAUUAACGAAUUCAUUGUGUAGGAUUUCAUUUUUAUGUAAACGAAUUUAGUUACGAUAAUCAACUACUAAUUUUUUUCCGUUAAUUGGCUACGUUUACGUUAAUUAACUGAUAAAUAACAUUGCAUUAGCGAAGCCAAGAGAUUCAUUUAAACCCCUAAGAUUCAAAUAUUCUUUCACUAGUACUACUGGAGAAAUUUGGCAAUCGAUAUUUCGGAAGACAUCAUUACAGAUGUCAAACAAAAGGUAAAAAUAAAAUAAAAAAUAGCUAGUCCCCCACUUGUAGGUAGGGCAUGCGUCUCAUGCGCUUUAAAUUUCCAAAAUUUAUAUCUUUUUGACAUGGAAACUACUCAGCAAGGCAAUGGUGACUCAACAACAUUAUAUAUAUGGAACUCUUUAGGUGAAUUGAAGAUGAGAACGAGGGAUUGCAUAAGCUACAAGAAUGAACGGUCAUUUGUAAAGUACAGCGAAUAGGGUCCAAUAGAUCAAAUCAAGUAGAGUAGAAGAAAAUGAAUUACACUUAUGGUACAAUCAGUUUCAAUUUCUUUCAUCUGUUAACCGUCUAUAAACAAGAUACAAGCUCGAAGCCACCAAUGGGCUAUAAACAGAGCUUCAUUCAAGAGAGUUAAAGGUAUCCCAAGUUCUGAAAAUUGAGAGCACGUACAAGUGAGCUUUUACAGAGAUUUUUCAGAGAAUGUUUUCUUAACUAUUCUAGAGGGAUUUAUAUCGGAUUUUGAGAAUUGUUCCCAUUCAAAGUCCAACCCCAAUUCAUGAGCCUAAAUAAUAAACCAAACAAAAGAGAAUAUUCUCUCCAUUUAUCUAGAAUUAUCUUUGCUAAAAAUAUCAUGAAUAAUUGGCGCUGUGGCAGUUUUAAAAUUUGGUGAUUGCUAAGAAAUUAAUGGUAAUAAGUUUAGAAUGUCGUUAUUUGUUAGGACCUGCAUUUAAAAUCUUAAAUAUUCGUAAUUAAUUAUAAAGAUCUCGGUUCACCUGCAAGCUACAACAAUUAGCUAACUGAUAUAUGGUAUUUUUUACAAAACUAUUCAAAAAGAAGGAGUAUAAUUAAUCAAACUGAUUUGGAUAGUACCACACGAUUUUUUUUUUAUUUUUAUUGACAAACCAACAUAAACAACAUAUUAACGUAACUAACGCAUUCACAUAUAAUUAUUUUAUUUAAUUAUUAAGAAAGACGAAGUACAUGGACGGUGGACACUAAGAAAUAUAAUCUCUUGUAGAUCAAGAAAUUUUAGAGGUUGAACUGAACUAAACUGACCCUCACACAAUUAAUUGACAGGUAAUAACAAUACCCAUCCUUUUAUUAACCAUAAUAGAAAAGAGUAAUAUUGCGUGCGUGCGCUGCGCUUAUUAACCAGUGUGGUCGGGAUUUCUUCCAUAUUGAGGGACAGCAAUCAGAUCAAGAUUAUCAAUUGUCUCGUCCUUAUCAUCAGCAAUACCAUAUACAGGUACUGGAGUACCCUCCAACCAUUCAUUCUUACCUGAAAGUUUAACAUUAGAAAAUGGAUUCAUAAAUGCUUAUAUUAAUAUAUGAAUUGUAAAUGAUAUCUAUUCAGCUGAAAUUGGCUAAAAAACCUGCGCAAGGAAAAGGAGUUUCCAUAUUCUUCAAAUCAGAAAAGAUCUCCAGGUGAAGCGUAAUCAAAACUAAAAAAUAAGUAGAGCUUGAGCGUGUUCUUAUUUCUGGUUUGAUCUGAUAUAUAUAGAUUCAAGAAGUCGACGUUGCCGAGGUGUGGGUGAUUGUGACGUAGCAAAACAUGUAAUAAUUAUUUAAGAUUAACGGCCAUGGCUAAACUGCACGUCGAAACGUGUUAGCAUGGUUCCAUAAAAUAAUAGUUAUUUAAGAUUAACGGCCAUGGCUAAACUGCACGUCGAAAUGUGUUAGCAUGGUUCCAUAAAAUAAUAGUUAUUUAAGAUUAACGGCCAUGGCUAAACUGCACGUCAAAACGUGUUAGCAUGGGUCCAUAAAAUAAAUAAUUUUAUCUAAUUAGGAGAGAAAUCGAUUCAGUAACAAGCUGCUGCUUGCACUUUCUAGAAAUUUUAAAUUUAUGAAUUGAAAUUACUCACGCCUUUUUAUGUGUGGUUAAGUAUGCAUACAGUUCAAGCUGAGGGAUACUGAUGUGAAGUGUAGGGACAUGGAUAUAUACUAUCGUUUACAUUAUUUUACAGCCUUGCUGUAUUAUUUUAUUUGGCAAUCAUAUAGUCAUUGUCUGCACUACACUUUGUCUUCACUACACUUGUCUCCACUUGAGUAUUCUUGAGUAGUAGCUGAGUCACAAGUCACCUUAUCAUGUCUGUUGAGCUUUCCUGUCGUGCUUGAUUUACUUUGUUCUAACCACCCCGCUCAAUCUCAGUUUUCUUAGCAUACUCUUAGGUCAUGUUUGGUUUGUAGAAAAGGGAGCAGAGGAAAAGAGUGGAAUGGAGAGGAAGAGAAAAGGAAGGAAUGGAGAAAAGUAGUGAAAUUAGAUUUUGUUGUUUGGUUUGAUAUAAAAUUUAAUAAGGAAUUAUAAUUUUUUUCAUUAAACUAAUUUACCAUUUACCUCAAAUAUUUAAUUAUUUAUAUUAGUAAUAUAUAUAUAAUGACGGUCCGUUGGCCGGUGGUGAAGGUCCGGCGACUUUUCGGCGAACGUCCAGCGACUUUCCGGCGGUGGUCCAUUUAUGAUAUUAAAUCAAUAAAAAAAAUUAUAAAUAAUAAUUAUUAAUGAUAUUAAACAAAUUAAAAAGUUGAAGGGUAAUUUUAGAAACUUUAGUUUCUAAAAUAAGAGGAAUUUAAAUUUUUCACUACUUGAUGUGGAAUUCAAAUUCUACAUUAUGAUGGAUAUUAAAUUUUAAUGGAAAUUAAAUUAUUAUAUAUUUUUUAUGGUUGUCGAAGCCAGCAAAAAUAAAUACCUACUCUAAAUAAAUUGUGUAUAGUGAUUGAGCAGGGUCGUGUCCACAGAGAUCGGUAAUUAUUUAAAUCAUUUUAAAUGUAAAAUGCAAAAUGGGGGGAUUGUUGACAAUAAUAAAAAUCAAAUUAAAAUAACAAGAAUGCAAAUUCAAAAUUGUAAUUCAAAUUGGGGAAAGCUCUGGUUGAAGGAAUUAAUUUAGCUUGAUUCGACUACUGAUCAUUGAUUCAAAUAUAAAUCAUUACUACUUAUGAAUAGACCGGUUAUAGCUACUGAGACACUCUAAUAGUCAAUCUCUCCUUAACUAGUCGAUAACCAAAGUACGACCAUUGGUUAUUUCCCUAAUCAAUAGAAAACCCUAGAUACGAUCAUAGGAUUUAAUCAAUUGACAACCUGAAAAACCAAAGAAACUCAAAUCCUAAUAAACAAACGCAUACGAUGGUUCAUUUAAAUUAGAUUGUUUAUUCUCAUAACACAACGCACUGCUAUGCUAUUUGUCACAAACAUUAAAAUCUUCAUACGAUGAAUCCUUUAAUUGACAAUAGAUUAAGUUGAUAAUUAAAUAGUGGCCAAUUAUCUAAUUAACAAACAUAAUCAUGACAAUAAUUUAGAGAAUAAACAAAUACCCAAAAAGCAAUAAAAUAAUUAAAGCAUAAGAAAUAUCUCACAGUAAUGAUGAAUCAAAACUUCAUUAACCUUCAACCAGAAUAAUAGGUUUAGUUCUUCAUAGAGAGAAGAGAAAAAUUUAGAUCUAGGGUUUCUUUUUUUCUUCCUUCUUCACCAGUAAUCCCGCGUCUUAUUCAUUUAUUACCCAAGUUUCAUGGUUUUGCAGGUGAAGAUCCUCAUAAACAUCUCAAGGAGUUUCAUGUUAUGUGUUCAAAUAUGAAGCCACAAGGCGUGACUGAAGAGCAGAUUAAGCUGCGUGCUUUUCCUUUCUCUUUAGAUGGACUAGCUAAAGACUAGUUGUACUACUUGCCUCCUGGAUCGAUUACCACGUGGAAUGGUUUGAAGAAGCAGUUCCUUGAGAAGUACUUUCCUACUUCAAGAGCUGCUAGAAAAUAUAUUUGUGGGAUUAGACAACUUCCUGGGGAGACUUUGUAUGAGUAUUGGGAGCGAUUCAAACAAUUGUAUGCCAGCUGUCCUCAGCAUCAGAUUUCUGAUCAACUUCUUAUUCAAUACUUUUAUGAAGGACUGUCAUUGAUGGAUAGGAGUACGAUAGAUGCUGCUAGUGGAGGUGUGUGUGUUGGUGAACAGGACCCCUACUCAAGCAAGGGAGUUGGUCUCAAAUAUGGCUGCCAAUGCACAACAAUUUGGCAGCAGGCAAGAUCCCACUUCAAGGAAGGUGAAUGAGGUAAAUAUUUCUUCCAUUGAACAACGUUUAGAUAAACUUACUUCUCUUGUGGAAACGUUUGUUGUAGGUAAUGUGCAACAGGUGAAGACUUGUGUCAUUUGUUCUAAUAUGGGUUAUUCAACUGAUAUGUGUCCUACACUUCAAGAAAAACCCAUUGAACAAGCCAAUGCAAUUGGAGGAUUUCCAGGCAUGCCUCAGAGGACGUAUGAUCUUUAUGCAUAAACAUACAAUCCGGGAUGGAAGGAUCAUCCCAACUUCAGCUAUGGAGUUAGGCCGUCAGGAAUCCCACAACAAUAUCCACCAAGACAACCAGCACCUCCACAGUCAAACUCCAAGUUAGGUAUAUCUCUUGAAGAAAUUGUUCAAUCACUUGCGACUAACACUCAACAAUUUCAGCACGCAACUACAACAAGCAUUCAAAAUUUGGAGAACCAAAUGAGUCAAUUGGCGACUACAGUGAGCUGUCUGGAGUCUCAAGUAUCAGGGAGAUUGCCUUCACAAUCUGAGGCGGAUCCAAAAUAAAACGCUAGUGUUGUCAUCCUUAGAAGUGGGAAGGAGUUGCAAGAGCCUAGUAAGAAAGCGACAAAGCAUGUAGAAGAUGAGCUUGAGAAGAAUGAAUUGAUGCCUAAAUCUCAAGAUGCGCAACCCACCAGAGCAAUACCUCUACCUGUGGUGAUACCUCCUCCUUUUCCAAGCCGGUUUGCAAAAUCCAAGAAAGAGGAACAAGAGAAAGACGUCCUUGAGACAUAACAAGAGAAAGACGUCCUUGAGACAUUUCGCAAGGUUGAGGUAAAUAUUCCUUUAUUAGAUGUUAUAAAACAAAUACCUCGAUAUGUUAAAUUCCUUAAGGAACUGUGCACCUCCAAGAGAAAAUUAAGAGGAGAUGAAAGAGUUCACAUGGGGGAGAAUGUUUCAGCAGCUCUCCAAAAGAAAUUACCUCCUAAGUGCAAGGAUCCAGGUAUGUUUACUAUCCCUUGCAAAAUUGGUAGUGUUAAAGUUGAGAAUGCUAUGUUAGAUCUAGGAGCUUCUAUUAAUGUCAUGCCUCGUUCCAUUUAUUCAUCUUUGAAUGUUGGUCCAUUAAAAGAAACUGGCGUGAUAAUUCAACUAGCUGAUAGGUCUAAUGCGUAUCCUGAUGGGGUAUUAGAAGAUGUCUUAGUACAAGUUAAUGAGUUGGUUUUUCCUGCUAAUUUUUAUGUACUUGAUAUGGAAGAGGAUAACUCCUCUAAUUCUGUCCCAAUUUUGCUAGGAAGACCUUUUCUUAAGACUGCUAGGACUAAAAUGGAUGUACAUAAAGGGACUCUCACUAUGGAGUUUGAUGGAGAGGUUAUAGAAUUCAAUAUGAAUGAUGCCAUGAAAUAUCCUAAUAAGGAACAUUCGGUAUUUUCUGUGGAUGUUAUUAACCCUAUAGUGCAGGAAGUUUUUUAUUUGGAUGUUGAAGAUUCAUUGGUAGCUGCUUUAAAUAACAGUUUGGGCCUCAAAGGAUUGUAAAAGGAUGAAAAUAAGUUUGUUUUAAAUUCUGUAUUGUAAGAGACAAUUUAUGAAUUAAAUUCUUUGAGAACUUUAACUCAUCAUAUGUCUUAUAUUGAAUUACCUUCAUCUCAUGCAAAACUUCUUCCAUCUAUUUUGCAGGCACCGAAAAUAGAGCUUAAACCAUUGCCGAGUCAUCUAAAGUACAUAUUUUUAGGAGAUGGUGAGACACUUCCGGUGAUCAUCUCUUCAAAACUUAGUACUUUAGAGGAAGAAAAACUUAUUAGAGUGCUGAAGGAUUACAAAAAGGCUAUUGGGUGGUCAAUUGCUAAUAUUAAAGGGAUAAGUCCGUCCACGUGCAUGCAUAGAAUAUUGCUAGAGGAAGAUGUCAAACCUUCGAUUCAAGCUCAACGCCAUUUGAAUCCACUCAUGAUGGAAGUAGUGAAGAAAAAAAUUCUGAAACUUCUUGAUGCAGGUAUAAUCUAUCUAAUUUCGGAUAGCAAAUGGGUAAGUCCAGUACAAGUGGUACCAAAGAAAACUGGUAUAACAAUUGUUGAGAAUUCUUAUGGUGAGUUAGUACCCACCCGAGUUCAGAAUGGGUGGAGGGUUUGUAUUGAUUUUAGAAAGCUUAAUUCACUCACUAAGAAGGAUCAUUUUCCUAUUCCUUUUAUUGAUCAGAUGCUUGAAAGGUUGGCAGGAAAAUCUCACUUUUGUUGUCUUGAUGGCUAUUCAGGUUUUCAUCAGAUACUAGUUGCACCUGAGGAUCAGGAGAAGACUACCUUCACAUGUCCUUUUGGAACCUUUGCGUACCGACGUAUGUCAUUUAGUUUUUGUAACGCUCCUGCUACCUUUCAAAGGUGCAUGGUCAGUAUUUUUUCAGACUAUGUAGAGAACAUUAUAGAGGUAUUUAUGGACGAUUUUACAGUCUAUGCUGAUUCUUUUGAUGAUCGUCUCUAUAAUCUAAAGAAAGUGCUUGAAAGAUGCAUUGAAACAAACAUUGUCUUGAAUUAUGAAAAAUGUCAUUUUAUGGUAGAUCAAAGCAUUAUUUUGGGUCAUGUAGUCUCUGCUAGAGGAAUUGAGGUAGAUAAAACUAAGAUAGAUGUUAUUAAAUAUUUACUUAUCCCACAUGUGUGCGGGAAGUUCAUUUUUUGCUUUUGAAAAAUUUUGUUCCUAUUUAUUGGGUACUAAAGUGAUUUUUUUUUCUGAUCAUGCAGCUCUCAGAUAUUUGCUCGCCAAGAAGGAAGCGAAACCAAGACCCAUCCGCUGGACCCUACUACUUCAAGAGUUCAACUUGGAUAUGCGUGACAAGAAAGGAGUAGAAAACUUGGUUAUAGACCACCUUAGUAGGUUGACCAUGAGUGAAGAAGCAGCACCUUUGAAGGAUGAUUUUCCAGAUAAGCAUCUCUUUGUAACUCAAGGUAUAGUUCCUUGGUACGCUGACAUUGUCAAUUACUUAGUUACAAGAACACUACCUAGUAAUCUGACGAGGGCUCAAAAAGAUAAGAUUAAAAGCGAUGCUAAGUACUAUGUUUGGGAUGACCUUUACUUAUGGAAACAUUGCUCUGACCAAGUCAUCAGAAGGUGCGUAUCUGAGUUUGAAAUUCCUUCUAUUCUUCAGUUUUGUCACUCGUAUGCAUGUGGUGGUCAUUUUGGUCCCAAAAGAACAUCAUCUAAGGUGUUAGAAUGUGGUCUAUUUUGGCCUACUUUAUUUCGUGAUUCAUACAUAUUUUGUAAGUCGUGUGAGAAUUGUCAAAAAACUGGUAAUUUAAGUUAUAGAAAUCAAAUGCCACUUACCCCUAUUCUUGUUUGUGAAAUAUUCGAUGUGUGGGGCAUUGAUUUUAUGGGACUUUUUCCCUCAUCUUUUGGCAAUGCUUACAUUCUUUUAGUAGUGGAUUACGUUUCUAAGUGGGUAGAGGCUAAGGCCACCCAGACUGACAAUACUAAAGUUGUUGUAGAUUUUGUCAAGUCUAAUAUUUUUGCCAGGUUUGGUGUAUCGAGAGCGGUGAUAAGUGAUAGAGGCAUUCAUUUCUGUAAUCGAGUGGUGGAGGCUUUGUUCAAGAGAUAUCAUGUUACCCACCGAGUGUCUACCACCUAUCAUCCACAGACAAGUAGACAAGCUGAGAUAUCAAACAUAGAAAUCAAGUCUACUCUUGAAAAGACGGUUAGUCCAAAUCGAAAGGAUUGGAGUUUGCGAUUAGAUGAUGCAUUGUGGGCGUAUCGCACCGCGUACAAAACUCCCAUAGGUAUGUCUCCUUAUCGUUUAGUAUUUGGUAAGACUUGUCAUUUACCUGUAGAGCUUGAGCACAGAGCAUACUAUUAACUUUUAUUUUUAAUUAUACCUUCUUUUACCACAAUAUGGGACUUAAAUAUUAUAGCACCUCAAUACUAAUCAAAAGCUUAGCGUUAAAUGUUUAUUCAGUGAAUUGACAUUGUGUUUGUACUACACAUCUUCUCUACAUAUAAGAUAGGCCAUCCCUUAUAUUUGUAUAAUACGGACAUGUCAUCUAUAUCAUAUGGUGAGCCAAAAAUUUAGAAAAAUUUCAUAUGCAGUCCUUCUAAAUAGAUUUAUCUGUAAAUUGUUGUCAAUAUUUUUUGAAAAAGACAUUUGUACCCAUAAAAUUUGGGUGAUGAUAAUGUAAACCACAAGUUUUUAAUAAGGGACACUAAAACUCUUUUUUUAAUAUAAUACCCUUUAUAAAUAGCAACUAAAAAAUUGACCAUAAAAUUUUUAAUAAAUAAAAAUAUAAUUUAAAUAGUUUAAUUUUUCUAAUAGACUAAUAAUAUUAGAAUAUUUUUAAUAUAAAAAUAAUUUUAAAACUAUAAAUGAUUAUAUUUAUUUUAAUAAUGUAUUUAUAUUUAUUCUAGCAUUUUUUAAUAAAUAUCUAGGUUAAAUAAAUUUUUCUAGCAGACUAAUAACACAAUGCUCGCAAAAUGGUAAGCUUACCGAUUUGAGCCGUGGAAGCGAUUUUUGCUCAGAGAGAAUUUUCAAAUCUUGUUUUGACAUAUGACCGAGUUUGAGGUGCCACAUCAUCGUUGAUUCUUCUCCAUUUGACGUGACACACGCAUCAGCUUCCUGUAGUGUUUCCCCUUCAAGCACGAACAAAUUACGCCUGAUCUUUUCUGCCUUCAUCAAUACAAGCGCACUUUUAACAAUCUUAAUAAUCUCAUUUUCAACAUGGGUUUUACACCCAUGACAAUCUAUUAUCCCAAAGAUAAUAGAUUUUUCUUCAGGCCUUUGACAUGUCGUACCUCCUCAAUUGUACGAACCGUACCAUCAAACAUUUUUAUUUUGAUAGUACCAAUACCAACGAUUUCUAAGGCAUGAUCAUCUCCCAUGUAUAUUGAUCCUCCUGAGAUAGGUUCAUAUGUGUGGAACCAUUCUCUUUGAGAGGUCAUGUGCCAGGUAGCUCAUGAGUCUAUGAGCCAUACAUCAGAUAGCCGUUUUCUGCCUUCUGAAACAAUUGUUGCCUCGCUGUAGAGAAUCUCACCAUCAUCUGAGGUACUUGUCAUACACCCCUGAGCAUUUGAUGACUCAGAUUUAUUGUCUCCACUCUUUCUUGAAAUGCCCUUUCUUGCCACAAUUGUAGCGUUUGACAUUUUUCUUACUUUUUGAUUUCGAUCUACCAUGAUUGUGACUCCUAUUGGGGCCACGUUCUGUUGAUCUUCCUCUCGUCAUCGAUAGUGCUUCUGCUUGCUGCGAACCUACUUGUUUGUCUUCCUUAUUUUUCUGCCUAUUCUCCUCAUUUAAUACAGAGGCUGCAACAUUGUUGAAGACUAGAUUAUCCGAUGGGUUGUUGUUUGUCAGGUUGAUGAUGACUUAAUCGUACGAAUCUGGUAGACUUUGAAGUAGAAGCUCUGCACGUUCAUUUUCCUCUAUUUGAUGACCCAACGUUGAAAGUUGUGAAAAUAGAGUCUUCAAGGUGUUGAUGUGGUCGGUCACAUAUUUUAAGAAGAUCUUGUUGUGCAGUGAUUUGGCCUUGUACAAUUUUGUGAGAGUAUCACAUAUUUCCUUGGCUGUCUUUUUCUCUGCCACAUUGGAUAAUACUCCAUCCGCAAGCGCCAAGUGUAGAUCAGAAAUGGCGUUGCCGUCUAUCUCGUUCCACUUGUCAUCAAUUAACUCCAUGGGCUUUUCUCCAAUUGUUGUCAAGCAAUUAUUUUUCCUCAAUACAUCUUUUAUCUUCAUUUUCCACAAUGAAAAAUUAUUUCCGUUGAAUUUCUCAAUUUCGUAUUUUACCGCCAUCGCUUUUCACCAAAAACUAACUUUGCUAGGAUCGACUCCCAUCAUUUUCAAGUGAACAAUAACUGUAUACGUGAAAAGUAAUCAUAUACGUAAAUAGUGCCGUAUACGUUAACAGUACCCCGACUCCCAAAAAACAUACAACAAGUAGCUCUGAUACCACUGUUAGGAAAUUGAUGGGUGAAACAUGGCCACAACUAAAAUAAAAUUGGAAGAAAAUUACAAGUAUUGUAAUAUUUUGUCUCACUACCCAAAACCCUCUCACUCAAUAGACUUACAAGAGCUUUAUAAUUUUAAGCUCUUAAAAUCACUCAAAAUCUCUGCUUUUUCUCUCACCAAAAUUGGAUGCCUAAAACCAAAUAGAGAGCUCCCUUUAUAUAGCCAAAAUUGGCUAUUAAAAUAUUAUUAUUAUUUUGUAACCGCCUUUGAUUUCUUCUUCUUCUAUUUUCUUCUUUCUUCUUUCUUCUUUCUACUUCGGCGGUGCCAAACCCUUCAACAUUUGCUGCUUCCAAAUUCUAUUUUUCUUUCCUUGGGCGGCACCUCCUUGGACUUCAAUUUGGGCAGCUUAUACAGCUUCUAGAUCUUCAAAAUAGGCUACUUCUGGAAGCCUUUUCGUGACACAUUACCUAGUAGAUUUACUCAAUCACAAAUUGGGUGGUUACAAACUAUGUUUGAAAACCUUUAAUUAAUAAAAUUCUUAUUUAUUUUCUUUCGUAAUACGAUUUACCUAUUAUGAAAUCAUUUGCAUUAGAGCGUGAAUAAUCUCAUUACUUUGGGGUAUUAUUUGCCUUGGACUUCUUUUUUUGGUCUAUCACUAUAUUACUUACCUUGGGCUGUCUCACUAUUCUCGUGUAAUAUUAUCUGCCUUGAGUCAUUCAUUUUUGUAUUGAGUGGUGAUAUUAUCUCAUCAUUUUUUAUAUUAAUUUCUAUUUUGCCGUUGUAUGAAAUUACUUAUUUUGGUGAAUUACUAUAUUAUUUCCCUUGGGCCGCCUCACCAUUUUGUUGCAUAAUCUGCCUUGGGUCAUUCAUUUUUGUAUAGAGUGGAGAUACGAUCUCAUCAGCUUUUAUAUUAAUUUCUGUUUUGCCAUUGUAUGAAAUUAUGAAAAAUGGAUAUUGAAGAGUUUCUUGCCACAAAUUGAACCUGCAUCUCUGGUAAGCAUUACUCUUGCAUUUUCGCGGAAAAGGCAGUAAGUCAAUGGCCUAAAUUCAUGGUUCAUUUCAUAUUAUGGAGUUUCUUUCUUCAGGAUGAUUUCGGCUGGAAUUCUCAUAAUUUGCUUCCAAAAAUCCACUACUGAUAGGCUUGGUGCUUGCCAUUUUUGCCUUUGCAGCUGGUAGUGGCUUGUAUGCUUGUUGGAUUAGUCAGAAAAAUCAAUUGGCAUUGGUCACAAAUUUUUUAUUCGAGCUGAGGGAUACAUACAGUAGUAGACGUCGUAUACUAUGUUCUCUUUCUCAUAUGUAUAAAUAUAGUAAGAGAUAUAUAUGGCUUUUAUAUAAUUCUCAAUAUCAUAGGCGGUAAACAUGGACUCUUGGCUUAAAGACAAUAUGAACGUGAAACCAAUAGUUAUUUAAGAUUAACGGCCAUGGCUAAACUGCACGUCGAAACGUGUUAGCAUGGUUCCAUAAAAUAAUAGUUAUUUAAGAUUAACGGCCAUGGCUAAACUGCACGUCGAAACGUGUUAGCAUGGGUCCAUAAAAUAAAUAAUUUUAUCUAAUUAGGAGAGAAAUCGAUUCAGUAACAAGCUGCUGCUUGCCCUUCCUAGAAAUUUUAAAUUUAUGAAUUGAAAUUACUCACGCCUUUUCUUGUGUAGUUAAUUAUGCAUACAGUUCAAUCUGAGGGAUACUGAUGUGAAGUGUAGGGACAUGGAUAUAUACUAUCGUUUACAUUAUUUUACAGCCUUGAUGUAUUAUUUUAUUUGGCAAUCAUAUAGUCAUUGUCUGCACUACACUUUGUCUUCCCUACACUUGUCUCCACUUGAGUAUCCUUGAGUGGUAGCUGAGUCACAAGUCACCUUCUCAUGUCUGCUGGGCUUGUCGUGCUUGAUUUACUUUGUUCUAACACCCCGGCUCAAUCUCAGUUUUCUUAGCAUACUCUUAGGUCAUGUUUGGUUUGUAAAAAAUGGAGAAGAGGAAAAGUGUGGAAUGGAGAGGAAGAGAAAAGAAAGGAAUGGAGAAAAGUAGUAGUGAAAUCACAUUUUGUUGAUUGGUUUGAUAUAAAAUUUAAUAAGGAAAUGAAUUAUAAUUUUUUUCUUUAGACUAAUUUACAAUUUACCUCAAAUAUUUAAUUAUUUAUACUAGUAAUAAAAUAUAUAUAUAUAUUAAAAUAAAAUGACGGUCCGGUGGCCGGCGGUGAAGGUCCGGUUACUUUUCGGCGAACGUCUGGCAUCUUUUCGGCGAACGUCCGGCAGGAUUCCGGCGAAGUUCGGUGGGAUUCCUGCGAAGUCCGGCAGCUUUCCGGCAACGUCCGGCGACUUUCCGGCGGUGAUCCAUUUAUGAUAUUAAAUCAAUAAAAUAAAAUUAUAAAUACUAAUUAUUAAUGAUAUUAAACAAAUUAAAAAGUUGAAAGGUAAUUUUAGAAACUUUAGUUUCUAACUUAAGAGGAAUUUAAAUUCUUCACUACUUGGUGUGGAAUUCAAAUUCUACAUUAUGAUGGAUAUUAAAUUUUAAUGGAAAUUAAAUUCUUAUAUAUUUUGUCAAACCAAACAAUGGAAAUGAAAAGAGAAUUUAAAUUAAUUUCCUCUUCUCCAUUCUCUCCUCCCAACCAAACACCACCUUAAUUUAUUUGUAUGGAAUUCAAAUAGCUCAUGUCCCAAUGCCUUUGUCAUAAUGUCCGCCACUUGCCUUUUACUCAGCACAUAUUUAAGAAUUAUUUCUCUUUUCCCGAUUUUUCAGUGUAAAUAAAUUAAGCCAAUAUCUUGAGAAUCCAAGCGAUACAUACAGUAGAAUUUGAAAUGGUGCAAGACCUAAUCAAGUUUGAUAUAUACUAAGUUACAGAGGCCAUUGAUGACAUACGUAGGAAAUUAUCUGUAAUUGUUGCUUGACUCCCACGUAUGUGUGUAUAUAUAGUUCUUUUCAAGUGAGGGCAUCCUCAUUUUGUUAAAGUGAGGAUGCCCUCACUAGAAAAUUCCAGUAGUGAUAUCGUUGUUGGAUUUUUUAAUCUACUAUUGUUGGAUCCGUAAUCCAAUACUGGGUUUAUAUGUGAAAAUUUUAUAUAUUGCAGACUGUCAUAUAAGAUUAAGUACAAUUAAAAGUGAACUAUUUAGGUUUUCGGUAUUAUGGACUUUAAUGUGUCUAAUAGGGUGUGAGCUUUAAUGUGUAGAGAUUCAAUGAUAUUUUAAUUUUAUGAUGGACAUAAUUAGAAAUAUCCAGUGACAAUAAGAAAAUGUUGUCUAUAUAAGUGGUUAUGGUUCCCAAAUCACAAGUAUGUUUCUAUUCUAUAUUGACAUCUCAUCAUCAGAGAGAGAGAGAGCGCAGAGAGAAUUAAAGGACUUUCUAUUAUCUUUUUAAGUGAGGAUACGCUCACUAGAAAAUUACAAUAGUGAUAUCGCUAAAACAACUAUUUUAGAGUUUGAUUAUUUGAACAAGUAAUUUUAAUUCUGCUUGGCUAGAAUUAGAGUAGUAUGUUAUUAGUCUUUCUAUUUAUAUUUAGGUAGAAUUCUAUUUCUAUGUUUGAGUGUACAUUGCCUGGUAGAUUUACUCAAUUACAAAUCACGUGGUUACAUAAUAUGUUUGAAAACCUCUAAUUAACAAAAUUCUUAUUUUAUUUUCUUUCGUAAUAUGAUUUACCUAAGUCUCUCUUAUAAAAUCAUUUGCAUUAAAGCAUCAAUUAAUCUAAUUACUAUGAUGUAUUAUUUGUCUUGGACUUCUUAUUUUGGUCUAUCACUAUAUUACUUACCUUGGGCUGUCUCACCAUUUUCGCAUAAUAUUAUCUGCCUUGAGUCAUUCAUUUUUGUAUAGAGUGGUUAUAUUAUCUCAUCAGUUUUUAUAUUAAUUUCUAUUUUUCCGCUGUAUGAAAUUACUUGUUUUGGUGAAUUACUAUAUUAUUUCCCUUGGGCCGCCUCACCAUUUUGUUGCAUAAUCUGCCCUGGGUCAUUCAUUUUUGUAUAGAGUGGAGAUAUGAUCUCAUCAGCUUUUAUAUUAAUUUAUGUUUUGCCAUUGUAUGAAAUUAUGAAAAAUGGAUAUUGAAGAGUUUCUUGCCACAAAUUGAACCUGCAUCUCUGGUAAGCAUUACUCAUGCACUUUCGCGGAAAAGGCAGUAAGUGAAUGACCUAAACUCAUGGUUCAUUUCAUAUUAUGGAGUUUCUUAAUUUCUUCAGGAUUAUUUCGCCUGGAAUUCUCCAAAAAUCCACUGCUGAUAGGGUUGGUGCUUGCCACAUUGCCUUUGCGGCUGGUAGUGGCUUGUAUGCUUGUUGGAUUAGUCAGAAAAUUCAAUUGGCAUUGGUCACAAAUUUUUUUAUUCAAAUUUUUAUUCGAGCUGAGGGAUACAUAUAGUAGUAGACUUCAUAUACUAUGGGUGCGUUUUUGGGAUUGAGGUUGGGUAGCUGUGACUUUUAAGUUAGAGCACUAAAGUGUUUGGUAAACACUAGCUGUUGUACCUUUUAAGCUAUAUUAAUAUGAUUUUUUAUUUGUAUAAUGAAAAAUUUAUUAUAUCUUUAAUUAUUAUUUAAAAUUUAUAUUUACUAUAUAUUAUUAACUUUUGUUUGAUAGUUACUGUUUUUUUUUUAUAACUGUAGUUUUUAAGUUACAGCACCUCAAUUCCAAAUAGGACCUAUGUUGUCUUUCUCAUAUAUAUAAAAUAUAGUAAGAGAUAUAUAUUGCUUUCAUAUAAUUCUCAAUAUCAUAGGCGGUUAACCUGGACUCUUGGCCUAAAGACAAUAUGAGCAUGAAACCAUUUCGCGUGGGUGAUCAGUUAAGCCACCAAUGGGCUAUAAACAUAGCUUCAUUCAAGAGAGUUAAAGGUAUCCCAAGUUCUGAAAAUUGAGAGCAAGUACAAGUGAGCUUUUGCAGAGAAUUUUGAGAGUGUUUUCUUAACUAUUCUAGCGGGUAUUAUAUUGGGUGUAUUUAGGUUAUCGAGUUUUGAGAAUUAUGAAAUACAAGUAUGCAACCCAAGAGGGGGGGUGAAUUGGGAUUCUAAAAAAUUAUUCAAUUUAAAGAAAAACUUAAUGCAAAUACACUCCAAAUUCAAAGCAAUAAUAAUUAAGUUGAUCACAAUAUAAAAAGAUAAGGGAAGAGAAAUUCAAACACAGAGAUUUUUACGUGGUUCGGCCAACCUCGCCUACGUCCACGCCUCCAAGCUUUCCAGGCUUGAGGAUUCCACUAAGCAAGCCUCCAAGGCUUCAAAUGCUUACACUUGACUUCCAAGGUGUCAAUAAACCUUUACAACAAGAGAUUAUCCACAAUCUCUUAACCCAAGUGUAUCCCAACACUUACAAUCACUCAAAGUAAAAGAUUACAAAUUAUUUUUCUCUCACACAAUAUCUAAGAUAACAAAUCAAUGCCCAAUGUGUUAAUAGAUGAAAAGAGAGUGAGUUUAAAGCUCUAUGAAGAUUGUAUUCGCGGAUAUAAGCUCAGAGGUAGUGUUGUGAUCAACCUUCUUUGAAUUUAAAUGAGCUUAUUUAUAUCUGGAGCUGAAAAUCUAGCCGUUACAAACUGUCAGACAGAAAACGGUUCGCCGUUAACCCUAAACGGUUAACCGUUUCGGUUGGUCAAAGUUAUCGUUGGGCCAGAUUUUAAAUAAACGGUUUGCCGUUUGGGAUUACCCUUUCGCCGUUAACUUCCAGAGACUUGCAAGAUGAACAUUGGUUAUCCGUUUACACUAAACGGUUAAGGACUUGCGUGAAGUGGCUUAUCUGGAUAUUAUCGGUUAACCGUUUGUAAUAAACGGUAAGCCGUUUGACUCCAGUAACCUGCAAAACAAACUAGCCUUAUCAGGUUUUGUUAAUAAGUGCCAGAGGAGGACAACCUUCAAUUCUGGACGUUACCGGUUAACCGUUUAUAAUAAACAGUUCACCGUUAAGUUCCAGUUGCCUUUCCAUCCUUGGUGUUUUCCGUUUUUCAUAAACGGUUAGAGCUUAAGCAAUAUGUUGCUUUCUGGUGUUAAUCGGUUAACCGUUUUAAAUAAACGGUUCACCGUUAAGUUCCAGUAACCUUCCCAUCUUUUGUGUUUUUCGUUUUUCAUAAACGGUUCAAGGUUUAGAAAAUAUGUUGCUCUCUGGAUGUUAUCGGUUAACUGUUUAAAUAACCGGUUCACCGUUAAGUUCCAGUAGCCUUCCCAUCUUUUGUGUUUUCCGUUUUUCAUAAAUGGUUCAAGGUUUAGAAAAUAUGUUGCUCUCUGGAUGUUAUUGGUUAACCGUUUAAAGGAAACGAUUUACCGUUUAUUUCUAGAAUCGCACUUUAAAACAGAUUUUAUAGAGAAUCAUUUUUGAAUUCGAAGGACCCUUUUAUGAAACAAUAAAUGGAAUGAUUAUUAAGGCUUUCAUUUAUUAAGGAAUAGCUCCAACAUUUUUAUCAAAAAUCAUUUAAAGUUUGUUAUCAUCAAAAUCAAUAUUAUUAACAUAUUCAUGUUAACAAUCUCCCCCUUUUUGAUGAUGACAAAUUUUAUUCAAUAUUUAGCUCCCCCUUAAUAUGUGCUCCCCCUGAAUGUAUGUCCAGAUUAAGAAAUGUUCAAUAACAAGAUUUUUGCUCAAGAAAACCUUUUUAAAUUCAUUCUUAAUCUCCCCAAUUUAAAUACCAUAAAUCCGUUUUAAAUACCAUAAUUAUCUCCCCCUUCAUCAUAAAAAAGAAAAGAUAGAAUAGGGAAAAAAAAUUGCAAAUCCGUGAAAGAAGUUACCCGGUUUUGGCGAGCGAAAAAUUUGGCAGAGUUUCCCCUUAAAAAUGAACAAAACCACUAAUACAAAAUGAGAUUAAAACACUUCCAAAAUAGAUUAACACCAACUUCAACUUUCAACAAGCCAACAACUCCAUGAACAAAACAAAACAACACUCCAAUAUCCACAAACAUACCAACAUUACAAUAUCCACAAAUAAACCAAUACUUAUGCAUCAAAAUCCAAAAAACAUCUAAUCAUCAAGAACAUCACACACAUAUGCAUCAAAAUAAAAAAAAAUAUAAAUGCAAAACACCAAAAUAUGAAAUGUAUGUGCGAAAACAGAACUCAGAAACUACGGAGGCGGAGAAGAUGUGCUCCCCGGAUCAUAGCCGAAAUAGCCGAGAAGAAUGCGCUGUCCGGCGAUAAGCUCGAGCUGCUGGUCAAUGCUCUGCUGCUGGAAAGUCUGAAAGUUAGAGUGGAGCUGCUGGUGGUCACGGGAAAUGGUGUCCAACCGAUCAAGAAUCAGCUGCUGGCGCUCCGAGAACCGGCGAACAUCAGUAACCAACUGCUGCACAACGUCUGAAGCAGGGGGCGGAACUGGAGCUGGAGGUGGCAUAGAGGUCGAUGGCUGCUCGGGAACAGCAGAUGGCUCAGGAGCAGGAGGCGGCUCGGAAGAGGAGGGAAUGUCAGCAUCCAUCGCACGCUCCUCAGAGUCUGAGUCAGCUGGAGGCCGAGGGACAAAAUGGCGACGCGGAGGAUGAGGAUGAGCUCCUAAUCUAAAGUCAGGAAGCAGAUCGGGAGAAUAGACAUCAUUGAGCAUCCGAUCGUCCUCUGGAGCAAUCAAGGUAUCCCGGUUUUUGGAGUUGCUUGUCUUUAUCCACACUCCAUUCUUUCUAGAGAAACCGAUACUAGUCAUGGCCUCGGGACCAAUCCGUUGAGUCUCCAUAUGUCCAGUAUCAAGAAGUGGAACCUCAAAGCGUCGCAGUAUCUUAGUGAUAAUACUGCCAUAAGGAAGCAAGCGGUGAUUGACCGCGGGAGUACUCAACAUAUGUCGAACAAUAAUAUACCCGAGGUUAAUGAGACGGUCUGUAAGAAGGCUAUCUAAUAGGGCAACGUCCAACCUCGUAACCUCAUCAGAGUGACCCUUCCUAGGUGUCACUAUGUGCUAUAAAAUAGAGUGAAGAAUACGAACUUGGAGAGGUAAGAGUUGAGACCGAAACGGAAGCAAACAAAUCUCAUCCGAUAAGUCUCGACGACGACAUAUAUUACGGACGCCAUGAGUAUGAGAAAAACUGUCAAAGGAGAGGGCUUUCCUAGAGGUGUAAAUAUCAAGCCCCUCACAAGAGAUACCAAGAAGGUCAGCUAGGUCCGCAUCAUCAAACUCUAUUGGCACACGGCCGACUUGAGUAACUAUCCUAUUUAGGCGAGUGUCGGAGAUUUCCAUGUUCGAAUAAAAGACUCGCACUAAGUUUGGAUAAACUCGGUCAUCAAAAUCAAUGCCAGACUCCCAAGGCAGAAGCAUAUCCCGAAUACUUCUACCACAUACAACCAAAUGACGGAAAUCAUCAAGGUCAACAAAGAAGGAGUCAAGUACCUUUCGACCAUCGAAGCGUUCUUCGAACCGCUUGGCCAAGGAAGGAGUGGGGAAGUGAAUCCUUGCAAAUUCAGAGACUUCCCGAGGUGGUAUGGGAUUCCUUGGAGGCACAGAUUUACGCCUGGGGUUUCUCCGAGAGGGUUCAGCCAUGGAAAAUACAGGAGAUAAGAAAGAGAAUAGAUGAUUGGCUUAUGGAUGAAUAGGAGAUGUGAUUUGGGUGCUCAAUUUGGUUGAAGAAGGGGAAGAAUCGGAUUAAAAACGAAGAAAUCCGACCCGCGGCAGUUAGGGUUUUGAUUUUGGGAUUUUUGAAUGUUGGGCUUGAUUUGAAGUUUUGAAUCGGUAGAAUUGUUCUAAAGGGGAUAAGAAAAGAUUUUGAAGGUUUGAUUUGGCAAGGAAAGCAAGAAAAAUGAGGGUUUGAGGACAGAGAAACCUUCGGCUGCGCAACAAUGGUGGAAACGGUGAAAGGGUAACUGGAGAAAGAGAAGAAAACCUUUAAACAGUAUUUAUACUUCGCGAAAACGGUUAACCGUUUAUUUAAACGGUUAAAGGGUAACUUCCAGAGGCUGAAGAGAGGGAAACGGUGAAAGUCUAAGCGCUUAACAGCUAAGGAGUAACUGUUAGAGGACUCUCUAUUGACAAACGGUUCACCGAUUGUGGAAAACGGUGAAAGAGUAAACGAACAGACACAUAAUCUCGUUUCUGGAAUUAAACGGUGAUCCGUUUAUAGGAAACGGCUAACCGUUUAUUUUAUCUGUAAUUUCGCACAUUUGAUUUAAUUUUUGGCUGGCAAAUAAUAUAUUCCAAGAUCAUUUAAUUGAUUUGAAAAUAUUUAAUGAGCCAUUUUAAUGCAUGAUUCAUGAACAUAUUUUUCAACCAAUUAAUUCAUAUAAUCACAAGUUAUCAAGGCAAAUUCAUCAUUUGACGAUCAAGCUCAACCAUUUCAUAAAUAAUAGUCAAUCAAUUCAGUACACUCAAUAGCAUGAAUAGAGAUGUUAAUGCAAAAAUUUCAUCAUCCCAAGUUCAUGCCGAAUUUUUGAAAAUUGUUCUUCGCAAAGCGGUUUUGUGAAAAUAUCGGCAAGUUGUUUUUCCGUGGAAAUAAACUCUAAUGCAAUAUCUCCCUUUUGAACAUAAUCUCUCAAGAAAUGAUGUCUUAUUUCUAUAUGCUUGGUUCGAGAGUGUUGAAUGGGAUUUUUUGAAAGGUUUAUAGCACUAGUAUUAUCACACUUAAUAGGAAUUUGUUCAAGAUUAAUGCCAUAAUCUCUAAGUGUUUGUUUCAUCCAAAGUGCUUGUGCACAACAACUUCCGGCAACUAUUUAUUCAGCCUCAGUAGUUGAAAGUGCAACAGAAUUUUGUUUCUUGCUAAACCAUGAAACAAGAGAGUGUCCUAGAAUAUAGCAAGUUCCACUAGUGCUCUUCCUAUCCACUUUAUAACCGGCAAAGUCCGCAUCCGAAAAACAUGUUAAAUCUAUAUGAGUUCCCCUAGGAUACCAAAGGCCAAUAUCUAUGGUUCCACUUAAAUAACGGAAAAUUCUUUUAACAGCGAGCAAAUGAGAUUCCUUGGGACAUGACUGAAAUCUUGCACACAAACAUACACUAAACAUGAUAUCGGGUCUACUUGCAGUCAAAUAAAGUAGGGAUCUGAUCAUACCUCGAUAUAUUUUGAUAUCCACUUCUUUACAUUUUUCAUCUUUGUCCAGCUUGGUUGUUGUGCUCAUUGGUGUAUUCUUGGUCUUUGAAUCAUCAAUGCCGAAUCGUUUGAGUAGAUCCUUUACGUACUUGGCUUGAUUUAUGAAAAUUCCUUCCUCAUUUUGUUUGAUUUGAAGUCCAAGGAAGUAUUUCAACUCUCCCAUCAUACUCAUCUCAAAUUCCUUGCUCAUACAUGAUGAAAAUUCUUCACACAACAACUCAUUAGUAGAACCAAAAAUAAUAUCAUCAACAUAAAUUUGAACAAUAAGUAUGUCUUGGUUCUUAUGCUUAACAAAUAGAGUAGUAUCUGCUUUACCCAUAGAAAAAUCAUUUUCAAGCAAGAAAUUUUUAAGUCUAUCAUACCAUGCUCUAGGUGCUUGUUUUAAUCCAUACAAGGCUUUAAGCAACUUAUAAACAUGAUUUGGAAAUUUAUCAUUUUCAAAACCAGGAGGUUGUUUCACAUAAACUUCCUCCAAAAUAUAUCCAUUUAAGAAAGCACUCUUGACAUCCAUUUGAUAUAAAAUAAAAUCCUUAUGACAUGCAUAUGCUAACAACAUCCUAAUGGAUUCUAACCGGUGCAAAGGUUUCAUCAAAAUCAAUUCCUUCUUCUUGGUUGUAACCUUGAGCCACUAAUCUAGUUUUAUUUCUUACAACCACACCAGAUUCAUCCAUCUUAUUUCUAAACACCCAUUUAGUACCUAUUAUAGAUUGAUGUUCUGGUUUAGGAACUAAUUCCCACACAUUAUUUCUUUCAAAUUGAUUUAACUCCUCUUGCAUUGCCAAAAUCCAAGAUUCAUCAUUUUCAGCAUCCUCAAAAGAUUUUGGUUCAAUUUGAGAGAUGAAUGCAUUAUGCUCACAAGUAUUUCUAAGUGAUGAUCUAGUUGUAAUACCUCGUGAGGGAUCUCCUAAAAUUACAUCUUUAGGGUGAGAAGAGACAUACCUCCACUCCUUGGGGAGUGUUUGAGAAGUACCUUCAUUUUGCUCCACGUUUGGUUCUUCAUGAUGUUCCUCUUGAAUUCCAUGUGGUGCGUCUUCUUGAUUGUCAUUUGAUGCUUCUUCUUCUUGCUGUUCUUCUUCUGCAUUAUCAUCAACAACGACUUUCUCCGUAGAGGAGGGGUUAGACUCAUCAAAUGUGACAUGCAUAGAUUCUUCCAUAACUAAAGUUCUUUUAUUAUAGACUCUAUAAGCUUUGCUUGAGUUUGAAUAACCAAGAAAAAUACCAACAUCAGAUUUUGGAUCAAAUUUACCAAGAUUGUCUUUUGUGUUCAAAACAAAACAUUUGCAUCCAAAAACUUUAAAAUAGCCAAUGUUGGGUUUUCUAUCUUUCCAAAGCUCAUAUGGAGUUUUAUUAAGAUUAGGUCUAAUCAACACCCGAUUUAAAACAUAACAAGCGGUGUUGACGGCUUCGGCCCAAAAAUAUUUUGGUAAUGCAUUUUCAUUUAACAUGGUCUUAGCCAUUUCUUGAAUAAACCUAUUCUUUCUCUCAACAACUCCAUUUUGUUGUGGAGUUCUAGGUGAAGAAAAUUGAUGCUCAAUGCCUAGAUUAUUGCAAAAACUCUCAAAUGCAUGAUUUUCAAAUUCUCCUCCAUAAUCACUUCUAAUGUAUACAAUACCAUGCCGUUUUUCAUUUUGUAAUUUCUUACAAAGCACUUUAAAAGCAUCAAGAGCAUCAUCCUUAUUGGCUAAGAACAAUACCCAUGUAUAUCUAGAAUAAUCAUCCACUAUCACAAAUGCAUAAUAUUUGCCAUUUAGACUAGCAUAUCUAGAUGGCCCAGAAAGAUCUAUGUGAAGAAGUUCAAGUGGUUUUGAAGUGGAAAUAUGGUUUUUAUUCUUGAAAGAAGUUUUAAUUUGUUUUCCAAAUUGACAAGCUUCAUAAAUUUUAUCCUUUUGAAAACCAAUUUUCGGAAGACCUUUAACUAAAUCAUCUUUCGAAAUUUUUGAAAUCAAAUCCAUACUUGCAUGUCCUAACCUUCUAUGCCAUAACCAACAAUCAUCAUGCAAUGCCGAAAAACAUUUAUCAAGAGAAGAUGCACAUUCUAUGUCAAUGAUAUAAACAUUACCACAUCUAUUUCCAACAAAUAAGGUUUUGCCAUCACAUGAGUUCUCAAUAACACAACUAAAUUUAUCAAAGAUAACUUUGUAACCUUUGUCACAUAAUUGACUAAUGCUAAUUAAGUUGUGUUUCAAGUUCUCAACCAAACAUACAUUCUCAAUUAGAGUUGAAGAGACUUUACCAACAUUUCCAAUUCCAAGAAUUUUUCCUUUUAAGUUGUCUCCAAAAGAUACGUCUCCACCAUUUUCAAUUUUGGUGAAGCUUGAGAACCAUGCAUAGUUUCCGGUCAUGUGCCUUGAACAACCGCUGUCCAAGUACCAUUUAUUUUUCUUCUUCUUCAAGCCCUACAAGAAAAAGUCUCAAGUUUUAGGUACCCAAAGCUUUUUGGGUCCUUGAGAGUUAGUAACGGUUCCUUUUGGAACCCAAAUGUAUUUGACACCAUAAUAUGCAUUCCUUUUCACGGGACAUCUAUAUUUCAUGUGACCAUUUUGAUUACAAUAAUGACAUACAAUCUUAUGAUCAUUUGUGGAGGUAGCUUUAACAAAAUAAUUCUUAUAAUACUUUUGCUUCAAGUUAGGCUUAUAUCCAAGUCCUCUUUUAUCAAAAACACAUUUUUGUAAGUUAAGCAUAUUAUCCAACAUUUUUUGCCCAUUUGUAAAUUUCAAAACAAUUUCAUUCAAUUCAUUACUCUUUUUCUUGAGCAUUUCGUUCUCAUUUUUCAACUCAUCUAUGUGUGAUUCUAAAUGCUCAUGUAAGAUGCUAGGUUUCUCAUUUGAUAAUGCAAUUUCAUCAUGCAAUGUUUUGUUCCCUACUUCUAGGCAUGCAAUUCUAGCAUUUAGAGAUUCAUUUUCAUUUUUAAGCUUUGCCAUUUCCUUUUUAAGACAUACAUUCUUUUUACCAAUCUUCAUCAACUCAUUAUGUAAAUCUUUAAAAGCAUCAUACAAUUCAUCAUAGGUGGGAUCACUUACCUCAUUGAAAUCAUCAUCCCCUCAUAUUGCCAUGAGUGCUAGGUUUGAUACUUCUUGCAAUCCUUCUUCAUCACUUGAUUCUUCCUCACUAUCAUCCCAAGUUGCAACCAUUGCUUUCUUCUUGAGUUUGUUGAUAAGUGGGCACUCCGAUCUUAUAUGUCCAGGCUUUUUGCAUUCAUAGCAUGUGAUUGCCUCCUUCUUCUCCCUGUGGUUCUUGAAGUUUCUGAAAUUUCUUCGCUCUCCGGUUUUCUUGAAGAAUUUUCUGAACCUCCUUGCUAGCAUGGCUAGCUCUUCAUCAUCCGGUUCACUCUCCCCAUCACUCUCAUGUUUAGAAGCUUUGAGAGCAAUGCUUUUCUUCUUCUCUUCAAGUCCUUUUUCUGCAGCUAAAUCCUCUUCAUAUGAAAUAAGAGAACCAAUUAAAUCAUCAAGAGGUAAAGUAUUUAAAUCUUUGGCCUCUUCAAUGGCAGUUCUUUUAGGUCUCCAUUCUUUUGGAAGAGAUCUAAUGAUUUUCUUAACUUUCUCACUAUUUGAGAAGGUCUUCCCCAAGGCACCUAGAGUGUUUACUAUGUCCGUGAAUCUAGUAUACAUAUAAUACACAUUCUCAUUUUUUUCCAUUUGGAAUAGCUCAUAUUGACGAGUGUAUCUACUAAUUUUAGACUCUUUAACUUGAUUUGUCCCUUCAUAGACAACUUCAAGUUUAUUCCAUAUUUCUUGUGCACUUUCACAACUAGAUACUCUAUGGAAUUCUUUCUUAUCAAGGGCACAAAACAAAGCAUUCAUAGCCUUGGAGUUUAGAGACAUCUUUCUCUUUUCUAACUCACUCCAUUGACUCGAUGGUUUAGGAAUAUCAUCUCCUACUUCAUCUUUAAAUGUAGGCAUGAAUGGACCAUCACAAACAACUUCCCAAAUUUCAUAAUCUAAGGCUUGCAAAUAGAUUCUCAUUCUAGUUUUCCAAUAAGCAUAGUCAUUACCAUCGAAAAAUGGUGGUCUAGUGGUGGAUUGCCCUUCUCUAAAGGUUGAGUCAUUUAGGGUUGCCAUGGAUCUUUUACUCUUAGAUGAUUAAGUCCUAACAAGAGAACAAGGCUCUGAUACCAAUUGAAAUACAAUUAUGCAACCCAAGAGGGGGGGUGAAUUGGGAUUCUAAAAAAUUAUUCAAUUUAAAGAAAAACUUAAUGCAAAUACACUCCAAAUUCAAAGCAAUAAUAAUUAAGUUGAUCACAAUAUAAAAAGAUAAGGGAAGAGAAAUUCAAACACAGAGAUUUUUACGUGGUUCGGCCAACCUCGCCUACGUCCACGCCUCCAAGCUUUCCAGGCUUGAGGAUUCCACUAAGCAAGCCUCCAAGGCUUCAAAUGCUUACACUUGACUUCCAAGGUGUCAAUAAACCUUUACAACAAGAGAUUAUCCCCAAUCUCUUAACCCAAGUGUAUCCCAACACUUACAAUCACUCAAAGUAAAAGAUUACAAAUUGUUUUUCUCUCACACAAUAUCUAAGAUUACAAAUCAAUGCCCAAUGUGUUAAUAGAUGAAAAGAGAGUGAGUUUAAAGCUCUAUGAAGAUUGUAUUCGCGGAUAUAAGCUCAGAGGUAGUGUUGUGAUCAACCUUCUUUGAAUUUGAAUGAGCUUAUUUAUAUCUGGAGCUGAAAAUCUAGCCGUUACAAACUGUCGGACAGAAAACGGUUCGCCGUUAACCCUAAACGGUUAACCGUUUCGGUUGGUCAAAGUUACCGUUGGGCCAGAUUUUAAAUAAACGGUUUGCCGUUUGGGAUUACCCUUUCGCCGUUAACUUCCAGAGACCUGCAAGAUGAACAUUGGUUAUCCGUUUACACUAAACGGUUAAGGACUUGCGUGAAGUGGCUUAUCUGGAUAUUAUCGGUUAACCGUUUGUAAUAAACGGUAAGCCGUUUGACUCCAGUAACCUGCAAAACAAACUAGUCUUAUCAGGUUUUGUUAAUAAGUGCCAGAGGAGGACAACCUUCAAUUCUGGACGUUAUCGGUUAACCGUUUAUAAUAAACGGUUCACCGUUAAGUUCCAGUUGCCUUUCCAUCCUUGGUGUUUUCCAUUUUUCAUAAACGGUUAGAGCUUAAGCAAUAUGUUGCUUUCUGGUGUUAAUCGGUUAAUUGUUUUAAAUAAACGGUUCACCGUUAAGUUCCAGUAACCUUCCCAUCUUUUGUGUUUUCCGUUUUUCAUAAACGGUUCAAGGUUUAGAAAAUAUGUUGCUCUCUGGAUGUUAUCGGUUAACCGUUUAAAUAACCGGUUCACCGUUAAGUUCUAGUAGCCUUCCCAUCUUUUGUGUUUUUCGUUUUUCAUAAACGGUUCAAGGUUUAGAAAAUAUGUUGCUCUCUGGAUGUUAUCGGUUAACCGUUUAAAGGAAACGGUUUACCGUUUAUUUCCAGAAUCACACUUUAAAACAGAUUUUACAGAGAAUCAUUUUUGAAUUUGAAGGACCCUUUUAUGAAACAAUAAAUGGAAUGAUUAUUAAGGCUUUCAUUUAUUAAGGAAUAGCUCCAACAUUUUUAUCAAAAAUCAUUUAAAGUUUGUUAUCAUCAAAAUCAAUAUUAUUAACAUAUUCAUAUUAACAAAUUAUUCCCGUUCAAAGCCCAACCCCAAUUUCAUGAACCUAAAUAAUAAACCAAACAAAAGAGAAUAUUCUCUCAAUUUAUCUAGAAUUAUCUUGGGUAAUAAUAUCCUGAAUAAUUGGCGCUGUGGCAGUUUUAAAAAUUUGGUGAUUGUUAAGAAAUUAAUGACAAUAAGUUUAGGAUGUCGUUACUUGUUAGGACCUGCAUUUAAAAUCUUAAAUAUUCGUAAUUAAUUAUAAAGAUCUUGGUUCACAUGCAAGCUACAACAAUUAGCCAACAAAUAUAUGGUCUUUUUGACAAAACUAUGCAAAAAGAAAGAGAAUAUAAUCAAUGAAACUGAUUUGGACAAUACCACACGAUUUUAUUUUUAUUGACAAACCAACCUAAAUAACAUAUUAACGUAAAUAACGCAUCCACAUAUAAUUGUUUUAUUUAAUUAUUAAGAAAGAUGAAGUACAUGGACAUUGGAAACUAAAAAAUAUAAUCUCUUAUAUAUCAAGAGAUUUUAGAGAUUAAACUGAACCAAACUAGCACUCGCAUGAUUAGUUGACAGAUAAUAACAAUACCCAUCCUUUUAUUAACUAUAAUAUAAAAAAGUAAUACUUUAGGUAUGUAUGUAUUUAUUAACCAGUGUGGUCGGGAUUUCUUCUAUAUUGAGAGACAACAAUAAGAUUAAGAUUGUCAAAUGUCACUUCCAUAUCAUCAGCAAUACCAUAUACAGGUACUGGAGUACUCUCUGACCGCUCACUCUUACAUGAAAGUUUAAUAUUAGAAAAUGAAUUCAUAAAUGCAUAUAUUAAAAUAUGAAUUGUAAAUGAUAUCUAUUCAGCUGAAAUUGGCUUGAAACCUGCGCAAGGAGGAGUUUCUAUGUUCUUAUCUCUGCUUUGACUGAUACAUAUAGAUUCAAGAAGCCGACGUUGCCAACGUGUGGGCAAUUGUGACCUAGCAAAACAUCUAAUAGUUAGUUAAAUUCCACCUGCGACACGUGGGAGCAUGGGUCCACAAAACAAAUAAUUGGAACUAAUUAGAACAGAAAUCGAUUCGGUAACCCGCCGCCGCAUGCACUUUCUAAAAGUUUUAAAUUUAUGAAUUGAAACUACCGACGCCUUUUUAUGUUUGGUUAAUUAUACAUAUAGUUCGAGCUGAGGGAUACAUACAGUAGUAGAGUCUUUAAAAUGGUACAAUACCUAAUCAACGUUGAUAUAUACUAAGUUACAGGGGCCAUCGAUGACAUACGUAGAUAAUUUUCUGUAAUUGUUGCUUGAUUCCCAUAUAUAUAUAUAUAGUUCUUUUCUAAAGGAUGUUAUUAAAUUAUAAAAAACGCAUAUUUCAAUACACUAAAAAUUAUAUAUUUUUUUAUUUAUUAGUAUAUUGAAAUUUAUGUUUUUAUUUUUUACUGACAUCCCUAACAUCCUCACUUUUACCCUCAUUAGAGAAUUACAAUAGUGGUAUAUCUAGGACAGCUAUUUGAGAGUUUGAUUAUUUGAGCAAGUAAUUUUAAUUUUUGUUGACUGGAUUUAGAGUAGUAUGUUAUUAGAGUCUUUCCAUUUGUAUUUUAGGUAGAAUUUUACUUCUAUGUUUGAGUGUACAUUGUCUAGUAUAUUUACUCGGUUAUAAAUUGGGUGGUUAUGUAAUAUGUUUGAAAAUCUUUAAUUAAUAAAAUUUUUAUUUUAUUUUUUUCAUGAAAUUAUUUAUCUAAAUCUCUCUUAUAAAAUCGUUUACAUUAGAGCAUUAAUUAAUCUUAUAACUUUGAUGUAUUAUUUGCCUUGGACUUUUAUUUUGGUCUAUCACUAUAUUAUUUACCUUUGGCUGUCUCACCAUUUUCGUGUAAUAUUAUCUGCAUUGAGUCAUAUUUUUGUAUAGAGUGGUGAUAUUUAUCUCAUCAGUUUUUAUAUUAAUUUCUAUUUUGCCGUUGUAUUAAAUUAUUUGCUUUGGUGAAUUGCUAUAUUGUUUGCCUUGGGCCGUCUCACCAUUUUGGUGUGUAAUCUGCCUUGGGUCAUUCAUUUUUGUAUAGAGUGGUGAUGUGAUCUCAUCAGCUUUUAUAUUAAUUUCUGUUUUGCCAUGGUAUGAAAUUAUUAAAAAGGAUAUUGAAGAGUUUCUUGCCACAAAUCGAACCUGCAUCUCUGUUAAGCAUUACUCUUGCAUUUCCACGGAAAAGGCAGUAAGUCAAUGGCCUAAAUUCAUGGUUCAUUUCAUAUUAUGAAGUUUCUUUCUUCAGGAUGAUUUCGUCUGGAAUUCUCCUAAUUUGCUUCCAAAAAUCCACUUGCCACAUAGCCUUUGCAGCUGGUAGUGGCUUGUAUGCUUGUUGGAUUAGUCAGAAAAAUCAAUUGGCAUUGGUCACAAUUUUUUUAUUCGAGCUGAGGGAUACAUACAGUAGUAGACGUCGUGUACUAUGUAUGUUCUCUUUCUCAUAUAUAUAAAUAUAGUAAGAGAUAUAUAUGGCUUUUAUUUAAUUCUCAAUAUCAUAGGCGGUAAACAUGGACUCUUGGCUUAAAGACAAUAUGAACAUGAAACCAUUUCACGUGGGUGAUCAAUUAUAUAACUUUCAUCCUUCUUACGGAAGUCAGAAGAGGUGUGUACCUACCACAUCAACCGUGUCAAGCGAAGAUAUUGGACAUUUAAUAAUGAAAAAAUUAGGAAUUUUCAUGGACACACCAGUAGGUUCCGUAAAUAUAUAGAAUCAAUUGAUUCUAGGUACCUUACAAUGUGACUUUUUUUUUUUUUUGUCCCUGAAGAUCCGGACUAUUUUUGAGGAUACUGGCCGUUGAGGCUUUGUUUGUAAUUGUGCAAGAAAAUGGAAAAGAAUGGGCUAAAGCGCAAAAAGUAAAGCUAACAGUUGUUUAAUUUAAUUUUUUAAGAUUGUUUUGAUGUGGAAUUUGAUUUGGGAACUUUUUUGUAAUUACAAGAAACAGCCACACAGGGUGACAAUUAUGGCAUUCUUUCGUCAAUUGGAUAUUAAUAGUACAAUGAGGAUGGCUAAAUGCAUAAUCACCCUAUUAAUCUUGCAGUCCAAAGCAAAAGCAAAAUAGCAUUACAAACAGUAGAACUCUCAGAUUGAUUCACUGUAUCUAAACGAUAGGUCAUCUCAUUACUAAACUAUCUGACGUAACUGAUUCAGAAAUUUAAUUUAGAGAGGGCUUGGUACAAAUAAAAUAAUUCACGAGGCGCGUUCGAUGGUGCAAGUGAUCGGCGGCAACAACAAGCAAGUAAGGUAAUGAUGAUGUAUAUGUUGGAAAUAUGAAUUCAUAUUGUUUAUUAAAAGUUCAAAACAUGAAUAAUAGUUGUUGCUACUGUUCACUUCACUGUUUAUUAAUACUAUUAAUCAUACUGUUCACUUAGCAACAAUUGUAAAUUUGUCAAGGCGUGUUCGAACUGUCCUUAAAACAAAUUUCAGCUCUUCUAGAAAGAUUUCUCGAUGCAAAAAGGAUAUAAAUAAAAUGGAUUGAGCUCCAUGAUACAAUGAUAUUGUUGCCAGGUUGCACUCCAAGUACAAUAGUUUAGAAAAGAAAAAUUAAUGAAGAAACUAUGAGAUAGAAGGAGAGGAUAUAGUGGCUGUGCCUUGAAGACUUUGUAUUUUAAAAUACCAAUAAAACUCGAAGAAUAAACUUAAAUAAUUUGGAUCAAGAUUGCACUUUAAGAUGAAACACUAAUUAGUGGCCUUUAUGUAUAACUUAAUAAUUUGAUAAAUAACUUCGCACUAGCAAAGCCAAGAGUUUCAUUUAAACCCCUAAGAUUCAAAUAUUCUUUCCCCCUUUACUACUGGCAAAAUUUGGCAAUCGAUAUUUCGGAAGACAUCACACAUGUCAAAAAAAAAAAAAAAUAGCUAGUCCCAUCAAAAUCACCAAAUGCAAUCCAAUAACAUGCUCCACUUAAGUAUAGACUUUCAUGAGAAUCGACGGAAAAAAUAAAUAAUAAUAACUUCAUUUAGUUAAGCAAAUAACAAUUUGUGAUUGUUCGUUAAUCUUAUUAAUAAUCUAAUUCUUAGUUUCUUACUAUUGUUCUUUUACUUGAUUAUAUUGUCGAAUCUUUCUGAAAAAGAUUGUUUUUGUAAUUGACAUGUUUAAAGUUUAAACAAAAAAAAAAAAGAACUAAAUCCAAAUCAAAUAUAAAUACAAAUCCAGGUUCUAAAAAAAUCAAGUACAAAUACAAAAUCUAAAUUCUAAAACUUAAAGUUUCAAAGCGAACAUCAAGGAAUCAACAUCCCACGAAGCAACACGAACGGCGAAGGCGAGCUAGUUCAACCUGUAUCGGGGCUGGUUACUGGUCGCGAUAGCAGCUAGUGAUGAUGAACAUUGAACACAGCCACGAUCACGAUUAGCGAAGGUGGCGUUCAACUCGUAUCACAACUUGUUACUGGUUGUGACAGAGAAGAAGAAAUGAUGGCUGAUGAUGAUGAUGAGAUUAACACAACCGCAAAGAUAGUGAAGCGAUGACGACGAUGAUUUAAUUUGAUGAAGAAAAGACCUGAAAAGAGACAGACAGGAAAUGUUUGGCCUUGGCAGCCGCAGCUAUGAAUGCAAGUAGGGCACUUGGGCUUUUUUUGUAUUUUUCUAAUUGUAUUAUAUAAUCUAAAAAAAUUAAUAUUAAAAUAAAAGCUUCCGGGUCUAGAUUCUGUAUCUAUGGGUUAACAUAAACCCAGACCCGGACCUGGAUACGUCUGGGUUCAUUAAAUUGCAUCCGAAUUCCAUAUAAAAUUUGCUCCAGUAUGGGUUGAAGCCAGCCUAUUCUCUGGGUUCAUCUAGGUUUGGGCGGGGAUCGGAUUAAAUUGGCAUCGCUUUUAUGUCCAAAUUAUCAAUAAGAUCCUUUGGUGUUAGUAAAUUCCUUUAUCACGUAAAUGGUUUCAAUUUUGAACAUAUUAGUCCUAUUCCAAUUUUCAACCGUUCCCAAUUUUAUAACUCCAUUUAUUAAUAACAUUGUCUUAAAAGUUCAUCAUUGCACGGCACUAGAAUGAUUAUAAGGUUUAAUAUUUUUGAAUUAUGAAGCUCGUUCUCAGUAAGACAAGGCUAUUUGCACUCUAAAACUUAGUCUAAACAAUCUGUCACCUUGGAUACUCAUGUACUAAAUUUAAAAAGAUUAAGUUUUAUUUUCUUCACACUUUAAAAUACCUAAAAAGACCUUAUUGAAACUCGCUAAAUUAAUUUACUCAAAACACCAAUCAAACUAUUUAGCACAUCCAAAAUGAAUUAGUAAUAAUUUAGAAUACACUGCAAUGGAAUCAAAGUAUGUUCUAAAGAAAUUUUUUUAACAUAAGUUUUAUUUAUUAGCUUUUGUUUAUUAAAGAAUAUGUUCAGCAUUGGUUUUUAAACCCCAAACUUUUAACCCAACAAUUGGAAAAAAUGGUUAUUUGGCCCAAAAAGGGAAAAAAAGAAAGAAAGAAAGAAAGAAAGAAAGCAAGAAAGAAGAAAAGAACACAAAGAAGAAGGAGAAGACUGCAAAAAAUAUUUUUAAAAAACUAAAAAGCAUAAAUAUGUUCAAAAUAUAUUAAAAGUAUUCAUUUGCUCCUAGCUCCUAGUUUAACUAAAUAUUGUUUAAGAGAUUGGAAAUAAAAUUUCUAGGGCUUAUGCCAAAAGAAUUAUAUAUUCAAUAACAAGUGUGCUAUAUGAGUAUUUAGAGUAAUUAUAUAAUGUUAAUUUAUAAGAAAGAGUCCUUAUUAGUAAUUCAUAUGAUGUGUAUUUUUGUAAUAGAAUAAUUUAUUAAAAUAAAAAUGUGCAGAAUAUUUUUUGUAUUGUAAAUAUGUAAAUAUUCUCACCCUUCUCAAUAUAUUGACUUGAGUGAUAAUUUUAAAUUGCAUCAGAAUGAGCUAAAAGAAGAGGAAUUGUCGAAAUUCAGCUUAUGGCAAUUGAACAAUUAAUGGUUAAGAAAUACAGUAAAUCAAUAAUACUAAAACAUAAACAUAAUAAUUAAAGACUACCAUUAAAAUCUUUUUAGGAAUUUAUCUUGCAAACCAUCUAUUAGACGUCAAAAAUAUAAUUAGCCACCAAAAAUUUAAGAUAAUAGCUCUGCACUGUUGAGUGUUAGAAAAUGUAUAUUUAUAAAGGAGAAAAUCGUCAUUUUACACUUCCAAGUUUUACUAACACUUAUACUUUUAUGUAUUUUAGUCUCUUGUAAUUUAAUUAUGUGUAUUUGAUUUUAAUUAUGUAUUUUAUGCAUUUUAGGAGUUUCAUGGUCAUUUCACAAUGAACGAGAGCGGCAAAACGACAAAACGGACAUCACUUUUGAUGAAACUUAUUUUAAGCAGAUAGUGGGAAGUCUCAUGUACCUCACCACCACUAGACUUGAUAUGAUGUUCAUUGUGAGUUUAAUUAGUCGUUACAUGUCUAAGCCUAUAGAGCUACAUCUGCAAGUACCUGAAAUAGCUCUUAGGUACUUGAAUGGCACAAUAAACUAUGAGAUACUUUACAAGAAGGGUGGAGCUGAAGAGCUUCUUGCAUUCACUGACAGUGAUUACGUCAGGGAUGUCGAGGAUAGGAGAAGCACCUCAGGAUAUGUUUUUUUAAUGAAUUCUGGAGUUGUGUCCUGAUUGUCAAGGAAGCAACCACUAGUCACUUUUAGAGAUGGCCAACAGGCCGUGCCGUGCCGGCCCAGACCCAUCCAAGGAAGCCCACACGUGCUGGUGCUCGUGUUGUGCCUAAUUUUUGUUGCUUAGGCCUGGCUCAGCACCACUGAUACCGUGCCCACACGUGUCGUGCCGUGCCGUGCCCAGGAAAAAAAGCCCACUAAGUUUUUUUCAUUUUUUAUUUUUUUAAAAGCGUAUGCCAAGUUGUUGUCUUAUUUUUUUUAAGCCUAUGUACUUUUUUGGAUCCAUGUGCCUUUAUUCAAAUUUAAUAGAAUCAAAAAUUCAAAACUCAAGUCUAUAUUCAAUAAUAAUAAAUUAAUAAUAAUAAGAGAAUGUAAUAUUAGUUACUAAAUUUGACGUUGUGGUAUUAGAAUUCUUUUUUAGUACCUAACAACAACAAUAAUAAUUUUUUUAAGGGUUAACUUAAUUGUUAAUUUAGAAUUAUGUACAAUCAUAUAUCAUAGUUUAUAAUAAUAUUAAUACAUAUUUAUAAAAUCAUGAUAUCAAUUAUUUAAUUAAUAAAUUAUAAACAUAAAUCAAUUAUAAUUUUUUUGAAACUAAGAAUUAAAUAAAUUUAAAAAACUUGAGCUAAUAAAAUAUAUUAAAAGAUUCAAUUUCAAGUUAUUUAUAAAAUCAUAAAAUUUUAAGUUUACUUUCAUUAAAAAAUGAAACGUACUUAUUGCGUGCUUUUUCGCGUACCGUGUUUUUAAGGCCCAUGUGCUUAAAAUUCUAAGCCCGGCCCAACCCACGUGCGUGCUGUGCCAUAUCGUGUGCUCUACGGAAACGUGCUCAUGCCAUACCAUAUUGUACGGACACGUACCGUGCCUCGUGCCAUCCAGCCCAUUAGCCACGUCUAGUCACAUUAUCAAUCACUGAGGCUGAAUUUGCGGCAGCUGUAGCCUAUGCUUGUCAGGCUGUUUGGAUGAGAAGAAUACUACAGUAGGAUUAUUUGCUGGAAUAAAUCCCUAACUUUUAGGGUGUUAGUUGCAUUGUUUGACAUUUUCUUUGUUACUUGUACCACAAUGCUUUAGUUGUGCAUUAGUGGGCUAUUAUUUCUCUUUUUCUGUUACUUUGUAAAGCUAUUUAAGCCAAGUUCAUCUAUUCAAUAAAGUAAGCAAUUUUCAAAUUGUUUAGAGUUCUUGAUUUGCAAUUUCUUCUGCGAUCAUUAAUUUCCUACGCCAGCAACUAGCUGUUAUUUGGCAGUUUUAGUUAUGGGUUUGGAAGAUAUAGCUUUUGGAACUAAUUUUUUUAAAAUUGAUUUUGGAACGUCAGUUUUGUUUACGUUUCACGACUCACACGUGUUGUGGAGGUAAAGUUAAAUUAAAUUUUGUAUUUUUCUUUUGUUGAAUUGAAAUUGUUAAUUUUAAUUUUCUAAUCAACAAAUGAUUUUAAUUUUUUUUGGAAUUACCAUUGUUAAUUAUAGAAAUGUUUAUUCAUGAUGAAAAUUUUCAUCUCAGACUCAUUAUGGUAUAAUUGUACUGGUCUCUACACCCAAUCUAUGUUAGGUAAUAGUCGUUUUUUGUACUCUCAUUAAUGAGAUAAUUUGACAACACUAAUGAUUUGAAUAAUACAUAAAGUGUCGCAUCAUUUGAGAUAAUUUUUAACCAUAUAUAUUGUUAUUCUAUAAAAAAAAAAGUGUUGGAAAAAUAGGAUAAUGAGUUGCUAUUUAAAAACAUAAUUUUGAGUGGUAUACACUUAGUGUGAGUAGAAAGUCAAUAAUAAUUCGAAAUCUCCUCCAUGAGUACUCCAAAAUGAUGUAUUUGUAUACUGAAUAUGAUGUUGGUUAAAUAGGAAAUUGAUCCUCAAAAUAAAGCAAGAGUUACAGAGAUUGUAAUGGCUAGUUAAAUUCAAAAUUAACUAUGCAAUCCAUUCCAAGAAUUUAUUAUUUGUAACUGCUAAUUAAAUGUAGAAUUUAUUAUGAGAUUAUAAUGGUCAAUUAAAUUUAGAUUUUGAUAUAAAAUUAAAUCCAAAAUUUAAUAUAUGAUUAAUGAGGCAGCGAUUACAUUUUGAAUUUAAUUUAAAGAUUUAAUAAGCAGCGCUUUUAAUGGAUAUUAAAACCAACGGUUAAAAGUGUGUUUAAUAAGAUAUUAAAUUGCAUCUGAAGAAAACUUAAAGCAAUCAAAUUUGUCACCAAAAUGCCGUGAUAUAAUUCUAUAAAUUGGCAUAUUCUUCUACCGCAUUUGUAGAGACACGAGAUAGUGUAAGUGGUGGAAAAUAAUGAGAAUACAAGUGAAGAUAGAUUGAAGAGUAGGAAUAGAUGAUCUGCAAUUCAUUCUUUGUCAUAUAUCCAUUUUGAUAGAGUUUUAAACACAAUUGAAAUUCGCUGCGAAAUAACCUAUUGCCGCACCAAAGCUAUCCAUCACCAUUGUAUCCUGAAAACAGAUGCCAUUCGAAUCCUAAGACACCCAAAGUAGGAAGCAAAGCUUUUUAAACAAACUAUGCUAUCACAUAAGCCUCCAUUUGCAUUCUAUUCUUUGGUUUUACUUUAUGUUAUUAUUUCAUUGUAGUAAUUAUUAUUUCUGCACUUAUUAUUCUAUAAAGUCACAAUUUAUGAUUUGUAAUUUUAGAAUCUGUUCAUCCUAUAUCAGUUGUAUAUAAUGUGUUUUUCUCUUGCAAAAAUUUGAUGAAAUCUUAAUCCAUUUUGAUUUCUAAAAAGGGGAGAAAAAAAAUAAAAUAGAUUAGUAAUGCGUCAGCUUUCCAACGGCUCAUUUGUGACUUUUUUUAUUUUUAGUCUUUUAAUCACUAACCCUCUCAUGAACACUAGAUAGCUAUCAUGUUCAUGCAAUACAAGUCACUUUCAAGAAGCCUUGCUAUUGAAAUGGUAGACAUGCAACACUCAAAAUCUCAUGCUCAAGAGCAUGGCGGUUCGAGUCCUCUUCAAGGCAUAAUAUUGAGAAUGCUCGUUGAAUGAGCAAUUCAAUAAGAGAUCUCGGAUUGAACUAAUAUAUUGAUUCAAAUUUGAGUGACUAAUUAAAUAAAACUGCUUGAAAACUACACCUGCAUAAGUCCACGUGGGUUCUCAAGUUCUAUGUUAACUAUUAUUCUUCUCGGCAAGUAUCAAUUCUUCUAUUGCAGAUGCCAUUGUUGCAGAAUAGAAGUCAGUUGAAGCUCUUAAUAUUAUGAUUGAAGUUUAUGCAAGUGCAGAUUGCAGACAGCAGAUAUCGACUUGAAGCCUCAUGUAUGGAAAUAAAGAUUGGUUUUCAACCAAAUAUGACGACUGGGACAAUGUCGGGUGGUUAAGGAAGAUGCAAUGGUCGUCUCAAAAAAUUGGGUUUCAUUGGCCAGAUAGGACUGCGAUGUCAACUUUUUUUUUUCUUUAAUAUGAUUAAGAAUGAAAGAGUAAUUUUGACACAUUGACUUGGGCUUGUGAUUGUUAAUAAAUUUAUUACUUCUUUUCAUUAAUUUGACCUGCAUAACAAUUAAUUGAGUGAUUUUUAUUUUUCAAGAUACUUGCUACCCUCCCGAGUUCGAAUCUUCGGUUGAAAAUUUUGAUUUAAACUUAGUCUUCAUCUCUCAUUUAUAAAUAAUAAAUUAAUUAAUUAAUACAUAAAUAAAUAAAACCUACGUGAAUGUAGAAAUGAAUCAGAUGAAAAGUAAAUAUUGUAUAAAUACCCGCAUAAUGUGGUUCAGCUGCUUUGAAUAUUAUGCCAAGAAUAUGCAAAUCUGUUGGUUAGUGUUGACUUUGAACUACCUGAAGUACACAAGGGACUUUAACAUAGACUUAAUAACCAGAGGAAUUUCUGGCAAUUUAAGAAAAAAAGGGAACUAAGAUUCAUUUGAUUAUUCUUCCUCCCUGAACCUUAACAAAGAAAUUAAUUACAAAAAUAGUUUUUUGAAGUCUUUAAAAGUAAACCUUUCAGGAUCUCUUCAGAGAGCCGAAGAAAUGAAACAUGAGAAAACUUUGAAGUGCAAAGUAAUUUGGAGCUUACACAUCUUGAAACUCUUAAUCGGUGAAGCAACUGUGAUGUAACCUAACAGAAUGAUUAGAAUUUUCUGACUAUAUAUGUUAACCCAUCCAUCAUAUUAUCUAUAUGUGUAUUCAGCACAAACCUUUUAAUCUUGUAAAAACUCAAAAUGGAGAACUGUUUUUCGUUCAAUACUUGCAGCCUUUAGAAGCUCAUCAUGUCCUUCACAAGUCCCAUUGUCCAGUGUCGCAAGAGUUUGUUAAAAUCAUGAAUCAGUAUUGUGAAUUGGGUUAGUUAUAUUCUAUUAAGUUCGUUGCUAUUUCUCAAAAAAAAAAAAAAAAGAAAGUUCGUUGCUGAGGUGGGUUGAUGAGCUGGCGUUUGUGGGACCCUUAGUGGUUAAGUUGUUACAACAGUCCUACAAGUUUUUGGAAUUAAAUAUAAAAGAAAGCAAUGCUGGCCGGUGCAGCACCUAACGAAAAGAUCUUGACUAGCUUUGAGAUAGAUUUUGUUAAUUCUUCAUUGAAGGGAUUUAUUCUCUGUGAUCUCAAGAAUUGUAGUAAUCAAUAUCUUAAUAAAAGCUUAUUAUCAGCCAUGGAUAUAGGUACUAUGGUACCAAACCACGUAAUAUUACAAUGUUCUUUUUCUCUGCUUUUUUAGUUUCUUUGUCAUCUUUGUUCUUUGUUCUUUGAUCUAGUGUCAUUAAUUCUUUGCGCCAUUAAUUGGACUGGUUAAUUGGCUAGUCUGAUUAAGAGCUGAAAGAGAAGAAAAGGCCUUGAUUCAUAACAAAUUGGUGUCAGAGCCUUGGAGCUCUUUGCUCUUGAUCUUCAAAUGGCAAAGUAUCAGAUUUGAUCUCAAAAAAUUCAAUGGUGAAAAUAAUUUCUACUUGUGGAGUCUCACAAUGCGUGCAAUUCUAUUUCAAGAAGGGCUUGAUAGUGCUCUUGAUGAUGAUGAAUAUCCAAAGGAUAAGAAAGAGAAUGAAGAAGGUUCAUCAAGUUCCGGAGGAGACAUGGGGUCCAUUAACAAUAAGGCUCACAACAACAUCAUCUUACAUCUUUCAAGUGAAGUCCUGAGAGAAGUGGGAAAAGAAGAGACUGCUUCUGGUCUAUGAGCAAAACUUGAAGAGCUAUUCUUGAAGAAAUCUUUGGCCAAGAGCCUCUGUAUGAAGAUGAAGAUGUACACAUUUUCAAUAAAGGAGGGGACAACUAUGAAAGAUCAUUUGGAUGAGUUCAACAAGCUGAUAUUGGAUCUUAAGAAUGUUAACAUUGUUCUUGAAAAUGAGGAUAAAAUUCUUAUCUUGCUAAGCUCACUUCUAGAUUCAUAUAAGCAUUUUAUGGGUACUUUGCUGUAUGGAAGACAAUCACUCACUUUGAAGAAUGUGAAAAAUGCAUUGGAAUCUAAAGAUUUAAAGAAAAGAACAGAAAUAAGGGAUUAAAAUCUUAGAGAGGGCCAUAGUUGUCAGAUUCAGAUUAGAGAAGAAAGCCAAUAAAGAGAAAAAGAAUAAUAAUCAGAGGGAUAAAGUUGAUAACAAGAAGAAAAAAAAUGCUACUUAUAUCAUAAAGAAAGACAUUAUAUUAAGGAUUGCUUUGAGAAGAAAAAGCUUAAGAGGCUGUAAAAGGAACCAAAUGGGAAGGCUGCCAUUGUAUUUGAAGAUGAGGGAGAUUCAGAAGGAGCAGAUGUCCUUAUUACACUGAAAAAUAACUUACUGGUGAGUGGAUACUGGACAAUGUAUGUUUUUUUUUUUCAUAUGUGCCUAAAUAGAGAUUUGUUCAAGACCUUUGAAAGCAUUGAUGGGGGCAAAGUCUUGCUUGGAAACAAUCUUUCUUGUAAGGUUGCUGGAAUUAGAACCAUUAGUAUCAAGAUGUUUGAUGGGGUAACUAAGGAUCUAAAACCAGUGAGAUUGAAAACUUUUCUAUAUUUCUCUAUAUCGUAAAAGGUAACACAAAUUCCUCUUAUAGAAGAGAAUACAUAAAAUUGGGAAACUGACAAUAAAUUAGCUAUCUAGUUGUACUAACUAUUUCAUAAUUUACACCAUUGACCUAUUCUUAUUUACAGCUAACAAUCCUCUCUAACUACAAAUAUUUCUUUCCUUUUCUACACUCCCCCUCAAGCUGGUUUGAAGCUAUCCUCCAUAGCCAGCUUGCCAAUUAGCUCGUUGAAUUUCCGAGUAGGAAGCCCCUUAGUAAGUACAUCUGCAACUUGCUGAGUAGUGGGAAUGUAAGGCAUACAUAUUAACCAUUUCUCAAGUUUUUCCUUGAUGAAAUGACAUCUUUAUUGUCACAAUACACUUUCAUAGGUAGUGAAUUAGAAACUUUCAAUUCUUCUAAGAGUCUUUUAAUCCACAACACCUCACAAAUCCCGAAAGCAGUUGAUCUAAACUCAGCUUCUAUGCUGCUUCUUGCCACCACAUUCUGUUUCUUACUUCGCCAUGUAAAAAGAUUGCCACCAAUAAACGUGCAAUAGCCAGAAGUUGAUCGUUUAUCAACAACACUUCCAAUCCAAUCCGCAUCAAUAUAGACUUCAACUUGCAAGUGCCUACGAUUAUUUAAUAACAAACCGCAUCCAGAAGUCCCCUUCAAAUACCUGAGAAUUCUAUAGACUGCAUUGAAGUGUUCUUGUCUAGGGGAAUGCAUAAACUGGCUAACCAUGCUCACUACAAACGCUAUAUCUAGACGAGUAUGCGAUAAGUAAAUCAGUAUUCCAACAAGUCUUUGGUAUUGUUCUAUGUCCAAGACUUCUUCAGGUUUAAGAGGCUAUAAUUUAAGGUUGAGCUCAAUAAGUGUUUCUGCUGGUUUACACUCUAGCAAGCCCAUUUCAUUAAGCAAAUCAAGGACAUAUUUACGUUGAUUCACAAAUAUACCUUCUUUGGAUCUAGCAAACUCCAUUCUGAGAAAGUAUUUCAAUGUCCCUAAAUCCUUGAUCUCAAAGUCAGCUGCAAGUCUCUUCUUCAAUUUUUCUAGUUCUUCACUGUUAUGAUAUGUCAUGACUAUAUCAUCCAUAUAAACAAUUAGUAUAGCAACUCUACCUUCUCUACCAUGUUUAUAGAACAUAGUAUGAUCAGCUAGGCUUUGACAAUACCCACAAUUCUUUACAUAUUUCCCAAAUCUCUCAAACCAAGCUCUAGGGGACGCUUGAGGCCAUACAACAACGUUUUUAGUCUAUAGACUUUCAUUGAUCCCAAAUUCUUCUCAAAACUAGGUGGUAGACUUAUAACAAUCUCUUCCUUAAGAUCACCAUUCAAAAAGACAUUUUUUUUACAUCCAAUUGGUGUAGUGGCUAGUUCAGAUUUACAGCCAAAGAUAAUAGAAUUCUAAUUGAGUUUAUCUUGGCUACCGGAGCAAAGGUCUCCUGACAAUCAAUCUCAUAGGUUUGAGUGAAUCCCUUAGCUACUAAUCUUGCCUUAUACAUUUCUAUGCUACUAUUCGCUUUACACUUGACAGUAAAGACCUAUUUGCAAGCUACAGUCUUCUUCUCUUUAGGCAAAUCGACUAAUCUCUCAAGUACCAUUUCUCCUAAGAACAUUCAUCUCUUUUAUCACUGCCAAUUUCCAAUUUGGAUUACCAAGAGCUUCCUGAAUGUUUCUUGGGAUAAAAAAGUGUGAGAUUUUUUAGGUAAAUGCCCUAUCAGUAUGAGAAAGUUUGUCAUAAGAAAGAUAUUGAGCAAUGGGAUAUCUAGGAUUCUUAGUGAGAUUUCGGAUUCCUUUUCUAAUGGCAACAUGAAUAUUAAGGUUUGAUGAUUCUUUGCUAGGGAAAAGCAUGGGAAUUGAAGAUGAGUUAGGAUUGAAAAUACAUGUGAUAUUUGUAGGUCCAAUCCCCAAGGGUUGUGAUUGAUCGUUACCAAGAGUAACUGGCAGCCUUUGAGUUUUUUUUAUGAUGUUUUCUUUGAGUAUAAACCAAAAGCUCAGUUGUUAGAAUCAUUUUGAUACGACAGUAGUAGUGAUUCUCCCCCUAUUUCAGAUACAAUAAUGUUUGGCAUUAUAUUACCAGAACUUCCCUCAUUGUUCUCAGUGUUUUUAUCAUCACGUUGUUCUUGACUUUGAAGGCCAGAAAUGGUAGGAUGAGAGGAAUGAGGUAUAGUAGUCAAAAUUAUUUUUGGUAAAGAGUUAGAAGAUAUAUCCCAAAACGUUUCUUCCAUUACCUCAUACUCCCCCUAAAUAGAAUUUUUUUGAAAGUAGGAUUUUUUUUUUCAAAAACCGAGAUAUCUAUACUCACAUAAAAUUUCCUUGUUUGGGGAUUAUAGCACUCAUAUCCCUUUUAUUGGAGGCAUGCCCUAUGAACACAUAUUUUUCUGCCCUUGGAUCAAGUUUGUACUGAGUGUUAUUAGGUAUACGAACAAAGAUAGUAUAGCAAAAAACUUUAGACGUAAAUCUGAGUACAUUCUAGAUAGGGGAAAGCAUUUUUUAAAACAUUCUAGAGGUGUACUAUAUUUUAAAACACAUGUAGGCAUCCUAUUAAUUAAAUAAGUUGAUUUUAAAACAGCUUCUCCCCAAGAUAUUUUGGAAUAUUCAUCGAAAACAUUAUAACACGUGUUACUUCAAAUAAAUGUUUAUUUUUUCUUUCAGUAGUCCCAUUUUGCUGAGGCAUAUCUACACACGUGGACUGGUGAUAAAUACAUUUUUCUUUAAAAUUUUUUCCAAAAUACCUUUAUAGUACUCGGUUCCAUUAUCAUUGUGAAGAACCCUAAUUUUCUUUUGAAAUUGAGUUUCAACCAUUGUGUAAAAGUCUUUAAAAUUUUUUCCAACUUCAGAUUUUUCACUCAUUAAGUAAACCCAACAUAGACGGGUGUGAUAAUCUAUAUUAAGUAAACCCAACAUAGACGGGUGUGAUCAUCUAUGAAUGUGACAAGCCAUUUUUUCUUUGAAAUAGUAAUAACUCUUGAAGGUCCCCAAACAUCACUACGUAUUAAAUAAAAUGGUUUUGAAGGAAUAUAAGGUUUUGGCAAAUAAGUAGUACGAUGAAUCUUAGAUAAGCAACAACUUUCACAGUAAAAUGAUGAAAAAUCCAAACCCUUAAAUAAAGUAGAAAACAAAUGUUUAAGAUAUUGAAAGCUAGAAUGUCCCAAUUUUAAAUGCCAAAGCAUUAUUUGUUCAUAAACAGAGUUAGAACUAACACUACUAAAGCCCUAAGAAAUCAUCAUCAAAGUAGUAAAGGCCACCAAUCAACUUAGCACUGCCAAUCUUCUUCCUCGAGGUUUGGUCCUGAAAUUCAUAGUAAGAAUCACAAAAAAUCACUCGGCAAUUAGAAUCUUUAGUUAUUUUACUCAUGGUUAAAAGAUUACAAGCUAACUUGGGAACACGAAGAAUAGAAUUAAGGUUUAAUUUUUUGGAUAAUUUAAUCAAACCUUUCCCUACUAUUGGUAACAAAGUACUAUCUGCAAUUCUUAUUUUGUCAAGACCAAAAGAUGGUGAGUAAGUGCAAAACAAAUUUGAAAGGUUGGUCAUAUGAUCAUAAGCUCUUGAAUUUAUAAUCCAAGGAGCAUAAUUUGACAUGAAGAAAGAGCAUUGGGUGUGCUACCUAUUUGUGCAAGAGAAACAGUAGGAAUACUACUUGGUGAGUAAUUGGGUUUUAGCAACUGCAGAAGGUAAUCCAUUUGCUCCUUGGUGAAAGGGCCUGUCUCGGCUUUAUUUGCAGUAGAAAUCAACCAGGUAUUUUUAUCACCAGGCUUGCUGCUCUUUUAAUUUGCUAGUUUUUCUUGGAUUUUCCAGCAUGUUUCUCAAGUAUGACGUGGUUUGUUGCAAUAGUCACACCAUACCCGUAGAUUCUCUUCAGUUUUAUGCUGAAAUCUAGCUGUUUUGUUAAAAACAACCAAUGCACUAAGAAGGGCAGAACUUUCAGUAGGCUCGUCAGUUGUCUUCUUUCCUAGCAUUACAUGUCUACGACUUUCUUCUCUUCGAACCUCAAUAAACACCUCGCCAAUUAGAGAAAGUGGCUUCCUGCCAAUGAUCCACCCCUGAACCUUAUCGAACUCAACGUUGACUCCUAUAAGAAACUUGUAAAUACGAGAAGCCUCAACAAUAUUGUUCUAAUAUUUGGCAUCUUCUGUGAAUUUCCAUUCAUAAUCGUUGAACAUAUCUAAAUCUUGCCGAACAGAUUAAGACUACCUUAAAUAAUUUUCACCAUUAAGGAAAAUAAUGGUAAUUUGAAUUAGAUAAGUAUCAGUAUUGGGAGUUUGGGUUUGUGUUGGAGAAUUGGUUGAAGCAGAUAUAAUCGAUUGAUUAUGAUGGCUCUGAUACCAUGAAAACUUUUCUGUAUUUCUCUAUAUCGUAAAAUGUUACACAAAUUCCUCUUAUAGAGGAGAAUACAUAAAAUUAGGAAACUGAAAAAAAAAUUAGCUAUCUAACUGUACUAGCUAUUUCCUAAUUUACACAAUUGACUUAUUCUUAUUUACAACUAACAAUCCUCUCUAAUUACAAAUAUUUCUUCUCUUUUCUAUAGAGAUAUAUGCCAGACCUUACAAGAAAUCUCAUAUAUCAAUGGAUGAUUGAUCAACUGGGCUGUAGCAUUAAGGUAGAAUAUGGUCAAAUACAAGUUAUAAAUAAGGGUGCUGUUAUUAUGAAGGGAAUUAAAAGGAAUGGUUUGUGUGUUCUGGUUGGGUCAUUACCUCAGUUAGGGGUAAAUGCUAGUGUAAGUAGUGACAAAACCAAACUUUGGCAUAUGAAGAUAGGACAUAUAAGUGAAAAAGGUUUGAAAGAACUAAGAAAGCAAGAGUUAUUUGGUCAUAAUCAAAUUUCCUCACUAGAGACAAAAGUUCAAGAGAAGAAGACAUGAAACAAAUAGACAUUGGAUUAUGUUUAUUCAGGUUCCAUCUCAUGGUGGAGCUAGGUACUUUAUUACCUUCAUGGAUGACUUCUCAAGGAAUCUUUGGGUUUAUGUGUUGAAACAUUAAAGUGAAGCCCAAAAAAAAUUCAAGGAAUGGACAGCCCUAAUGAAGAACUAAAUUGGAAGAAAAGUGAAGAGAUAAAGAACAGACAAUGGCCUGGAGUACUGCAACAGUGAGUUUGAUGAGUUUUGUAAGAAGCAUGGCAUUAUGAGGCAUAAGACAGUAAAACAUACACCACAGCAAAAUGACCUUGUUGAAAGAAUGAACAAAACCUUAAUUGAGAAAGUCAGAUGAUAUUAUUUAGUUUUAAUCUCUUUAACCAUUUUUGGGCUGAAGCAAAUUGCUGCAUAUCUUAUCAACAAAAAUCCCCCAUCAGCUUUGGAGUUUAAAACUCCACAAGAAGUCUAGUCUGGCAAACCACUUGAUCUAAGUAACCUAAGAAUCUUUUGUUGCCCAGCUUAUGCACAUAUAAGUUUGGGAAAGCUAAAACCAAGGGCUGUUAAAGGUUAUUUUAUAGGAUAUUCUGAAGGAAUUAAAGGAUAUAAGAUUUAAAGUAUUGAUGGGAAGCCUAUUAGAACCUUUAUUAGUAUAGAUGUUGUGUUUAAUGAGGAGGUAUUGAUACAGACAAAAGUUAAAAUAGAGAUCUUUACUAAUUUUAAAGGAAAUUCACAUAUGAUGGUGGAGUCAAUAGAUACUCAGAGAUCCAGAGAAGAGAGAGAAUAAAGAGUGCACAAACAUUCAGAAUUAGAAGGAUAUCAUCUUGUAAGAAAUAGAGAAAGAAGAGUUACUGUAAGGCCUAAAAGAUAUGGUAUUGUUGUUUUAAUCUCAUAUGCAUUUAUGGUUAUUGAUGAUGUAAGUGGUUGAGAACUUAUCAGCUACAAAAAGGCCGUGAGUAGUAAGGAGAAGUCAAAAUGGCUUGUAGCAAUAAAAGAAAAAAUUGCCUCUUUCAAGAAAAAUAAUACGUAGAUCCUAGUUGACAAACUUUUAAACAAGAAACUGGCUAGCUAUAAAUGGGUUUUCAAGCUCAGAAAGUGAUCAUGGGCAACCUAAAUAUAAGGCUAGACUUGUAGCAAAAAGGUUUACACAAAGGGGAGGAAGCAUUUUCACCAUUAGUUAAACAUAGCUCUAUAAGGGUUUUAUUGGCUAUCACUGCAUUCUUAUAUCUAGAAUUAGAUCAAAUGGAUGUCAAAAUAACCUUUUUGCAUGGUAACUUAGAUGAAGAAAUUCUAAUGGACUAAUCAGAAGGAUUCAUUAAAGAAGGAACUAAAGAUAUGGUUUGCUUAUUACAUGGCUCGAAAUAAUCCUUAAGACUAUGGUAUUUAAGGUUCGAUGAAUUUAUGAUCACUCACGGAUACUUUAGAAGUCAAUAUGAUAGUUAUGUGUACUGCAAACUUUGCCUUUUAGAGGUACUAUAUAUCUUCUUUUAUAUGUUGGUGACAUGCUUAUUGCAUGAAAACAAAGAGAAGAAAUAGAGAGGCUUAAAGAUGAACUAAGUUCUGAGUUUAAGAUAAAGAACUUAAGCCCUACAACAAGGAUUUUAGGAAUGCAGAUCAUAAGAGAAAGAAGUGAAAAAACUUUGUUCCUUUUCACAUGCUGAUUAUGUCAGAAAGGUGCUUAACAGAUUUGGUAUGCUUAGUUCUAAACUUGUUACUAUACCUUCUUGCACAUUUCAAACUGUCUAAACAACAAGAACCAACUGAAGGAGCAGAUGUUGAGCACAUGAUGAAAAUACCUUAUUCUAGUGUAAUGGGGAGCAUCGUGUAUGCUAUGGUUAGUCUAGAUCCGAUGUUUGCAUAUGGAAUAAGAGUUUUCAGCAAGUUUAUAAGAAAUCCAGGGAAAAAACAUUGAGAGGUUGUUAAGUGGAUACUUAGAUACCUUAAUGGUACAACUAAUAAUGGUAUUUUAUUUGGAGGAAUUAAUAAUACACAAGUAAAAUCUUAGGCUAUGUGGACUUAGAUUUUGCUGGCAACUUGGAAAAGAAUGCCAGUUACUGGAUUUGUCUUCACAUUGUAUGGAGGUGCAAUGAGUUGGAAAGAAUCACUGUAAUCAGUUGUUGCUUUAUCUAGAACUGAAGUUGAAUAUGUUGCACUCAUAGAGGCUACGAAGGAAACAAAAUGGCUCAGAGGCUUGGCAUCAGAAUUAGGAUUGAGGCAAGAGUCGAUUUCCAUUAGUUGUCAUAGUUCUACUGCAAUACAAUUGAGCAAAAAUCCAAAAGAACAUGAAAGAACAAAGCAUAUUGAUGUUAGGCUACAUUUUAUCAGAGAAGAAAUUGGUUUUGGUGUGGUGAAUAUUAUCAGAGAAGAAAUUGGUUCUGGUGUGGUGAAUAUUAUCAAAAUCCCCUUAGUAAUCAAUCCUACUGAUAAUCUAACAAAACUUUUGCUUGUAGUCAAGUUCAUGGGCUCUUUGAACUUGAUUAGGGUUGUUAGCUUGUAAGUCAAGCUAUGUGUUGCUGAUACAGAGUUUGGGUGAAGCUUGAAAAUAAUAUAAAUGAAGAGGAGAUUUGUGAAUUGGGUUAGUUAUAUUCUAUUAAGUUAGUUGCUGAGGUGGCUUGAUGAGCUGCUGUGUGGGACCCUUGUAGUUAAGUUGUUACACGGUCCUACAAGCUUCUGGAAUUAAAUAUAGAAGAAAGCAAUGCUGGCUGGUGCAACACCCGGAGAAAAGAUCUUGACUAGCUUUGAGAUAGAUUUUGUUAAUUCUUCAUUGAAGGGAUUUGUUCUUGUGAUCUCAAGAAUUGUUCUAAUCAAUAUCUUAAUAAAAACUUCAGGCCCAAAGGGGUAAUAUCAGCCGUGGAUGUGAAUACUUUUGUAGCAAACCACGUAAUAUGGCAGUGUUCUUUUUCUCUGCUUUCUUAGUUUCAUUGCCGUAUUUAUUCUUUGUUCUUUGAUCUAGUGUCAUUAAUUCUUUGUGCCAUUAAUUAGAUUGGUUAAUUGGCUAGUCUGAUAAAGAAUCGAAAGAGAAGAAAAUGCCUUGAUUUCAUAACAAGUAUUCUGUCCUUAAAGGCUUUAAGUCAAUUAUUUUCUUAAACAAUUUAAGAGAAACUUUAAUUGCUUCAGUCUUCACUCUUCAACGUAUAUGAGUCUCUAUGAUAAGAGUUUUCUCCAAAUUCAAAUCCAACUUUAGCACCCAAAUUUUUGGCCUAAAGGGAAAAAAAAAAAUUAAAGGCUUUACGUACUGGAUACUGAGGUACACACUUCACAUAUUAAUGUAAAAACUAAAAAGUUAACAUAUAUAUCAAAGGCUUUAUGAACUGGAUAAGAGUCUUGACAUUUUUAUGUAAAAAUUAACAUAUCAAAGGCCUUAUGAACUGGAUAAGAGUCGAUCAUUUACCCCCAUUGGGGACUGAUACAAAGUUAUUCCAGUUGGCGCACAAUGUCUUGCAAAGCAAGCAAACGUUCCCCUCACUAGAUGUAAUUGAACAAACAAUAAUCACAAUUUUUUUUUUUUGGAAAAGUAAUUAAUUCAUUGAUUAGUACCAAAAAAUCAUUGAAAUUUAAUCAAAUUAUACGGAGUUGCAUACCAUUUUUGCUCUUUGUUAAGAAUUGAUAGUCUCUUAAUAAGAUUAUAAUUGAAAGAAUUAGAAAUGGAAUGAGGAAGAUCUUUGGGUGAUGAUAAUGUAAACCACAAGUUUUUAAUAGGGGACACUAAAACUUUUUUUUUAAUAUAAUACCCUUUAUAAAUAGCAACUAAAAAAUUGACCUUAAAAAUUUUAAUAAAUAAAAUAUAAUUUAAAUAGUUUAAUUUUUCUAAUAGACUAAUAAUAUUAGAAUAUUUUUAAUAUAAAAAUAAUUUUAAAACUAUAAAUGAUUAUAUUUAUUUUAAUAAUGUAUUUAUAUUUAUUCUAGAAUUUUUUAAUAAAUAUCUAGGUUAAAUAAAUUUUUCUAAUAGACUAAUAACACAAUGCUCGCAACAUGGUAAGUUUACCGAUUUGAGCCCUGGAAGCAAUUUUCGCUCAGAGAGAAUUUUCAAAUCUUGUUUUGACAUAUGACCGAGUUUGAGGUGCCACAUCAUCGUUGAUUCUUCUCCAUUUGACGCAACGCACGCAUCAGUUUCCUAUAGUGUUUCUCUUUCAAGCACGAACAGAUUAGAACCGAUCUUUUCUACCUUCAUCAAUAUAAGCGCACCUUUAACAAUCUUCAUAAUCCCACUUUCAACAUGGGUUUUACACCCAUGACAAUAUAUUGUCCCAAAGACAAAAGAUUUUUCUUCAGGCCUUUGACAUGUCGUACCUCUUCAAUUGUAUGAACCGUACCAUCAAAUAUUUUUAUUUUGAUAGUACCAAUACCAGCGAUCUCCAAGGCAUGAUCAUCUCCCAUGUAUACAGAUCCUCCUGAGGUUUAUAUGUGUGAAACCAUUCUCUUUGAGAGGUCAUGUGCCAGGUAGCUCCUGAGUCUAUGAGCCAAAUGUCAGAUAGCCAUUUUCUGCCUUAUGAAAUAGUUGUUGCCUCACUGUAGAGAAUUUCGCCAUCAUCUGAGGUACUUGCCAUACACCCUUGAGCAUUUGAUGACUCGGAUUUAUUGUCUCCACUCUGCUUGUUUUUCCAACACUCUUUCUUGAAAUGCCCUUUCUUGCCACAAUUGUAGCAUUUGACAUUUUUCUUACUUCUUGAUUUUGAUCUACCAUAAUUGUGACUCCUACUGGGGCCACAUUCUAUUGAUUUCUCUCUCGUUAUUGAUAGUGCUUCUGCUUGCUGCGAACUUACUUGUUUGUCUUCCUUACUUUUUCGCCUACUCUCCUCAUUUAAUACGGAGGCUGCAACAUCAUCGAAAACUAGAUUGUCCGCUGGGUUGUUGUUUGUCAGGUUGAUGAUGAGUUGAUCGUAUGAAUCUGGUAGACUUUGAAGUAUAAGCUCUGCAUGUUCAUUUUCCUCUAUUUUAUGACCCAACGUUGUAAGUUGUGAAAAUAGAGUCUUUAAGGUGUUGAUGUGGUCGGUCACCGAUGUACAUUCUGCCAUUUGAAGAGUAUAGAGUCUCAUUUUUAAGAAGAUCUUGUUGUGCAGUGAUUUGGUCUUGUACAAUUUUGUGAGAGUAUCUCAUAUUUCCUUUGCUGUCUUUUUCUCUGCCACAUUGGAUAAUACUUCAUCCUCAAGUGCCAAGUAUAGAUCAGAAAUGGUGUUACCGUCUAUCUCGUUCUACUUGUCAUCAAUUAACUCUAUAGGCUUUUCUCCAAUUGCUGUCAAGCAAUUAUUUUUCCUCAAUACAACUUUUAUCUUCAUUUUCCACAACGAAAAUUUAUUUCCGUUGAAUUUCUCAAUUUCGUAUUUUACCGCCAUCGCUUUUCACCAAAAGCUAACUUUGCUAAUAUUGACUCCCACCGCUUCACGUGAACAGUAACCGUAUAAGUGAAUAGUAACCAUAUAAGUGAUAGCCGUAUACGUGAACAAUACUUUUAUGUGAACAGUACCAUGACUCCAAAAAAAAAUACAACAAGUAGCUCUAAUACCACUGUUAGGAAAUUAAUGGGUGAAACAAGGCCACAACUAAAAUGAAAUUGGAAGAAAAUUUAUAAGUAUUGUAAUACUUUGUCUCACUACCCAAAACCUUCUCACUCAAUAUACUCACAAGAGCUUUAUAAUUUUAACCUCUUAAAAUCACUCAAGAUCUUAGCUUUUUCUCUCACCAAAAUUGGAUGCCUAAAACAAAAUGGAGAGCUCCCUUUAUAUAGCCAAAAUUGGCUAUUAAAAAAAUUAUUAUUAUUUUGUCCGCCUUUGAUUUCUUCAUUCUUCUAUUUUCUUCUUUCUUCUUUCUACUUCGGUGGUGCCAAACCCUUCAACAUUUGCUGCUUCCAAAUUCUAUUUUUCUUUCCUUGGGCAGCACCUCCUUGGACUUCAAUUUGGGCAGCUUAUACAGCUUCUAGAUCUUCAAAAUAUGCUACUUCUUGAAGCCUUUUCGUGACACAUUGCCUAGUAGAUUUACUCAAUCACAAAUUGGGUGGUUACAUAAUAUGUUUGAAAACCUUUAAUUAAUAAAAUUCUUAUCUAUUUUCUUUCGUAAUACGAUUUACCUAAGUCUCUCUUAUGAAAUCAUUUGCAUUAAAGCGUAAAUAAUCUCAUUACUUUGGGGUAUUAUUUGUCUUGGACUUCUUCUUUGAUCUAUCACUAUAUUACUUACCUUGGGCUGUCUCACUAUUCUCGUGUAAUAUUAUCUGCCUUGAGUCAUUCAUUUUUGUAUUGAGUGGUGAUAUUAUCUCAUCAGUUUUUAUAUUAAUUUCUAUUUUGCCGUUGUAUGAAAUUACUUAUUUUUUUGAAUUACUAUAUUAUUUGCCUUGGGCCGCCUCACCAUUUUGUUGCAUAAUCUGCCUUGGGUCAUUCAUUUUUGUAUUGAAUGGAGAUACUAAAGAAAUGUGUUUUUAUUUCUUGAAAUAAAACAUUAUACACUGAGAGUUAUUUAUAGAUGCAGAUGCUAUAUUUUUUCAAAGAUUACAUAUGUGAAUACGGAAGGAAAUGUGUCAAUCCGUUCGGCGCGGAUCGUGUCUUUGAAAAAUGCAGAUUAUCCCUUUGACAAGUGCGGAUUAUGUCUUUGAAAACUUUCUCCAAUGCCAUUUUAUUCAACACUCCCCCUCAAGCUGGUGCAUAGAUGUCUUGCAUACCCAGCUUGUCUAGGAAUUUUGUAAAUGCCCUGCUUGAAAUGGCCUUCGUUAAAAUAUCUACAAGUUGAUCUUCUGAUCGAAUUUUCGGCAGUUCUAAGAUUUUUUCAUCUAAUUUCUCCUUGAUGAAAAAUCUAUCUACCUCGACAUGUUUUGUUCGAUCGUGUUGAACUGUGUUAUGAGCAAUAUCUCGUGCAGCUUUGUUGUCACAGUAUAGUUGUAUUGGUUGUUAUAAUGGAUAACCCAAAUCGUUUAAGAUAAAGCUUAUCCAUAGCCCUUCACAUACCCCAAGGGCCAUGCCUCGAUAUUCUGUUUCAGCGCUCGAACGGGCAACGACAUGUUGUUUCUUGCUUCUCCAUGUGACAAGGUUGCCUCCCACAAAGGUAAAGUAUCAUGAAGUAGAGCAUCUAUCACUAACUGACCCGGCCCAAUCUGCAUCAGUAUAAACUUCUAUGUUGUUGUAAUCUUCAUUUUUUGAAAAUAGGAUUCCUUUCCCUGGAUUUGUCUUCAGGUACCUCAGGAUCGGCAUUACUGCUUUCAUGUGUUGUUCUUCGGGAUUAUGCAUAAAUUGACUUACAAUACUCAAUGCAUAAGCAAGAUUUGGCCUUGUGUGGGACAAGUACAUCAAUCUUCCAAUCAGUCUUUGAUAUCUUCCUUUGUUUACUGGAACUUGGUCUGAGGUAAUACAAAACUUCAGUCCUUCUUCUAUUGGGGUGUCAAUAGGCUGACAAGCUGUUAUUCCUGUUUCGUGCAAUAGAUCUAAGGCAUAUUUCCUUUGAGAUAAAAAGAUUCCUCCCUUAGAUCGAGAAACCUCAAUUCCAAGAAAGUAUUUUAAGGCUCCUAAAUCCUUCAUCUCAAACUCUCUCGACAAGUACUUCUGAAGAGCCUCUCUUUCUUCCUCGUCGUUGCCUGUAACUACCAUAUCAUCUACAUAGACAAUAAGGGCAGUGAUUUUCCCUUGUCGUUUUUUAAUAAACAAGGUAUGAUAUGAAUUGCUUUGGUUAUGCCCAAAAAGAACCAUAACCUUUGUGAAUUUCCCGAACCAUGCUCUUGGGGAUUGCUUCAACCCGUACAAUGAUUUCUUCAAUUUGCAUACUUUCUGAUUGAGUCGUUCUGAUCCACUGCAUCCUGGUGGCAGAUCCAUAUAUAUUUCUUCAGACAGGUCUCCAUGGAGGAAAGCAUUCUUUACAUCGAACUGUUGCACUGGCCAAUCCAAGUUGACUGCUAAUGAUAACAAGAUACGAAUAGUAUUAUUUUUUGCUACCGAUGCAAACGUAUCGGUAUAAUCUAUCCCGUAGGUUUGGGUGUAACCCUUAGCUACAAGUCUUGCUUUGUAUCGUUCAAUAGAGCCAUCUGCUUUGUACUUUAUAGUGUAGAUCCAUCGGCAACCCACUAGUUUCUUUCCUGGUGGAAGAUCAACUAGUUCCCAUAUUUGAUUUUUUUGAAGAGAUCUCAUUUCGUCAUUCAUAGCCACUUUCCACUUUGGGUCUUUUAAGGCUUCCUGCACACUGUUAGGAAUAGAUACAAUAGAUAAUUGAUUCACAAAUGACUGAUUUGCUUCUGACAAGCGAUGGUUAGACACAAAAUGACUCAUAGGGUAUUUGACUCUACUAGAGAGGUUGGGCUCAUAUGUGGGUUUAGCGAUACCUCUAUUUUGACGUUGGGGAAGAAUUCUUCUGAUUGGACUUGUGGUAGGAACAUCCUCUGCAGACGAUUGGUUAGGUAUUUCUUCAUGUGACUCAUUCUCGAUUGCAGUUGUGUCUAAGUUAUUGUGCUCCCCAAAUGUGUCUUUACUUAUCUUAGCCUGAGAAUCAUCACCAUUUUCUUUUCCAGUAUCUUGAAGGUUUACUACCUCAAUGGAAGAUUGACCUUCUUCAGGUGGAAGAUACGUAAGAGUAUGAUUUUCCUCUUCAUUAUACUCCCCCUGAAAUUCAGGCUCUGACAAGUAGUACAUGAUAUCUUCAUGAAAGACGACAUCCAUGGUGAUGUAUAUUUUUCUUGAUGGUGGAUGAUAGCAUCGGUAUCCCUUUUGAUGUAAGGCAUACCCUACAAACACACAACGUAGUGCUCAAGGAGAUAAUUUGUAUUGUUGCAGCAAAUGUACGAAGGCAACACAGCCAAACACAUGUGGGGGUGAAUUUGGCACAUUUGGUGACAUAAUUGUAUCAUUCAGAACCUGGAAAGGAGUCUGGAAUCCAAGGGAGCUUGAAGGUGUUCGAUUGAUUAAGUAUACUGCGGAUGCCAGUGCUUCUCCCCAAUAAGAUAGUGGCAUGUGGGCUUGGAUUAAUGAUGCUCGAACAACUUCUAGUAAAUGUCUAUUUUUUCGUUCAGCAACGCCAUUUUGUUAGGGUGUCCCCACACAAGUGGUUUGAUGGACAAUUCCUCAUGAUUUCAUAAAUUGUUGAAUUGCUGUGCUUAUAUACUCGCCUCCAUUAUCAGUAUGUAGAACUCGAAUUUGUGUCUGAAAUUGAGUCGUCGCCAUCUUAUGAAAUCUUUGAAAUAAAGAGUUUACUUCGUCUUUCGAUUUCAUCAGAAAAAUCCAUGUCAUUCUGCUACAAUCAUCAAUAAAUGUAAGAAACCAACGAGCACCUCCAAUUGUAGAAACUUUAGAUGGCCCCCAUACAUAAGAAUAUACUACCAUGAAAGGAACUGGAUUCUUAUUUAAGGACAAUGGAAAAGUAGUUCGAUGGCUUUUUGAAAGUUCACAAACAUCACAUUUAAAGUUACAAACAUCAAGUUUCAGAAACAAACUAGGAAAUAAUUUUUUUAAGUAACCAAAUGACACAUGCCCUAAAUGUCUAUGCCAUAACCAAAUUUCUGAUUUCCCUUUUUUUAUGGUAUUAUCUGCGACUAGUGUGGGGCUUAGCUUUCCAGUGUUUGUUGAUGACAUCUCCAAGUAGUACAAGUUGCCUCGUCUAAUACCAUAACCAAUCGUUUGCUUCGUUUGGAUGUCCUUAAACACACAAUGAUCAGGCCAAAAAAUUACAACUGUUAGAGUGCAAUUUAAGCACUAGUUUUGCAUUGUUUACUUCCCUUAAUAUCGAUGUUUUGCACUUAAUAAUAGUGAUUUACUUGUGUUUUACUUUUGUAGGUGCAAUUCUAUUGAUUGGUGACAAAAUUAAGCUACAAGAUUAUAUUUAAUGAUGAUUGUUCUCUUGGAGAAAUUAUGAGCGUCAGAAGAACUUUAUUGAUAAGGCGUGGGCACAUGCUGUCAACUACGAACCUGCAGUUUUUAGUUUAAACGUGUUUUGUAUUUUUGGUUAUUUUUGUAAUUACGAAUUUAAUAUUUCAGAUAUUAGUAUUUUAUUUUAAAUAGAAUUCUAGAGGAGAAGAGAGGGAGAGUAUUUAAGGGAGGAAUCUAUUGUGAUAAGGGAGAUGUAUGUUUUAUUAUUGUCAACGAAACCCCCAUUUUAUGUUUUACGUUUUAAAAGGAUUUAAAUAAUUACCGAUCUCUGUGGACACGACCUUGCUCAAUCACUAUACACAAUUUAUUUAGAGUAUGUAUUUAUUUUUGCUGGCUUCGACAACCAUCAAAUUUUGGUGCCGUUGCCGGGGAUUGGUGUGAUUUAUUUAAUCCUUUUUACGUUUUACUUGGUGUAUGGUUCGUUCUUCUCGUACAGGUACACUUUCGUUUGAUCCUGAAAUUGAGAAGACAGCUCGCCAGCUGAGACAGCAGACGAAGUGAGCUAAGCAACGAUCCUCGUCGCCUUUGCUUUCUGAAACAGAUACGGUGCCUGAUUUAGUUGAAUCAUCUAGCGAUUCGGAAGAACAAGUGAUGGAUAGAGCUGCACUUGUAGAAAGAACUCUUAGAGAGUUAGCUGAACCAGACUUGAAUCAGCAACCACUCUGCAUUCAAUAUGUAGACUUGGAGGUAAAUUUUGAAUUAAAGUCUGGUCUUAUUCAUUUAUUACCCAAGUUUCAUGGUUUUGUAGGUGAAGAUCCUCAUAAACAUCUCAAGGAGUUUCAUGUUGUGUGUUCAAGUAUGAGGCCACAAGGCGUGACUGAAGAGCAGAUUAAGCUGCGUGCUUUUCCGUUCUCUGUAGAUGGGCUAGCUAAAGACUGGUUGUACUACUUGCCUCCUGGAUCGAUUACAACGUGGAAUGGUUUGAAGAAGCAGUUCCUCGAGAAGUACUUUCCUGCUUCAAGAGCUGCCAAUAUCAGAAAAGAUAUUUGUGGGAUCAGACAACUUCCUAGGGAGACUUUGUAUGAGUAUUGGGAGCGAUUCAAACAAUUGUGUGCCAGCUGUCCUCAGCAUCAGAUUUCUGAUCAACUUCUUAUUCAAUAUUUUUACGAAGGACUGUCAUUAAUGGAUAAGAGUAUGAUAGAUGCUGCUAGUGGAGGUGUGUUGGUGAACAAGACCCCUACUCAAGCAAGGGAGUUGAUCUCAAAUAUGGCUGCCAAUGCACAACAAUUUGGCAGCAGGCAAGAUGCCACUUCAAGAACGGUGAAUGAGGUAAAUAUUUCUUCUGUUGAACAACGUUUAGAUAAACUUACUUCUCUUGUGGAAAAGUUUGUUGUAGGUAAUGUGCAACAGGUAAAGACUUAUGGCAUUUGUUCCAAUAUGGGUCAUUCAACUGAUAUGUGUCCUACACUUCAAGAAGAACCCAUUGAAUAAGCCAAUGUAGUUAGAGGAUUUCCAAGCAUGCCUCAGAUGAGGUAUAAUCCUUAUGCACAAACAUACAAUCCGGGAUGAAAGGAUCAUCCCAACUUAAGCUAUGGAGUUAGGCCGUCAGGAUUCCUACAACAGUAUCCACCAAGACAACCAGCACUUCCACAGUUAAACUCCAAGUCAGGUAUAUCUCUUGAAGAAAUUGUUAAAUCACUUGCGACUAUCACUCAACAAUUUCAACAGGCAGCUACAGCAAGCAUUCAGAAUUUGGAGAAUCAAAUGAGUCAAUUGGCGACUACAGUGAGCUGUCUGAAGUCUCAAGUAUUAGGGAGGUUGCCUUCACAAUCUGAAGUGAAUCCAAAGCAAAACAUUAGUGCUGUCAUCCUUAGAAGUGGGAAGGAGUUAUAAGAGCCUAGUAAGAAAGUGACAAAGCAUGUAGAAGAUGAGCUUGAGAAGAAUGAAUUGAUGCCUAAAUCUCAAGAUGCGCAACCUACCAGAGCGAAACCCCUACCUAUUAUGAUACCUCCUCCUUUUCCAAGCCAGUUUGCAAAACCCAAGAAAGAAGAACAAGAGAAAGACAUCCUUGAGACAUUUCGCAAGGUUGAGGUAAAUAUUCCUUUAUUAGAUGCUAUAAAACAAAUACCUCGAUAUGCUAAAGUCCUUAAGGAACUGUGCACCUCCAAGAGAAAAUUAAGAGGAGAUGGAAAAGUUCACAUGAGGGAGAAUGUUUCAGCAGUUCUCUAAAAGAAACUACCUCCUAAGUGCAAGGAUCUAGGUAUGUUUACUAUCCCUUGUAAAAUUGGUAGUGUUAGAGUUGAAAAGACUAUGUUAGAUCUAGGAGCUUCUAUUAAUGUCAUGCCUCGUUCCAUUUAUUCAUCUUUGAAUGUUGGUCCAUUAAAAGAAACUGGCGUGAUCAUUCGACUAGCUGAUAGGUCUAAUGCAUAUCCUGAUGGGAUAUUAGAAGAUGUCUUAGUACAAGUUAAUGAGUUGGUUUUUCCUGCUGAUUUUUAUGUACUUGAUAUGGAAGAGGAUAACUCCUCUAAUUAUGUCCCAAUUUUGCUAGGAAGACCUUUUCUUAAGACUGUUAGGACUAAAAUGGAUGUACAUAAAGGGACUCUCACUAUGGAGUUUGAUGGAGAGGUUAUAGAAUUCAAUAUGAAUGAUGCCAUGAAAUAUCCUAGUGAGGAACAUUCGGUAUUUUCUGUGGAUGUUAUUAACCUUAUAGUGCAGGAAGUUUUUUACAAGGAAAAGACGAAGACAUUUCAUGAUAGAAUGAUUUUGAGAAAGGAGUUCUCUAUUGGUCAAAAAGUUCUUCUUUUUCAUUCUAAGCUUAAACUUUUUCCGGGUAAAUUACGUUCUUGUUAGGUUGGACCUUUAAUUGUUACUAAUAUUUUUCCUCAUGGUGCAGUUGAGAUUCGGAGUCCGACCUCUGACAAAGUUUUUAAGGUUAAUGGUCAUCGCUUAAAACCUUUUUAUGAAGGUUUUUCAGUGAAUAUUGUGGAGGAUGUGGCUCUCGAGAGUCCCAAUUAUGGAGAUUGAUGCAUAAAUGUGUCUAGCCAAAGACAUAAAACAAAUGCAUUUUUUGGGAGGCAACCCAAAUGAUUUAUUUAUUUUGGUUUUUGUUAUAUCUUCUUUUAAUUUUGAUUCAGAUUUUUUUUAAAAAAAAAAUUAAUGUGUUUGCUUAUUUUGGUCAGAAGAAAAUUUUUAAUAAGGCGUGCCCACGUGCUUAUUAGAAAUGUACUUCUGAAAUUUUUAGUGUCUCAAAGUGAUUCAUCACUAAAAAGAAAAAAGAAAAAAAAGAGUUUUUUCCCAUAUUUUCUUUCUUAUAUAUAUAUUUUUUAUUUAUUUAUAAAAAAAUGACAAAAAAAGUUUUUUUCCUUCUUUUCUUUCUUAUAUAUAUAUAUAUAUAUAUUUAUUUAUUUAUUAAAAAAAACACAAAAAAACAAAAAUCACAAAUCACUGUUCACAAAUCCCUAAUUCAAAAAAAUUCACUGUUGAUUAUCGUUUUCCCGCAGCAACCCUUAGCUCCAGCGUGCAGAACCAGCAGCAGCCGCAUCAGUCCCACCUGCAACGCAACCAGCCUACGCCAUGUAUUUCAGCCGGGUAAAUCGAAAUCCGUGAGUGCAAUUAUUGUAACAAUGCCGAAGAGGAAAGCAUCAACUUCCAAGUCAUCUAAAAAGACACCCAUCGCAAAGAAAUCCAAGAUUGCCGCUCCCACUACGAUUCCAUGGAACACAAUUUCAUAUUCACGCCAAGCCGUGAGACAAAGAUCGAAACAUGGAAAAGGCAUGAGUGUUUUGCCACUUGCGGAAUCCAAUCUCGGAGGAUGCCUCGCAUUCGCGACUCAACAAGAGAAAGAGAGGUACAAAGAUAUUUCCAUGCGCAAAAUACUUCCAGCUAAGUAUAUUCAUUACCCGACUCUUGAAAAAUUGAAUGUUAAGGAUAAUUUUGAUUCUUUGAUAGAUAAGAUUGGGUUGCGUAAGUUUGUUAAUGUUGAUUGUUUGGGUUAUAUUGAGUUGAUUAGGGAGUUUUAUGUUACUUUUCAAUUUAAUAUGCCGAAUGAUUUUACUUUGCAUACCCUGGAUGUCAUAAAGUUUAGGUUAAUGGGACAAAAUUUUUCACACUCUAUCACCGAUUUUAACCUAGCUUUAGGAUUCAUUGAUGAUGAUUAUUCUUCUAGUGAUGUAUAUUUAGGAACAACUUGUGACUUUAGCGAAAAUUUUGAGCCUUAUGAUCUUUGGCGUAAUUUAUCUGUUGAUCACAAUACCUAUGACCCGAGUAAAUCAAAGAGUUAUUUCUUACGUGAUCCUGUUUUGAAAUGUGUGCAUCGAUUCUUAGCAUAUAAUUUUGUAGGCAAGAAAGAUCACUCAGGAGUUUUCUCUAAAACUGAAUUUUAUUUUAUCUGGUGCAUGUUAAAUGAUGUGAGGCCUAAUUUAGGUUUUUGGUUAGCGGAUCAAUUUCAAAGUGUGCUUAAAUGGUAUAGGACUUUAUUUCUUGGUCCAUACAUUACUCUGUUAGCUAUAAACCUAUGUGCGCUUGAUCCUGACAAUAAUGAUUUGCAUUCUGCUUGCAAAAAGGAAUUUUUGGAUAUGUCUGUGUUUGAAAGAACAGGUGUGGUCGAAUUCAAGGAGGGAGAUUUCAGUUUACUGAACCAGGACCCACUCAACCUCCAAAGAAGCUUUAUCCUAGGAGUGGUGCUACCUCUGAUAACGAGUUUGACGACGACACUGCUGCCCCGCCAACUAUUCCUUCUACAUCCGCACCACCUUUGAGCAUUCAGUUAGAGAAAAUGGAGCACAAGCUGAACAUGAUGGAGCAGAAUUUGGCCGCAUACUUCGAGAGUGUGAGAUUUAUCCCACCAUUUCCGCCAAGCCCAUAAACGUUAUGUGGAUCAAAGCUCACAAUUCAGGGAAGUUUUUGCCUUUAAUCUUUUAUCCUUACGCUUUAAUUUUUAUGUGAGCUUUGAUUAUCUUACAUUGGGGACAAUGUAAGUUCUUGGUGUGGGGGAGGGAUUUUUGUAUUAUUGAUGUCUGGAAAUAUUAUUUUCACUCUACUCAUCUAUUUUCACUUUACUCAUCCUUAAAUAAUUUUGGAGUUAGUAUGCUUCAUAUAUUAUUAAUUUUCUUUUCCUUUCUCUCUCACUACUCUUUUCCCAUCUAUCUCAAAUUAUUUACAUCUAUUUUUUUUUCUAUCAUACUCUUUCAUCACUCACAUUUUAUCUUUCAUUUUUUUUACUACAUACAUCUUUCUCGCUUAUUAUCCUUUUUACCUUUCCUUUUAUAUCUCACUCAUACCUUCUUCUCAUUCUACACCACUAUUGAUGGUUGAUUCAUUUGAAGAGUGUACAUGAUUUGAUGGCAAAUUUACCAACUUUGUGAGGAUUUAAGCCUAUGAGCAACCACUUUGCUCUAAUUAUUUUUGUUAUGUGAAUAUCAAUCUUAGUUUGUAUAUUCUAGAACUUGCUUUGUUAUGCAUGUUGAAGCCACAUUACGGGAUUUUAUGCAUUAAAAUGAUAAGGGCAAACCAUUUACCAUUUUUAUAUUCUUGCAUUUUGUUUUUUCUCUACCCGAAGACAUUUAUUUGCUACCUUUGUUUGAGCCUUAACCAUUACCCAUCUAAUUCUCUCCGUCUACUUAACCAUUUUUCUUCUUUUUGAGCCUCAAUUUAAGGAGAUUUUUGGACUCAUUGUGUGGAUAUAUUUUGUUGCUUUUUCUACCUUGUAUUAAAGUUUCUCAAUUAGAUCAACAAGCAUUAUGCUUGAAUUAAAUUGUGCAAGGUUUGUUUCUUUUGUUUGAUUCAAAAAAAAAAAAAAACAACAACAAAAAAAAGGAAAAAGAAAAAAAAGAGAAAAAGAAAAAUCGAAAAAAAAAUUGAAAAAAAAGUUUACAUUCCUCAGUGACUUGAGUAGAAAUAAGCAUUUUGAUAUCAUAAGUUCAUUCAAUGAGUUCAUUAUUCUCAUUUUGAUCUCUUUUUCUUUCAUAGACCUUUCUUUUUCAUUUAACCUAUUUAACCCCAUUACAACCCUUUUAAGACCCUUAGAUUUUUGCAUUUUAUUAAUGUUUUGUGGAUUGAGAUGUGAUAUAUGAGCAAGCUUAUGGUAAUAGCAUUCUUUGAUUUGAUUUGAGUGAAUAAAUGACACCCUAAACACUUUGAGUGCAUGGAGUGAAGUCAAUGAGAGGGCUAUUAAAUCUUGUUGCACUUGAAUUUUGAAUGGAUCUUCUUGGUGGUUGAAUGUUCUUAUUCUAUCUUAUGAGAUUCUAUGCUUUAAAAUCCUUAUCUCUCGAAUGUUGAUCGACUUAAUUUUUUAGUUUAAACGUGUUUUGUAUUUUUGGUUAUUUUUGUAAUUACGAAUUUAAUAUUUCAGAUAUUAGUAUUUUAUUUUAAAUAGAAUUCUAGAGGAGAAGAGAGUGAGAGUAUUUAAGGGAGGAAUCUAUUGUGAAAAGGGAGAUUGGAGAAAAAGAAAGAAACCCUAGAUCUAAAUUUUUCUCUUCUCUCUAUGAAGAACUAAACCUAUUUUUUUGGUUGAAGGUUAAUGAAGCUUUGAUUCAUCACUACUGUGAGAUCUUUCUUAUGCUUUAAUUGUUUUAUUGCUUUUUUGGGUAUUUGUUUAUUCUCUGAAUUAUUUUCAUGAUUAUGUUUGUUAAUUAAGUAAUUGGCCACUAUUUAAUUAUCAACUUAAUCUAUUGUCAAUUAAAGGAUUCAUCGUAUGAAGAUUUUAAUGUUUGUGACAAAUAACAUAGCAGAGAGUUGUGUUAUGAGAAUAAACAAUCUAAUUUAAAUUAAACAUCGUAUGUGUUGAUUAUGAUUUGAGUCUCUCUGGUUUUUCAGGCUGUCAAUUGAUUAAAUCAUAUGAUCGUAUCUAGGGUUGUCUAUUGAUUAGGGAAAUAACCAACGGUCGUACCUUAGUUAUCGACUAGUUAAGGAGAAAUUGGCUAUUAGAGGGUCUCAGUAGUUAUAACCAGUCUAUUCAUAAGUAGCAAUAAUUUAUAUUUGAAUCAAUGAUCAGUAGCCGAAUUAAGCUGAGUUAAUUCCUUCAACCAGAGCUUUCUCCAAUUUGAAUUACAACUUUAAUUUGCAUUCUUGUUAUUUUAAUUUGAUUUUUUAUUAUUGUCAACGAAACCCCCAUUUUAUGUUUUACGUUUUAAAAAGAUUUAAAUAAUUACCGAUCUUUGUGGACACGACCCUGCUCAAUCACUAUACACAAUUUAUUUAGAGUAGGUAUUUAUUUUUGCUGGCUUCGACAACCAUCAACAACACAUGAUAAGUAAGUGGUUAAUUGAGACACAAAUAAAAGAUUAUAAUCUAAAGAUUGAACAAUUAACACUGAUUCUAAAUUUAAUUCAUCUGUGAGUCGUAAAGAUCCUUCCCCAAUAACUGAGGUUGUGGUUCCAUUUGCAGUGGAAAUAUGUUUUUGUGAAGAUGGUUUCAAUUGAGAAACUUGUCGAGAAUCAAAAGUCAUAUGAUCAAUUGCCCCAGAAUCAAUUAUCCAUGUACUAUUAAUAACAGGUGUAAGAGUUUUAAGGGCCUUACCUGGACUGACAGAGGUUGCGAUUUGCACUGAAGAAUCUUUUCUAAGAUCUGUAGUGGAUGUGGAUUCAGCUACUGCAGUUUUUGAUCCCUGCUUGGUGUUCUUCUUUCGAGUAUCCCACCAGUCAGGAUAUCCAAUGAUUUCAAAACAUUGUUCUUUUGUAUGACCAUUCUUCCUACAAUGAGUGCAAUGGAGUGAUGACUUGUCAACAAGCUUCCUUUGAGGCUGUUGUCGUGCUAUCAUAGCAGACGUUUAUGAGUCGACCUUCUUGUUUAGUUUGUUUUGCCAUACAUCUUAUCUCCGGAUAAGAGAAUAACAUUCUUCUAAGUCUGGGAUAAUAUCUUUUCAUAGAAUUUCUCUACGAACUUGGUCAAAUUCUUCAUCUAGCCCAGCAAGAAAAAUGUGCACUCUCAAUCUUUCAACAGACCUUCUGUAUAUUACAACAUCUUCUGGAUCUUUCAUGACCACUUUAUCUCGAUGAUCAAGUUCUCGAAAUAUUUCGAUCAAUUCUCCGUAGAAUUUAGAGAGUGGUUGUCCAUUUUGCUUGGUAGAGAACGCCUUCUGGUUUAGAGUGAAAACUUGUAAUUCAUCGCUUCCAUCAUAGAAGGCUUUUGAUAAUGCAUCCCAAAUUUCGUAGGCUGUAGGAAUUCGUAAAUAUCACUUCAUGAUCUCCGGAGACAUGAGUAACCAUCGUUUUACUUUUUGGUUCUCACUAUACCAUUUCUCAUAUUCUUUUGAAGAUUCCUCAUAUAGCUUUGUGUUGCUACGAAUACAUGAGAGUUUUUCUCUUUCUGCGAGAUGCAUCUCCAUUAUUUGAGACCAAACAUCGUAGUUUGUCUCAGUGAGGAUAAUUCCAGCAUUAAAUAUUCCAUCAGAUUGAACAGAUUGAAUGACUAUUGUGCAAAUUUAUUGAACUCGCAAGUGCACGAAUUUAUUGUAGUAUAGAUCAAUGGUGAUGAGUGUCGAUCCCACGAGGAGGUGGAUUUUAAUUAUAUGUAGAAUUAAUUUUGUAUGAGGGUGGUUGGAUUUGUGGUGAAAAUGAUUUGGAUUAUCCUAAAAUUCGAAUUAAAAUGGCAAGAAUAAAUUGAAGUGAAAAUCUAUUAAAUUGACGUACUUGGGUAUCUGGAUCCGUAUCAACAUGCACCAUGGGCUAAAUAUUCCUUAUUAAUGCCAAUUGAAUCAUGAGGGUGGAAUCCACACCUCAUGAACCACACUCUAAUCAAUAUGGUGCUAAGGGCUUAUCAUGCCAAAUAAUAAUAACCUUGUACUAAGGAGCCGGUGUAACCAAUGCGGUAUCUAGACAAGAUUAUUAUUAUUUGUCGACGAAAAGUCAAAUCAUCCACAAAAAUUAGAGGGGAAAAGAAAAUAAAUUUACCAAAUAAAGCCCAUGACACAUGUUGAGACUUCACCUUCAACCCAAGCUUGAAAGAAAAUUAGCUACUUAUAAUUGAACUAGGGGCAAAAUGAAAAUUUAUUAAAAUACGUAGAAAAUACAAGAUGGAGAAGAAAUUACAGAAAAUGGAUCCCAAAAAUGGAUUCAGAGAUAUCAAAUUAGGGGGGGGGGGGAGGCCCCUUUUUUAUAGAUACAUUGAGUAAAUCGUGGCCAUCGGAUUAAAAACAGUUUGGACGCUCAGGAUUUUGCCACGUCAUCAGUCAACAGUACGCGGUUUGACCACGUGGGUGAACAGUAACACGGUUUGACCCGGGUUGAACAAUGAUGCGGUUUGGUUGAAAAUAAUCCUGUGUAAUGCAUGUACCGUACGCGACAUUUUUGGUCCACUGAUAUGCUGCCACGUCAUCGAUCAACAGUGCAUAAGAAUUUUAGUCCAACAGGAUUGUGACACCUCAUCAGUCAAUGCCACAUCAUCGGUCAAUGCAACGUCAUCAAUCCGUCUAUGUGAACAGUGUCGUGAACAGUAACGUAGACAGUAUCAUAUAAGUGAAUAGUACCAUACAUGUGAACAGUGCCAUUUUUCCUUUUAUGCUCCUCCUAAGGUUUUCGACCGUCCUGAGUUCAAAAGUGAUGUCCGUUUUGCCAUCUGAUCUCUCGUUCAUUGUGAAAUGACUAUAAUGCCCCUAAAAUACAUAAAAUACUUAAUUAAAAUAAAACACACAUAAUUAAAUGACAAGAAGUUUAAAUACAUAAAAGUAAGGGUGUUAGUAAAACUUAAAGUGUAAAAUGACGAUUUUCUCCUUUAUAACUAUACAUUUUCUAACACUCAACAAUGACAACAGGAGCAGAUUCAGUUGGAGUUUUCUCCAUUUUUUGUUGUUUUUUUUUUCUCUUUUUCCUUUUUUUUCUCUUUUUUUUUCCUUUUUUUUUUGGCGCCUAGAUUGAAAUAAGGGAAAAUAACCUUUUUAGAUCAAAGAACGACAAGUCAUUUGGCCUCUGCUUGACGAAACGACAUGUCGGUUCUGAUGGAAUAUAAACGACAUGUCGUUUGACGACUGCUGCACUUCUGGAGAUUGAACGUGACGUCGUUUUAUCUCUAAUUUACAACCGACAUGUCUGUUGUAAUGUAAUAAAAAAUGACACGUCAUUGUAUUACCAGCUGCACUCUUGAGAUAAAAAUAAAAUGUCGGUUGAUGUCUUCUUCAACCUCUCGAGCGCGUGAAUAUGACAGAGGCGCAUGGUUGACUGGCCGUGGCUUCCGGUGGCACGUGGGAGCGCGUGGAAAUGUGUUUAAAUGCCAAAGUUUUACAGUUUUCUUACUGGAAACUGAGAAAUAUGAUGGUAUUCUUGGUUUUUUAGGAACACACUCUUGGAAAAUUAAUGGGAUUGCUGAUAAAUUUGUAAACUCAAGUUUUUUACGUAUGGGUGGCUUGUUUCUUGAUCGGCAUGGAUUUCGGUAAUGGUAGGAAUGGGUUUAAGGAAGAAAAUGGUGGGAAAAAAAUGGUUGUGGGAGGAAUUUGGUUUCCUCUGUUUUUAUUACGAACAGAGCUGCGAAACUUGAAGAAACUUGAAGAAACUUGAGCGUAUUCAUGGCUCUGAUACCAUGAAGAAACAUGUUUUUAUUUCUUGAAAUAAAACAUUAUACACUGAGAGUUAUUUAUAGAUGCAGAUGCUACAUUUUUUCAAAGAUUACAUAUGUGAAUAUGGAAGGAAAUGUGUCAAUCCGUUCGGCGUGGAUCGUGUCUUUGACAAAUGCAGAUUAUCCCUUUGACAAGUGCGGAUUAUGUCUUUGAAAACUUUCUCCAAUGCCAUUUUAUUCAACAAAUACGAUCUCAUCAGCUAUUAUAUUAAUUUCUAUUUUGCCAUUGCAUGAAAUUAUGAAAAAAGGAUAUUGAAGAGUUUCUUGCCACAAAUUGAACCUGCAUCUCUGUAAGCAUUACUCUUGCAUUUUCGCGGAAAAGGGAGUAAGUGAAUGGCCUAAAUUCAUGGUUCAUUUCAUAUUAUGGAGUUUCUUUCUUCAGGAUGAUUUCGGCUGGAAUUCUCAUAAUUUGCGUCCAAAAAUCCACUAUUGAUAGGCUUAGUGCUUGCCAUUUUGCCUUUACAGCUGGUAGUGGUUGUAUGCUUGUUGGAUUAGUCAAAAAAAUCAAUUGGCAUUGGUCACAAAUUUUUUAUUCAAUUUUUUAUUCGAGCUGAGGGAUACAUACAGUAGUAGACGUCGUGUUCUAUGUUCUCUUUCCCAUAUAUAUAACUAUAGUAAGAGAUAUAUAUGGCUUUUAUAUAAUUCUCAAUAUCAUAGGCGGUAAACAUGGACUCUUGGCUAAAAGACAAUAUGAACAUGAAACCAUUUCACGUGGGUGAUCAAUUAAUAACUUUCAUUUUUUUUACUUCUUAUAGAAGUCAGAAGAGAGUGUACCUGCGACCAGUGGCGGUGCCAAAAAUUAUUUUUAGCGCGGGCUACGUUCACAUAAUAGUUUAAUUCAAGAAAGUAAUCAAUAAAUAACAUAUAUCAAAAUAAAAUUUCAUUAAAAUAUUUAAUUCAACACACUUAUAAUUGUCUUCGACGAGGUUUCAUAUGUUGAAAACGUUGAAGAAUAACUUCAUUGUCAAGACUACAAAAUAUAUCAUUUUUUAUGAAUACAACAAGGUUAUCAUUCAACCAUUGAUCUCUCAUCCGAUUUCGCAGACGGUUUUUCACAAAAUUCAUAGCCGAAAAUGCCCUUUCUAUUGUAACUACGGCAACUGGUAAAAUCAAUGCUAAUGUCACCAAUAAAUAAACUAAUGAAUAUAAUUGAUCCUUUUUAGUCUCAACCAAUUUUCUUGCUAGCUCACCAAUCCCUUUCAAUCUGAAAAUUUGUUGUUAGAACCGACAUCCAUAAUAUAAACAUCAAAUUGAGUUUCAAGUGCCACAAGAUCCAUUAGAGAAAAAUCAUUUGGAUAAAACUCAGCAAGGUGAAGUAGUUUCUAUUUAUCAAAAGCUGCAAAUGAGUCAUUGGGGCAUAGACAUGCCACACAAAGAAGUAGGGGUGGGCAUCGGAUCGGAUUCGGAUUUGAAGGCAAAUCCGAUUGGAUGAAGUCUGUGCGAUCUGAUCGGAUUUGGUUCGGAUCGGAUCGAAUUCGGAUCAAUCCGAAUCAUCCGAUCGGAUCUGCACUAUAAACUAAAAAAAAGAAAAUUAAAUAAAUAAGCGAAAGUACUAAAAAAAUAAGUUUAACUCAUGUUCGGAUUCGGACUUCGGACUUCGGAUCACUAGUGCAGUCAGUCAGUCACCACUCACCAGUUCACACUUCACAUUGUUCAUCUCACUCUUAGAUCUUACGUCUCAGUCACAGACUCACAGUACCAACUCAAACUGACAUUAACAAAAGACACAGGACUCAGCGAGCACGAGCAGCAGAGCAAAAGCAAAAUGCCAAAUCCAGCUUCAUCUCGUCAUCCGUCUUGAACCCAUUAACGAGUAACGACCACGCCAAAACUCAGCUGCCGCCGGCCCGCUGACACCAAUCGACUGGAAGCUAGCCGAUUUCAACUGAAACCCAGGCGAACGAAACCAAAUUAAUCGACCUAAACCCAGCUGAAACCCAGCUGACAGCUGCCUCUUCAACCACCGAACUGAUCACGUCCAGCGCCGGCCAGUUGCCACGCCAAACGCCGAUAAUCCACUUCCACUAUUCCCAAGCACCUAGCAACUUUAUUCAUGGUAAGCAAUUAAACCAGACCCAUGACAAUUGAAAGUUAACACAACUCAGAAUUUCAUGCUUCUUUUCGACUUUUAGGGUUUUUUUAGUUGUAUUACUGCUUGGAAAAUGAAAAACCGAAAAUGCCACCAAAUGGUUUGGGCCAAACCCGAGAGCAAGCGGCUAGCUCCCAAACCCGAGAGCAAGACAUGAAUUGUUCUGUUUUUUCCUUUUAUUUUUUCUAAUGUAUGAUUAUUCAUUUGUAAUAUUAGUUGAGAAAGACAUGAAUAUGUAUUGAUGUAAAAUUCAAAUUUAUUAAUUAUUAAAUAAUCAUCAUUAUUUAAUGCAUGAUUAUUCAUUUAUAACAUUAGUUUAUUAAUUAUUAAUAAACUAAGGAACAAUAUCAAUUCUUUAAAAUUAAAAAUUCAACUUCAUACCGUACAUUGUGGUAGUAGAAUUAUUUUAUGAUAAGUUAAUGUCAUUAAUUGCUUUAUUUCCAAAUAAUAAUUUGAUGAAUGAAUUUGUAUAGCUAGUAAGCUAGGCUGAAGAGAUUAUAUAUAGUCAAAAGUUAUAUUUAUUUUUUAGUUGAAAAUUCAUAAACGAAAGUUACAGAACAAUGAUGAUUGAUAUGAUUUUUUUAUUUUCAGAUGACUGGACAUUCAAAAUCAAAUUCCAAUGAUGAAGAUGAAGUUGAAAGUGUACAAGUACCCACAGAAAAGACAAAUACAAAGCGGAAGAAUCCAACUCAGAGACGACCAAUAAAGAAAAGAUCUGAGACAUGGAAUCAUUACACUGUACUUGAGGACAAUCAAUAUAAAGCAAAGUGCAACUAUUGUGGCAAGAUAUAUCAGUGCCAUCCUAGGUUUGAUGGGAUUAGCAAUAUGGGAACUCAUUUAAAAGUAUGUGAAGCAUACUUGAACGUGAAGCGAGAGCAAGAUGAAAGACUACAAAAAUUGGCAGCCGAGAGUGGUGAAGGAAAUGCAAGUAAUAUGGUUUUGGCUAAAGGAUGGAGUCAAGAAGCUUGUAGAAGGACAGUUAGUAAAAUGAUUAUCUUGGGCAAGUUGCCGCUUAAUUUUGUUGACAACAAAGGGUUUAUGCAUUUUUGCAAUGUAGUUGUUCCUCAGUUUAUUAUGCCAUCUUGGAGAACUAUUAGUAGAGAUGUUAUGGAUAUGUUCUUGGAAGAAAAGGGAAUUUUGAAGAGUUUGAUAUGCAAGAAUAAGCAUAGAGUGUCUCUUACAACUGACAUAUGGACUUCAGUUCAGAACAUGAGUUAUAUGGUAAUCACAGCUCACUUUAUUGAUAGUGAUUGGUGUUUACAUAGGAAGAUUAUUAGUUUUAGCGUGAUUGAAGACCAUAAAGGGAAGUCCAUUGGCAAAAAGAUUUAGUCUUGUUUGCUUGAAUGGGGAAUAGAGAGGGUGUGUGCAAUAACUGUUGAUAAUGCGUCGGGCAAUGAUGUUGUUAUUGAUUAUGUGAAGAACCAAAUGCUUAUGUGGAAGAAUGUUGAUGCACUUGUGUUGCGGGGUGAUUACAUGCAUGUGCGUUGUUGUGCACAUAUCUUAAAUUUGAUUGUCACUAGGGGGUUAAAAGAGUUGCAUGCCUCAGUUGCCGGUAUUCGGAAUGCUGUGAAGUAUGUUAGAUCAUCCACUUCGAGAUUAAAAGCAUUUAAACAGUGUGUAGAUCAUGUGAAAGGCCCUAAUGGAACUGUGGUUUUGGAUUGUAUCACUAGGUGGAAUUCCACCUAUUUGAUGUUGAUGACUGCUUUGAAAUUUGGGGAGGCAUUUGAGAGGAUGGCAGAAGUGGAUAAACCGUAUGAAGCAUACUUUAGAGAGGAAGAAAACGAGAAAAAAAAGGGUAGGGCCACCUGAGCUUGAAGAUUGGGAACAUGCCGAAAGAAUUGUGAGGUUUUUAAAGAUCUUUAUGAUGCUACAUUGACUUUUUCAGCCUCUUUGAGUGUCACUUCUAAUCUUUGUUGCGAUACAAUUGGCUUAAUCGAGAAUCCAUUGAGUGCAUUAGAAAAAAGCAAAGAUGUUUAUGUGCAUUUGAUGGCUUCUAGUAUGAGGGAAAAAUAUGACAAAUAUUAGGAGUGCACAGAGAAAAUCAACAAAAUCAACAAAAUCUUGAUUAUUGCCUCAAUACUUUAUCCGCAUUGCAAAAUGGAUUUUACUAAACAUAUUUUUAGUAUGAUAUUUUCCGAUGAUAGUGCAAAGAUUGAAGAAAUGGUCGCGGUGAUGAAAGGCUUGUUAAAUUCACUUUUUGAUGCAUAUAGUGGAUGGAACUCCUCACCACCAUUGUCUAGUGAGAGUUUUCGUAGUGGCAGUGCCAGUGGUGGCGGUGGCGGUUCUAGUUCUUCUCCGCACCUUAUAGAUGACACGGAUCGGCAACAAGGGUACAUAAUGGAACAUGGUGAUGAUACUUUACGAGUUGCUCGCCCUUUUCUUGGAUAUGCUAAGAAAGUUUUAAUUCAAAACGAGGGCAAGCUUAUGACGACCGAGGUGGAAAGAUACUUACUUAACCCGAUUGAAGAUCCUAGUAAUGAUAAACUAAAUUUUUUAUUAUGGUGGAAGGUGAACAGGUCGAAGUAUCCGAUAUUGCAGAAAAUAGCAAGGGAUAUCCUUGCAAUUUCGGUAUCCACUGUGGCUUCGGAGUCCGCCUUCAGCACUGGGGGUCGUAUCAUGACGAAUAUAGGAGUUCUUUAACUCCCACUAUGAUUGAAGCAUUGAUUUGCACUGAAAAUUUGUUGCAGUCUAAACUUUUUUGCCACUCCUAUCUACGACCUUAAUCAAGAGUUGAAAGAUCAUAUAUAUCAAAUGGAGUUACAAGAGGGUAACUUUUUUAUAUUACAUUUUAUAUAGAAUACCUUUUAAAUUUAUUAUAACACAUUUUUUAUAUUACUCGUGCACUAAUUAUAAGUUAUUAUGUUUUUUUUUUCAUUUUAAAGAGUAUGUACAAUCACAAGCUUCAACAAUUACAAGUUACAACGAUGGGUGCUAGUAUUCGUCAUGAUAUUUGAAUAGGUAAGGUAACUCUUAAAUUUAAUAAAUCUUUUGGUUUCAAGGUAUUAUAUUUAUAAUUGUUUUACUUUUGGUUUUAAGUCAAUUGUAACAUGAUAAUUGUUUGUGAUCUUAUGUUAGGAAAAUUGAAGUUGGUAGUUGGAAAGCAAAAGUUAAGGAUUCAUCAAAGUGUGUUGUGAGUUUAAUUUGAUAUUAUUGUACUUUUGGUUUGAGGAACUUGUAGUCUAUCUAAAUGUUUUGGGAUGAUAAUUUUUAUUUUGGUUUAUUUUAUUGUUGGAUGAUAUAAUGAUAAUAUUUAUUUUGUGAUUUUGUGUUGUUUAUUUAUUUGGAGACUUGGAGUAAUGUUUAAUUGUUUAUUUUGUGUUGUUUGUUGGGAGACUUGGAGUAAUGUUUAUUUUGUGUUGUUUACUUGGAGACUUAGAGUUGGAGCAAAGUUUAUUUUGUGUUGUUUAUUUAGAGGCUUGGAGCAAUGUUUAUUUUAUGUUGCUUAUUUGGAGGCUUGGACUUGGAGUAAUGUUUAUGCACCUAACUUGUAAGAGCAUUAGUGCAUUACUAAUUAAAUGAAAUGGGAGUGCUUGUUUUCUUGGUAUAUGUCAAUGCCAUAUUGUCAAGGAGACAAUACAAUAUAGAUUGUCAUUUGUUAGCUUGUUUUCAUUUUCUUUUUUUUUUUAAUGGUUAGUAAGUUUUCAUUACUUAUAGAUUUCAUAAUUUUUUUGUGAGAAUUGUGAAAAAGGUCCAAAUCCGAUUUCAAUCCGAAUUAAUCCGAAUCCAAAAUAUAAUCCGAAUCCGAAAAUUAAUCCAAAAUCCAAACUCAUCCGAUCCAAUCCGAAUCCGAAUUCAAUCCAAAUUUUCAUCCGAUCUAAAUCCGAUCCGAAUAAUUCGGAUCGGAUGAAAAUUCGGAUUGAAUUCGGAUGAAUUUUUUUUCAAUCCGAAUUAUCCGAAAUCCGAUCGAAUUCAUCCGAAUCCGAAAUUGCCCACCCCUACAAAGAAGCAACUCAGUAUUCGUCUUAUUGAAACGAUUGCUUAAUUCUUUAAGUUGCAUGUCCAAAAUUGCAUAAAAUAAUUCAACACGAAAACAAUGCAAAUUUGUGAUCUUUUGAGCCUUGCGUUGUGAUCUUUCUUGAGUUCGAAACAAAUCAUCCAUAUUCGGAACAUCAAUAUCAUGCUUUACACAAUAAGAAAAAGUUUCACCAAAUAAAGAGUCUCAUCCAUUUUCUCCAGUCUUUUGCAAGUUUCUCUUAUACACUUCAAUUAAUUUCAUAGCAUUCACAAUGUCUUGAUCCUUUUUUUGUAAUGCUUGUGAUAACUCAUGUGCAAAUCCAAGAAUAUUUUUCAUUAACAGCAGGCUAAACACAAAAUCAAAUGAUUGCAUUGACUUCAAUAACAUUCUAGCUUGAAAUCUUUGUUCAGAAUUUCCCUCAUUUGAAAUUAUCUCAAGCAUGUCAAUAAUAGAUGGAAACAUGGUGAUUAUACUCAAUAACGUACCAUAAUGUGAGCCCCAACGUGUAUCAGCAGAUCGCUUUAAAGUAACCUCUUGAUUUAAACCUCGUCCACUUGAAAGUUCACCAUCAUCAAGUGUUUUAAUAACUGCUUGAGCAUGUUUCUCUUGAAGAAUAUCACGACGUUUUGUUGAAGCACCAACAACAUUAACUAACAUUGUAAGAGAAUUAAUUAUGAGAAUUUAAAGAGAAACUGAAAACAAUUCCCAUGUCAAAAUGUAAAAACAAAUACAAAAAUACAAAAUAUUAAUUUAAUAAACUAACUACCCGAUUAAAUCCUCAACCACUAAGUUACUAAUCCAUCAUAGCAUCACGCCAUCACCAAUGGCAUUGUUAUUCUAUUAUUUAUAAUGAGUAAAGUUAAAAGCAUUGCCACUUUAUCAAGAAGCAUCGCCACUUUAUCAAGAAACAUGCCACAAUUAUUCUAUUCAAAAAGUAUAAACAAAUUCAAGAAUUGUAAUAUUAAAUUAUAAAGUGACAAAGAUGUUUAAUUAUUAAAAUAAUUUAGCCACUCGGCCUUUGGCCGAGUGGUCAGGGCAGCAAUUCGAACCCCCACAAAAGCAUUGUGGGGGUAUUUCCUUCCUCAAUUAAAAAUUGAGUGAAGGUAGUCUUCUUUUUUACCCAUGAGUGAGGAGUGGACAUCCCUCGAAUAUUUGUGAGGGUUAAAAUCUGGGCAGAGCUCCAUUAGUAUUGAUGUAAGUUGGUCCCAGUAAUAGUCUGAUUUGUAAAUAUCAGUUAUACUCUCAUGUAAUAUGAGUUGUAAUAUGAGCAAUAGUCUCAUGUAAUCAAAAAAAAAAUUAUCAAAAUAAUUUAAUCAAUUCUUAAUAAUUAAUCUAAAAGCUGCAAAGGUAUGACAGUAGUACCUGAAAAAAUGCAAAGAUGCAGACCAUGCGGUGGUGCAGGGCUCCGAGUGCCAACUGCAAGUUGUAGCAUAUAUGGCAUGAAAGCAAAGAGGUGUGAUGGCAUGAGAGUUUGACAGAGAUAGACGACAGGCUGAUCACUGAUGGUAGCCGAUGGAGUUUUUCUUUGGCAAAGGAUCGAUGGUGGUGGUUAGGGAUUUGAUUUUGAGUUUUUUUUUUUAAUUUCUAAUCGUUGUUUUAAAUAUUAGUCUUUUAGUUAUUUCAAAAAAAAAUUCAGGGACUUUAUUGUAAAUUCACUAAAAAAAGAUAAAUUUAAUUGUUUUUAAAAUUCUAGGGGGGCCUUCAGCCCCCAGCUCUCAAGUGGCGCCGCCUCUGCCUGCAACGUCAAUCGUAUCAAGCAAAGAUAUAGGACAUUUAAUAAUGAAAAAAUUAGGAAUUUUCAUGGACACACCAGUCGGUUCCGUAAAUAUAUAGAAUCAACUGAUUCUAGGUACCUUACAAUGUGAUUUUUUUCCCCUUGAAGAUAAGGACUAUUUUUUAGGAUACUGGCCGUUGAGGCUUUGUUUGUAUUUUUGCAAGAAAAUGGAAAAGGGUGGGCUAAAUCGCAAAAAAUAAAGCUAAUAGCUGCUAAAUUGAAUUUUUUAAGAGUGUUUUAAUGUGGAAUUUGAUUUGGGAACUUUUUUGUAGUUACAAGAAACAGCCACACCGGGUAACAAUUAGGGCAUUCUUUCAUAAAUUGGAUAUCAAUAGUAUCGAGUACGAAUGAGGAUGGUUAAAUGCCUAAUCACCCUAUUAAUCUUACAGUCGACAAAAAGCAAAAGCAAAAGCAAAAGCAAUAGCAUUACAAAUAGUAUAACUAUCAAAUUGAUUCACUAUGUCUAAACGACAAGUCAUCUAAAUAAUUUGUCAUCUAAUUACUAAAUUAUUUGACGCAACGACUGAUUUAGAAUUUUAAUUUAGAGGGGGCUUGGUACAAAUACUGUGAUUCACAGUAGCGCGUUCGAUGGUGCGAGUGAUCAACAACAACGACAGACAAGUGAGGCAAUGAUGAUGUAUAUGUUGGAAAUAUGAAUUCAUAUUGUUUUUUGAAAGUACACAAUAUGAAUAGUAGCUGUUGGUACUGUUACUUCACUAUUUACUAAUACUAUUGAUCUUACUGUUCACUCAACAACAAUCGUAAAUUUGUCAAGGUGUGUUCGAAGUGUCCUUAAGACUAAUUUUUGCUUCUCUAGAAAGAUUUUCCGAUACAAAAAAUAUAUAUAUAUAAAACGAAUUGAUCCCUAGGAUAUAAUGACAUUAUUGUGAGCUUGCACUCCAAGCACAAUAGUUUAGAAUAACAAAAGAAAAAUUAAUGAAAAAAAUAUAAGAUAGAAGAAUAGGUUACAAUGGUUGUGCCUUGAAGAUUUUGUAUUUUGAAAUACCAAUAAAACUCUAAGAAUAAGCUUAAAUAAUUUGAUCAAAAUUGCACUUUAAGAUGAAACACUAAUUAAUGGCCUUUCAAGACUUGAAUUGGGUUAAAUAGUUUAUGUACGAAAAUUGAAUUAUUGACAUCCCUAUCUCCUUUUAUAUAUUGUUGGUAAUAAAUCUAAUAACUUUAUGUGGUUGUGAUUCUUAAUGUAGUUUUUUUUAAUCGUUAGCUGUGUACGUGUCAUUAUUAGCAAUGUGUCAUUUUCAUUACUGUGUCAUUGUUGGCAGUGUGUCAUUUUCAUUACUGUGUCAUUUGUAGUAUUUAGAAUCAUUGGCCAAUAAUUUUGUAACAAGACCAACAUAUAGGGGUAAAUGACAAAUUCACGAGUGGGGGACAUACACCUGUUUAUAAUAUUGUAAAUGCAUUUUUUCAUGAGUUUACAGUGUUCAAAAGUAUUUUCUUCAUUCUAAGUGUGGACAUGCCAAUUUUGCAUAAUAGUCAUAUCCCAGAACAAAAGUCACAUUAAAAUUUUAUUCAUUUAUUCAGGUUUUUUUCCUGCAUUAACGAAUUCAUUGUGUAGGAUUUCAUUUUUAUGUAAACCAAUUCAGUUACGAGAAUCAACUACUAAUUUUUUUCCCGUUAAUUGGCUACGUUUACGUUAAUUAACUGAUAAAUAACUUUGCAUUAGCAAAGCCAAGAGAUUAAUUUAAACCCCUAAGAUUCAAAUAUUCUUUCACUAGUACUACUGGACAAAUUUGGCAAUCGAUAUUUCGGAAGACAUCAUCACACGUGUCAAACAAAAGUUAAAAAAAUAGCCAGUCCCAUUAAAAUCACCAAAUGCAAUCCAAUAACAUGCUCCAUUAUGUAUUGACUUUCAUGAGAAUUAGCAGGAAAAAAAAAAGUUCAUUUAGUUAAGCAAAUAGCAACCUUUGAUUGUUCUUUAACAUUACUAAAAAUCUAAUUCUUACUUUACUUGAUUGUAUUGUCGAAUCUUUCUGAAAAGGUAGAAGAUAAAUCCCAUUUAUUGGAAUUGUAUGUAGGACGUGUUUUGUUCAAAAUCAGUAAUUUGACAGUUAAGAAAUGAACAGAAAGUUGUUGAAGGUAGUGCAUGACGUCUCAUGCGCUUUAAAUUUCAAAAAUUUAUAUCUUUUUGACAUGGAAACUACUCAGCAAGGAAAUGGUGGCUCAACAACAUUAUAUAUAUAGAGCUCUCUAGGUGAAUUGAAGAUGAGAAUGAGGGAUUGCAUAAGCUACAAGAAUGAACGGUCAUUUGUAAAGUACAGCGAAUAGGGUCCAUUAGAUCAAAUCAAGUAGAGUAGAAGAAAAUGAAUACACUUAUGCUACAAUCAGUUUCAAUUUCUUUCAUCUGGUAACCGUCUAUAAACAAGAUACAAGCUCUAAGCCACCAAUGGGCUAUAAACAGAGCUUCAUUCAAGAGAGUUAAAGGUAUCCCAAGUUCUGAAAAUUGAGAGCAUGUACAAGUGAGCUUUUACAGAGAUUUUUCAGAGAAUGUUUUCUUAACUAUUCUAGAGGGAUUUAUAUUGGGUGUAUUUAGGUUAUCGGAUUUUGAGAAUUGUUCCCAUUCAAAGCCCAACCCCAAUUCAUGAGCCUAAAUAAUAAACCAAACAAAAGAGAAUAUUCUCUCAAUUUAUCUAGAAUUACUUUGCUAAAAAUAUCAUGAAUCAUUGGCGUUGUGGCAGUUUUAAAAUUUGGUGAUUCCUAAGAAAUUAAUGGUAAUAAGUUUAGAAUGUCGUUAUUUGUUAGGACCUGCAUUUAAAAUCUUAAAUAUUCGUAAUUAAUUAUAAAGAUCUCGGUUCACCUGCAAGCUACAACAAUUAGCUAACUGAUAUAUGGUAUUUUUUACAAAACUAUUCAAAAAGAAAGGGUAUAAUUAAUCAAACUGAUUUGGACAAUACCACACGAUUUUUUUUUUAUUGACAAACCAACAUAAACAACAUAUUAACGUAAAUAACGCAUUCACAUAUAAUUGUUUUAUUUAGUUAUUAAGAAAGACGAAGUACAUGGACGGUGGACACUAAGAAAUAUAAUCUCUUGUAUAUCAAGAGAUUUUAGAGGUUGAAAUGAACUAAACUGACCCUCACACAAUUAAUUGACAGUAAUUGACAGGUAAGAACAGUACCCAUCCUUUUAUUAACCAUAAUGGAAAAGAGUAAUACUGCGUGCGUGCGUGCGCUUAUUAACCAGUGUGGUCGGGAUUUCUUCCAUAUUGAGGGACAGCAAUAAGAUCAAGAUUGUCAACUGUCCCGUCCUUAUCAUCAGCAAUACCAUAUACAGGUACUGGAGUACCCUCCAACCAUUCAUUCUUACCUGAAAGUUUAACAUUAGAAAAUGGAUUCAUAAAUGCUUAUAUUAAUAUAUGAAUUGUAAAUGAUAUCCAUUCAGCUGAAAUUGGCUAAAAAACCUGCGCAAGGAAAAGGAGUUUCCAUAUUCUUCAAAUCAGAAAAGAUCUCCAGGUGAAGCGUAAUCAAAACUCAAAAAUAAGUAGAGCUUGAGCGUGUUCUUAGUUCUGGUUUGAUCUGAUAUAUAUAGAUUCAAGAAGCCGAUGUUGCCGAGGUGUGGGUGAUUGUGACGUAGCAAAACA
This 112992-nucleotide long non-coding RNA is filed under the name Citrus maxima (pomelo). Its description in RNAcentral is "long non-coding RNA (CMAX_LNC003909)". The record is from RNAcentral. Lineage: Eukaryota; Viridiplantae; Streptophyta; Magnoliopsida; Sapindales; Rutaceae.